GCAUGAAAAACAUCCGCAUAAGGGACCUGCCGAGCUUUGUUCGAACAACGGAUCCAAAUGAUAUAAUGUUGAACUUCGCUGCGACAGAGAGUGAGAGAUCUGCAAAAGCUUCCGCCAUUAUCGUAAAUACCUUCGAUGAAUUGGAACAUGAUGUCGUCAAAGCUCUCUCCUCCAUCUUCCCUAAACUCUACACCAUUGGACCCCUUCACUUGCUACUCAACCACAUCCCACAGUCAUCGCCUUUAAGCUCCAUCAGCUCCAAUCUGUGGAAAGAAGAGCCUCAAUGUCUUCAAUGGCUGGAUUCUAAGGAACCCAAAUCGGUUGUUUACGUUAAUUUCGGGAGCAUCACGGUGAUGACGGCCAAUCAACUGGUUGAGUUUGCUUGGGGUUUGGCUAAUAGCAAGCAACCCUUUUUUUGGAUCAUUAGGCCCGAUUUGGUGAGGGGAGAUUCAGCUGUGUUGCCCCCAGAGUUCACUGAAGAAACCAAAGAGCGUAGCUUAAUGGCGAGCUGGUGCCUGCAAGAGAGCGUUUUGAACCACACAGCGAUUGGAGGUUUCUUAACGCACAGUGGAUGGAACUCCACCAUCGAAAGCAUUUCGAGUGGGGUGCCGAUGAUUUCUUGGCCGUUCUUCGCCGAGCAACAAACAAAUUGUCGAUUCGCUUGCACCCAAUGGGGCAUCGGCAUGGAGAUCGACAAUGAUGUGAAGAGGGAUGAAGUGGAGAAACUGGUGAGGGAGUUGAUGGAAGGAGUUAAAGGCAUGGAGAUGAGGGAAAAGGCCAUGGAGUUUAAGAAAAAGGCUGAGGAAGCUACCAUGUUGAAUGGCCCAUCGUUCGUGAAUUUGGAAAACUUGAUUAAGGAAGUGUUGCUUUAAGGUAACUUAUGAUAUUCCAUUUAGAAUUACUUUUCCUUGAAGCGUGAUUCUCAUUGUAAAAUGUGAAAAGUUAAAAAAAUAAAAACAAUGAUUGUCUCUUUUCUUGAUUUUCUCUACUAUUUCAAUAGAUUUUUAAAAGUAAGUUUUUUUUCCCUUUAUUUUAUUUUUUUAGUUGCAUAUUUAAACAUUUAUAUAUUAUAUCAUUUACAUUUUUUUCUUUUCGAUAUAUUAAUUGAAAAUUUAAUUUUAUUAUAGUAUUUUUGAUUCUUCAUAAGCAAAAAGGAAAAAAAAAGUUUAGGUUGAGCUCUAAAAUUGAUUUGAUCACAAUCUUUUUAUAUGACUUACAUUUAAAUUAUGGUUUGUUGUAUAUAAUUGAGAAUUCUACUAGAAUGAUUGUCGGGAAUGAAAUGAUUUUCAACUCAUUUAGAAGUAGAGUAGUUAUCACAAGUGAUCAAUCAAAUUUUAAAGCAGUUAUAUAUUAUAUUCAAGUAUAUUAUGUUGUUUUGCUCACAUUAAUGUCUUUCUCCUUUAGAGACACUUGAUAAAGUGAUAUGCUCACACUACAGUAAAACAGGUUUUUAGCGGCGUUUUAAUAGAAAAUGCCACUAAAGGUUGAGCAUUAGCGGUGUUUUAAAGAAAACACCGCUAAAAGAUUCAGCAGAAUUGAGUUUCCACGGAAUUAGCGACGCUUAGGCAAAAACGCCACAAAAGAUCAGCAUUAGCUGCGUUUUUAGAAAAGCGCCGCUAAAAUAUUAAGGUGAACGAUGUCGUUUAAAUUAAGCUUAUGUGGAAUUAGCGGCGCUUUCAGGAAAACGCCGUUAUAUGUUGAGUAGUAGUGACGCUUAUUCAAAAACGCUGCAAAAGUGAUGAGAAAGACGACAUCGUUUUGCAGUUGAGCUAUGCUGGCAUUAGCGGCGUUUAUUGAAAAACGCCGCAAUAUAUCUGCCUUUAGCGGCAUUUUCCUCUAAAACGCCGCAAAUAUGUUUAAGAUUGACCAAAAACGUUAGCGUUUUUAUAUAUGCGUAUUAGUGGCGUUUUGGGUUAUAAACCCCGCAAUUAUGUCAAAAUUUUAAAUUUUUAAUAUAUAUAUUUUUUAUCAAAAUAGAAAAAAUAACUUAUAAGUACGUUAUGAUGUAUUUUAAUUUUUUAUAUUUUAAUCAAAAUACAACAAAUAUUUUUAAAAUUUUAUUAUAUUUUUAACAAUAUCAUUAAUCAUUUUAUAAUUAUAACAUUAUGCUAGAGAAAAUAAUGAUAUGAAUUUUAUCAUCAUAUAUUUUAAACUAAUAUUAGAUAUAAAAGUAUUUUGGUAAUUAUAUUAGAAAGGCAAAUUUUAUUUAAAUCAAUCUCGACUAGACCCAAAUAAUAUUGAAAUUAGACCACUUAAAAAACUCAAUUUAAAAAAAAAACUAAAACACUACAUUAUUUGCCCAUUUUAUGGUUUAAGGUGUAUAAUUUAGGGUUAAAGGUUUAAGAUUUACUAUUUAAAGGUUUAUGGAUUAUGUGUUUAGGGAUUAUGUUUAUGGCUUAUGGUUUAAGGGUUGGGGUUUAAGGGUUAUGGGUUAGUGGUUAGGGGUUUAUAGGUUAUGGGUUAAUGGUUUAAGGGUUAAGGCUUAAUGGUUAUUAUUUUGUGGUUUAGGGUUUAGGGGAUAUAGUUUAGGGUACUUUAGUAGGGGAUAUAGUUUAAUGGUUUAAGGUUUAGAGUAUUGAUUAAUUAGUGUUAUUAUUUUGUAGUUUAAAGAUCAGGGGAUAUAGUUUAGGGUUAUGAUUAAUUCAUACAUUUUGUGGUUAAGGCUUAGGGGUUAUUGUUUUGUGGUUUAUGGUUAGGGGAUAUAGUUUAGGGUUUAGGGGAUAUAGUUUAGAGUUUAAAGUUAUGGGGAUAUAGUUUAAUGGUUUAAGGUUUAGAGUUUUAAUUAAUUAGUGUUAAUAAUAUUAAGUAUUUUGAUUAAUUAAUAAUAUUAUAAAAAUAUAAAGACUAAAUGAUAUUAAAAAUUACUGGCGUUUUAUAGAAAAACGCCACAAAUAUCCAUGGACAGCAAAACGCCGUUGUUUGAAACUUUGUUGUUAGUGGCGCUUUUAGUAAAAACGCCACAAAAGGCAUGAAUUACUGGCGUUUUCCAAAAACGCCACAAAGUUCUGUCAAUUGAAACGUCGUCGUUUUCAUCUUUUUUUAGUGGCGAAUCCUAUAAAACUCCACAAAUAUCUGUCAAGAGACAGCAGACGAUGUCAUUUUGUGUUUUGUUAUUACGGCGAUUUAUUUCAAACGCCGCAAAAAGUUAGAAUUACCGGCGUUUUUGAAGGAAACGCCAUGAUAUCUUUUAGGGGAUUGGUGGAAAACGUCGUCGUUUUUUGUUCUUUUUAUUAGUGGCGGUUUUCUAAAAUGCCGCAGAAGGCUUGUAUUAGUGGCGUUUGCUGAAAGCGCCGCAAACUUUUACUUUUUUUAACUUAAACGACGUCAUUUUUGUGAGGCCCGAAUUUGUUUUACUCUCUGCCAAAGUGGAUUUCCCUGAUUUCUCCCCAAUUUCCCCCAACUUCUCCCCCAAAUUUGUUACCCUAGUUUCCCAACAUCCAGUCUUCUCUUCUCGGUUUUAGAAGGAAACUCUUUUCCUCUUCUCUCCUCCGCCGCCGCUGGAAAUUCGAUUUGUAGAGGUAUUUUACUCUUAAAAGCUACAAAGUUAUUAAGUUUGAUUUCAUUUUAUGAUUUAGAUUGCAUUUUAUUUUGUUAGUCUUAGAAUUGCUUAUGGAAAGAAGAUGCAAACCAAAUGACUUUAUAUAUUCUGUUCACGAAAACAAGAAGUUUGAAAAAUGUAGAAAAGAAAAUAUUAGGUCUAAAAACCAAAUAAAAAAAACCAAUAUGAACCUUUUGAUUAAAACCCAAAGCUUUGAUCUGCCGGAUAAUGAUACGGCCACCAUAGUUUGGAAUGUGAACUGAAUUGAAAUGUGUGUGUUUAUGUGAGAUUAUUAAAAAUGGAAAGUCGAAGAAAAACUGGGCUGGCUCUUAGAGGGGGAGUAAACGUAUUGUUAAAGCUAAUAGAAACCUUUUAGUUCACAUUAACGAAUUAAAGGCGCCUUAAUAUUAAACCUCUUCACAAACUUCCAAAGUCAGUAUGGUGUUUGAAUUCAGAAUUGUAAUGUUAUUAUGUCAUGAAAUUGAACUGGUAAAUUAAAAAAAGUUGGUAUUAAACCUCUACUUAGUUGAUAAAUAGAAACAAUUUUAAUAAUCUUUGUAAAUCAUUUCAAAAAUAAGCUUUUUAUUGGGUUUUCAUCUGUUUUUUUAUUUUUCUGAACUGGCCGAUUAGCUUCUGAUAGUGGGGGAGUGAAUAGUUUCAUUUCAUCUUUUAAUUUUACUUGGGACAGAGAUGCCAACAUUUAUCGCUUUAUAAAAAUUUAAGUGCUAUUUCGCGAUUACUUUAAAAAAAUUUCGAUUCAUUGAUCACUCCAAUUGUUUUCGUGGAUGAUAAAUAAAUUUAAAUUAAGUUUAAUUAAAAAUAAUUACUUUUAUGAUUAUUAUAUAUUUAUAUAUACUUUUUCUAUUUUAAAGUUAUAUUAUUUAUAUGAAUCUUUAAAAUUAUAUAUUUUUAUAUUUAGAAAAUUCUAAUAAUAAAUUUUAAUGGCUGCUUCCAUUUUAAUGGCUGCUUUUUCAAUUUUUUCCGUUGAUUACAAGUAAAUUUCAGCAGCCCUCUGCAUUGCCUUCAGUAGCCCUCUGCAUCGCUGUUGGCAGCCCUCUGCUGCAUCUCCAUCGGCAACCCACUGCUGCUACUCCAUUUUCUGCCAUCCACUUUUCUGUUAUCUGCCAUACUGUGAGUUCUUUUUUCUAAAAAGUCAGUGAAUAAAUGUUGGUUGAUUUUAUUUUUUUUGAAAUUAAAGUUGUUAGAAUGCAUGGUUAAUUGGAAGGUUGAAGCUGUCCAAAGCAGGACAUGUUUCCUAUGAUUACCAAAUAUUGUUAAUGCUUGUUUAACUGGAGUGUAAAUGCUGUCCAAAAGAGGGUUGGUUACGUAUGUUUUAUUGUAUUUAAUUGCUUCUGCAAAUAUCUUAAAUUCACUGCCCAAAUGUGAAUUCAAUAUCUAUAUGCAGGUCUUAUAUGAUUAAGUGUGUGAUAAUUAUUAAUUAGGGUAAGUUGUCGACACAAUAUAUCAUUAAUCUAUUCUAUUAUCUUGGUGGAGCUAUUGAUCAAUUAAUGAAUUGAUAUGGUUUAUUCAAAAUAGGGCUUCAUAAUGAAUUUGUAGUACCAAAUCCUUGAAUAAUCUAUAGUUAAUUUUGUGUUUGGUACUCCAAUUUUUUUAUUUUUUAUUUUGUAAUUUAGUCUACUCACUACAAUGAAGUUAACUAUUGCUGUUUAUAAUCAUUUAUUUUGUUAGUUUCUAUUUGUUUCUCAAGUGAAUGUCAGGAAUGGAUUAAACUUUUGAACUUUUCUGAUUACAGUCUUUACAAUAGCAUACAUCAUCCAAGCAAAUUGGCUGUGGGAGCGGACAUCCAUUGUUUCAAACAUAAAAUCGAGCCCAAGUGGGAAGACCCUGUCUGUGCUAACGGAGGCAAGUGGACUGUAAAUUUCCAGGUUGUUGAAAUUAUUAAGGUACGUUUUAGUUCAAAAUUCUAAUCAAUAAUAUUUUAUGAUGAUGAUUUUAGAAAAAUUAAUCUUUUGGGGCUCCGAUUUUGUAUAGAUUUAAUUGCUGGUUUUCCUUUUGUAAAAAAUUUUGGAUCAUUUUACUUACUUUACAUUUGCUAUCUAGUUUACUCCUUAUGUUUUCUAUUAUAAUCUGGCAUCCAAUUUGCCAUGUUUUUUUAUUAAAUUAUUUUAGUCCUUCAAAAAUCAAAGAAACUAUAGCAGUCAUACGCUAAAUAAAUAUAAUGUUGACUAAAAUAGAACCAAAUUCAUAAAUUGUAAUGGGAUUUGGAUUAAAUUUUUUUAAUUAAAAAAAUUAAAAAAUCUUGAUUUAAUUCCGUAGCUUGUGUUUCUAUUAAAAUAACAAAAAUGGCCGACUUUUUCUCCAACCUUAUUUUAAACAUUUUAUUUAAUUUUUAAAUUACCUAAUUAAAUUAAAUUGUAUUUAAAGUUUUAUUUUGAAUAUGUUAUUUUAUUUUAUUUUAUUUUUAAAUUACCUAAUUAAAUUAAAUUGUAUUUAAAGUUUUAUUUUUAAUAUUUUAUUUGAUUUUAAUUUAAUCACGGAAAAUAUUUUGUCUUCUUUUAUUUUGUUUUUUAAAUUACCUAAUUAAAUUAAAUUGUAUUUAAAGUUUUAUUUUAAAUAUUUUAUUUUAUUUUAAUUUAAUCACUAAAAAUAUUUUGUCUACUUUUAUUUUAUUUUUUAAAUUACCUAAUUAAAUUAAAUUGUAUUUAAAGUUUUAUUUCGAAUAUGUUAUUUUAUUUUAUUUUAUUUUAAUCACGAAAAAUAUUUUGUCUACUUUUAUUUUACUUUUAAUCUAAUAGCCAAAUCUUCACUUCCCUUGUGUUUUCCCAUCAACACAAUCACAAUCCCAUCAACAUAAAUAUAUAUCAUAUCUUACAUAAUUUACAUAAGAUAAACAACUUAUAUAAUUUACAUAACUUACAUAAUACAUAAAUAUAUAUCAUAUCUUCACUUACAUAACUUAAUUAUACUUAUAAAUAAACAACUUACCCGUGUAAUUUAUUGUAAACUUUAGAUUUCAAGAACUACGAAAUGGAUAGGAGUUAGAUGAAAUUGUCAAGGGUAAGCAACGCCUAUCGAAAUGGAGUACAAACUUUUCUAAAUUUUGCAUUUCAAAAUGCAAGCCAAGAGAAUAUGAUUCUUUGCCUGUGUAAGAAGUGUGGCAACAUCAAUUGGCAUUAUCGUGAAAUUGUCUACGAACAUCUAAUUAUUAAUGGCUUUAUUCGGGGGUAUUAAAAAUGGAUUUUCCAUGGAGAGUGUACAUCUAGUGGAACUUCUUCAACGAUUAAUCCGACUUAUCCUGAUACUGCUUACCAUGAGUAUGUUAGACAAGAUGACAUGGAAGGUAUGUUGCGGGAUGCAUUUAAUAUGCACAGUCAUUGUGAGCAAUCGUUUCCACCUGACUUUAUUGCAUCCGACGAUUGUAAUAUUGGUGGAAAUGUUUUUGGCGAAACGGGAACAACUGCACCUGAUGAGGAGCCAAAUGAAGAAGCAGCGAAGUUCUACAAUUUACUUAACGAAAUGAACGAAGAACUUUACGAGGGAUCAAAAUAUUCGAAAUUGUCCUUCUGUAUUCGCCUAUUUCACUUAAACUGUUUGGGAGGGUGGACCGGAAACUCUUUUACAAUGCUGCUAGAGUUUCUGAGAGAGAUGUUUCUGUUUGCAAAAAUCUCCUAGUCUUGUCAAGAUAUGAAAAGACUAAUAAAAGAUUUGGGCCUUGGGUACGAUAAAAUUCAUAAUUGCCCAAAUGACUGCAUGUUGUACUGGGGUGAUUAGAAAAACCAACAGUCUUGUCAUGCUUGUGGUAAGUCUCGUUGGAUGAAUAGUAAUACAGAAGAUGUGAAUGCGGAUGAAGGUGGGCCAUAGUUAAGAAAGAAGCCAGUCAAGGUUUUGCGAUAUUUUCCCCUGAUACCAAGGCUUUAAAGGCUUUUCAUGUCAUCAAAGACAGUUAAAUCUAUAAGGUGGCAUAAUGAUCAAUGGACCGAUGAUGGAUUAUUAAGACAUCCUGCGGAUUCUUUAGCUUGGAAAUCAUUUGACAGUAAAUUUCCAAGCUUUGCAAGCGAUCCUCGGAAUGUGAGGCUUGGGCUAGCAGCUGACGACUUUAAUCCAUUUAAAAUCAUGAGUACUUCAUACAGUACUUGGCCUGUAGUGCUUGUUCCUUACAAUUUGCCUCCAUGGAUUUGCAUGAAGCAAUCUUCGUUUAUUUUAUCAAUGAUUAUCCCUAGAGAGAAAGGUCCCGGAAAUGAUUUGACAUCUAUUUGCAGCCACUUAUUGAAGAGUUAAAAUAGUUAUGGUCGGGUGUUGAGACUUAUGAUGUAUUGAGAAAGGAGAACUUUAAUUUACGUGCAGCUUUGUUGUGGACAAUUAAUGAUUUCCUGGCUUAUGCUAAUUUAUCGGGUUGGAGUACUAAAGGGCGUUAUGCUUGUCCUUGUUGUGCUGCGCAAACUUGUUCGAAGUGGUUUUACAAUGGGAAGAAGUUCUCUUACAUGGGCCAUCAUCGGUGGUUAGAUGGAAAUCAUAAAUUUAGAUUUCAGAGGACUCUAUUUGACGGUACUGAAGAGUACAGAGAAGCUCCUGAGCAGACCAUUAGAUUUAAAAUCUUGUUUAUGUUAAAAGAUAUCACUUUUAGUUACAAGAAGAUGAAUCAACCACCUAACACGCAAACAAAGAGAAACUCGAGGGAUGAAUUUGAUGAUAAAUCUGAUGAAGAGGAUGAUCCUAAUGAGGCGGACUUGUGGAAAAAAAGGAGUAUUUUUUUAGUUGCCUUAUUAGGAGCAUAACAUUUUAUGCCACAAUCUUGAUGUCAUACAUAUUGAGAAGAAUGUCUGCGAGAACAUAAUUGGGACAAUUUUGAAUGUCGAUGGAAAAUCAAAAGACGAUCUUCAGAGUCGACUUGAUUUAGUUGACAUGAGAAUUCGGCGUGAUCUUUAUCUUCAAGUACUUCCGAAUGGGAAAUAUCGGUUGCCACCUUCUAUUUUUUCAAUGUCAAAGAAAGAGAAAGAGGUGUUUUGCAUAGUAUUGAAGGAUAUAAAGGUCCUAGAUGCGUAUGCGUCAAAUAUAUCUCGAUGUGUAAGUCUUAAAGAUUGAAGAUUAUAUUCAUUAAAAUCACAUGAAUACCACAUCUUGAUGCAAGAUUUACUCCCAGUUGCUUUACGGUGCUGCAUGUCAAAAAAUGUGAUGUCCUGUAUAAUUGAAUUAUCCAAUAUAAUGAAAGCUAUUUGUGGAAAAGUUUUGGAUGUUAAAGAACUUGAGAAAGUACAUGAUCGAGCCGCUUUGACUUUAUGCAAUUUAGAGAAGAUCUUUCCACCUUCCUUCUUCACUAUUAUGGUGCACUUGGUAAUCCAUCUCUCUCACGAAGCAAUACUUGGUGGACCGGUUUUUUAUCGAUAGAUGUAUCCUAUAGAAAGGUGCUAAUUUAUUUCUCAAGUAUUUAUUCAUUCACCUCUAUACAAUUAGUUACAACUUUUGAUAAAUAUUGUAUAUCGUGUUUAGGUUCCUAAGCAAAUUGAAAUCUUAUUGUCGCAAUAAGUGUUAUCCAGAAGGAUCAAUUGCUGAAGGCUUCUUGGCAGAGGAGUGCAUGACCUUCUGUUCUAGAUAUUUAGAAGAUGUUGAAACACGAUUGAAUAGACCAAAUAGAAAUGCUGGGCUCAAUGAUCAUAACUUGGCCGAAACUUAUUUAUUCCAAAGUUAUGGAGAACCAAUCGGCAAAGUUGAAAUUGCAGAAUUAGAUGAUAUAUCGUGGAUACAAGCACAUCGAUAUGUACUUUUUCACCAUGAUUCAGUUGAACCGUUACGCAAGUAAGUUCUAAAAUUUCCUCACAUAUUCGUCGUUUUGAUUUGUUUAUCUUCUAACCAAUUAAACUUGUUUUUAACAUAGUGAGUACAAACAAUUUUUGAGAUCUCGUGCAUGCUUUCGAAGAUUACAACAUCGAGAGAUUAAUAAGUUAUUCACAGAAUCUUUUCAUGAAUGGUUAAGCCAAACGGUAUGUAACUGAAGUUAAUAAGUUACAUAUAAUCGCGAAAUUUAGUUAAUCAAAUAAGAAUGUUUUUACAUAAUACAUUUAUAAUUACUCAAUUUACUUUUGAUUCAAUAGGUUUGGAGUGGGAGGGACGUCAAUGAUGAAAUUAAAUGGCUUUCCCAAGGUCUGAACAGAGUAAUAAAAAAAUAUAGUGUCUUCCUCAUCAAUAGAUACAGAUUUCAUACAAAAUAUCGCGAGAGAAUGAGGAGAACUCAAAAUUGUGGAAUUGUUGUUAAUUCUUCAAUUACAAGUUAUGCUAGUGCUAGGGACAGUAAUCCGGUUGAGGGUAAUGUGGAGUAUUAUGGACUUCUUACCGACAUUAUUGAAUUGGAUUAUUAUGGAAGAUGGAAAGUUGUCUUAUUUCGGUGUGAUUGGGCUGAUGUUAAUACUGCUCGCGGAAUUAAAAAAAAUCAAUUUGGUUUUACAAUGGUUAAUUUCUCUCGCUUGAUUUACACUGGACAACAAUUGAUGGACGAGCCAUAUGUAUUUUCUUCUCAAGUGAAACAAGUUUUUUAUUCGAAAGAUCCAACUGAUGAGGGUUGGUAUGUUGUACUCCGGAACACCCCUAGAGACUUGUUUGACAUUGGAAAUGGAAGUAGAGAUGACAUCGUCGAAAGAUCAGAAACAUUACCUUUUCCAGAACAAAACUUAGAUGAAAAUAUCCCUAGUACUAGUACACAACAUCAAUGGGUUCGACAUGAUGUGGAUGAAGAUAUUUACGAAUAAUGAUGUAGUAAGAUUUUACGAUUUUUUAAUUAUAUGUAAUAUUAUAAUUUUAAUCUUGGUAAUGUUAUAUUAUUUAACUAUUUUAUAUGUACUAUUAUUAUUGUAAUUUGUUAUUAAAUUUCAACUAUUUUAUGUGUAUUGCAGGAAAAAUGUGUAGAAGAAGAUUACGAGAUUUAAGUAUUGUCCAGAAUACUCCAAAUUCAGAAGAAGCAAAUAGUGAACAGUAAACAGUUAUUGGAUCUUCGAAUGUGCCGGAGACACUUGACGAGCCUGCAGAAUUUCAAAGUAAUGUUAAGUUCAUUUUACAUGUGUUGACUUUUAUUAUUGAUUUAUUUGUCAAUUUUAAUAUAAUAAUAACAUACUAUUUUUUCAACUAAAAGUGGUGGGACACGCAGAGGUCGAGGACGUACGCUGCUUAAAGAUUUAUACGACUUAAAUCCUGUCGAGCGUAUCAAAGUAAGUAGAAACAGUUAUGGUCAACCUGUUGGAUCUGAAGCUCGACUUUUAGCAGGUUAUUUGGGCAUUAUAUCACGAAAUGCCAAUAUGUUGCCCAUCAACUACAAACCAUGGCAUCACAUGCCUGAUAGCAACAAAAAUCAAGCUCUAGAUAAUAUUAAGGUAACAAAACGUGAAUGUAAUUUGUAAUAUUUUGGUUCAAGUUUCAUUUAUAUUUACAUUCUAAACUUGUGUUUUUUUAGGAGCGAUUUGCUUUAGAGGUCUCUGACGACUACAUCAAAAAGGCAUUGGGUAAAAAAUGGAAAGACCAUAAAAGCAGUUUGAAAAAACUAUAUUUUAAGAAAGACAUAAGCCUCAAGGAAAAAUUGAGAAAUGUCCCGCCGGAAAUGCUGAGGUACCAAUGGGAAGAUGCGGUUAGAUUCUGGAAUUCAAAGAAAGGAGAGGUAUUACGUAUUUCCAAACUCUUAUAUAUAGUGUUUACUAUAUUCGUAAUAAUAAUUUCAUUAUGUAGGACUAUGAGCGAGUUGGAAUAAGCGGUAGACAAAAAAAAAUUCACGCACACGGCAGAGUCGAGAAGUUUUGUUUCUAUAGCUAAGGCCGAGGUAUUAUGAAUUUAUUAAUUCUUUCAAAUAUUAAUAAGUUUCUACUAUUAAAUAAUAUUUUUACUACUUUAUUGUAGGAAAUCUCGUCUGGUCAAAAAGUUGGACGCCUUCAGCUUUUUGAGAUUACGCAUAAGAAGAAAGAUGGAUCUCCUAUGACAUUCGAAGCUGGAGAAAUUAUGGUAUAUUUACUUAAUAAAAUUUUAAUUAUUAUAAAUAUUUUUAAUGUUUAAUUAAUUAUGGUUUAAUUCGUCAUUACUAGUUUUAAAUAAUGUUAAUUUUAUGUUCCAUUCCUUUUUAUUAUAUAUUUCGUUUCUAACUCUUUAAUUGAUUUUUUAGGAGAAACUAAAGGAGAAGAAGGCGGAGUAUGAAGCGAUGGCUUCGACUGAUAGUUCUGUUAAUCUUGAGAAUAUUGAUAACAGAAUUAUCAAUAAAGUUUUAGGUCCUGAAAGGUACGGUCGGGUUUGAUUUCAAGGAUCUGGUGUUACCCCGACCCAAUAUUUUGGAUCCGGCUCCCAACAAUACAUGCCUUUCGGGAGUCAAGCUCAUGCUGAAGUUCAAAGGUUAAGAGACCAGAUAGCUCAGAUGCAAGCGAACACGGUUGAGUAAAUUGCUGAGGCUCAAAGAAAAUAUGAAGAACUCCAGCAACAACUUAGAGCAGAGGCAGCAGAGAGGGAGGCAGCGGUAGCAGCGAGGGAGGCAGAGCAAAGCAGAAAGUACGAUGAGCUUCAGUUGCAGCUUCAGCAAAUGAUGCAGAUGUUUCAGCAGUCGCAAAAGCCGCCAUCUUAGACAUUAGUUUUCUCCUUGUAAGAAUGUUUUUGACAUUGUCACAUUUAACAUUUUGUAAGAAUAUUACUUAACUUAUUAAUUAUAUCAUAGAUCUUUCGUUGAAUUUGAAGUAUCAUUUAGAUUUAAUGUUUUUGAUUAUAUUUUUUAUGCUAUAUUUGUUGUUUUUGGUUGGAUUUCAUGCUAUAUUUGCUGUUUUUGGUUGGAUUUAAUGCAGGAAGGGUUGAAUAUUGGUAAAAAAUGUACAUUUCAAAUUUGCCAAAAUUAACGGCGUUUGUGAAAAAAGCGCCACUAAAAGCCAUGACUUUUAGCGGCGCUUCCCCAACAAAUGCCGCUAAAAGCCAUGACUUUUAGCGGCGCUUUUAUCAUAAACGCCGCUAAAAGUCUUGAUCUUUUGUGGCGUUUUUUUCAGAUAAACGCCGCAAAAUUUGGCGGCGUCUCCUAUAGCGGCGUUCUUUGCGACGCUUGGGAAAACGCCGCUAAAAGUCUGUUUUCUUGUAGUGUCAACAAGCUUGCCCUAAGUAUGAGUAGCAAUUUUGUAAGCAACUUCUCAAGUACAAAAUUUUAAAACUCUUCAAUUAAUAUCGUACAUCUUUAGGAAGUGGUUUUUCCACUAGUAUUUAUAUCUUUCUAACAAUCUUCUUCCUUAUGACAUUGCCAUUAUCAACUAGUACCAUUGGUUGUGCAUCUAAUUUGGAAAAGUUGAUGUCACUGGAUUGUAACUUUAUCCUUUAAUGCCAACACUAUCAUUCGUAUUGCCAAAAUUUUCCUAUCUCUUAAAUCUUCUCCAUCAUUGUCACCAUUGGAUUUUCAUAUUAUCGCGAUUCCAGCCUCGAAUUCAUUUUCCUCAACAACAUGCUUUUCAUUGUUGAUACAUUUUCUUCUUGGACAAUCAUUAGAGCGAUGCUAUAUCCAUAAUGUUCUAAUUUCUUCCCUAACAUUAUAUAUUAAUUCUUCGAUACCUAUAGGUAUCGAGUUCUUCUAAUAUAAAUAUUCCACUUAAUUCUCUUUUAUUUUCACCAAAAAUUCUCUCAAAAGAAAAAAUCAAUCAAACUCUUUCACUCUCUAAAAAAAAACCUCAAUUUUCUACUUCUUUUUGAAACAAAAAAAGAUACUUUAAGAUUUCAAGAAAACAUGUAGUUUACCAUGUCGUUGAUAUGGUAAAAUUACUUAUUUUUAAUUUUGUUAUUAUGGAAAUAUUUUUUGAAAUAAAAAAAUUAACUUCUUGUGAUUUUUUGAACAUUAAAGAAAAUAAGUUAUCCAUGCUCGACAUAAUUUGCAAUUCUCGAAAUCAGAUGGAUGUAUUCAAUAUUGUUGAUUUAUUUUUGGCAUCUAUGAUAAAAAUGUUUGAUAUUAUACAGGAGUUGCUUGUUACAUUAUUAGAAAGAUGAAGGCCAAAAACGUUUACAUUUCAUAUUCUAUACGAGAAAGUGACUAUAAUGUUAGAAGCUAUCGCUUUAAUAAUUAAUCUUCUAAUCAACAGGCAAGAGAGAAUCAAAGACAAUAACAUCAAUGUGAAAUCAAAGUGUUAUAAUUUUUUGGGUGUUGUGCCAUCUAAGGAGAAGAAAGAAUUGCAUGAAAAUAGGAUGAAAUUAUCAUAGUUCAAGAGACUUAUUGAUCUGACCCUUUCGCUACAUGCGAUUGCGGAGGAGAUGGAUCAAUAUGCUAAAGAUUGGAUGCUUUGGAUGAAAGAAAGAAUGCUACCUCUAAAAAAGUUUGGCAACAAGGUCUAUACCAUGAUAUUCCUUUACUCGAAUCUUUUGCUACAGUCAGUACAUUCAACUAAAGGCCAGCAAUAUUGGUGUAUCUCUAUAGCGCGUUUUGCAAGGACUUGAGAUCAGAUCAAUGAAGGAAAUGGUUGUCUGCUUUUGUAAACUUGGGCAUGGAUAUCGAUUAUGUGGUUAGUUUCCAUCCCUUCUUAGACAUUAGAGUUCUUUCUUAUUUAAAGAUAAGAAAACAUAAUCAUAUUGAAUACCAUAAAUUGUAUUAAAUGAUCAAUACUUAUAAUUUCUCAUUACAUUUAAUAAUUGAACAAAUUUAGGAGCUACUUGGAUCAUAAAUGUUUUAAAAAGGACCUUAUUAGAUGUGAUGAAAAAUCUAUUUAUGAGUUGGUGAAGAGGUAUGUUGAUAUUAUAUUGUUAUUCAAUUUAAGUAAUCUUUGUUAUAAAUUAAUAUACUUGUAUUUAUUUUGUAUGCUUGUAGUUCCUAUGGAUGACAUACCUGGACAACACAAUUUUUUUUUUCAUUUUACCCAAGACAACGUAGGAAUGCUCUAUGUUAUUUAAGGUGAAGGUGCCCGUCAUUUGAUUCCAUAUUGUAGAAUCGUAGCACCCUGACCAAGUGAAACAACAAUUUGUGUUAGCAUAAGAUAUUUUGGAUGACCAACAAAACCUUAAUUACUUUGAGAGAUAGAUAUGACAGGGCAUGAUAAGCAUUUCCCAAUAAAGCAUGCACUAAAGGUUGUGCUUUGAAACUAGCAAGCUCAGCAUUGCAUCUACAAGAACAUUAUCUAAUAUUGUAAUUUCUACCCUUUGAGGCAUAUAUGUGUUGGUUUGUAUAGAUGGGUCCAGUGCAUCUCUUUAUAAAAGGGGGAUAUUCAGUAGUUAUAGAAUGAUGUGUAUAAUCCAACUGUCAACGAGUACAUUUAGUGACAUUGUGAUCAAGCAUUCUAGCUUGUCCAGCUAGAGUUCAAGCCACCUAUACAACAAUUCGACCUAGAGCCACAUGUCAAAGCUACCAAACAGGUCAUAUUGACCCCAUCUUCCCUUUUGACAUACUAUCUAAAUGGGCUCUCAUUAAAUUUUGGCAAGGGAUCUAGUCAUGACAACACCUUUUUUAUUGUUUAUGGCACCAAUGAUGAAAAUGACUUGUACAAACUUUAAUCCCUCCAUCCAUUACAUCAUUAUUCUUUAUUGGACAACUUGAAUGUGUACUUCGAUUUCUUCCCACAGUUGUAUGAAAUGAAUAAUAAUGGUGAUGAUGAUGCUUUAGUCUAGGCUCCAUAUGAUAGAAUAUAACUCCAAUUUUUCAACCAUCGAUAUGUGGAACCCAUUUUCUAUAAGGAUGUCACUUAAGAUUGGGGUUUGGUUGUUAAUUAUAAAAUCUUUGUAUUAUUUGAUCUCAUCAAUGUAAUGUGUUGGCCUGAAACAAUUGUUAAGUUGACAAAAAACAGAAUAUAAGCAAAAGUGACAGUGAAAAUAGGCACUUCUAUAAUAACUACGACAAGAAAAAUUAACAUAGGGGUACGCAAUUCAGUUUCCCUGCGCUUGCAGAGCAUAGCUUAGUGAGAUGAAUCCACUAUCUUUAAAACAAAUACAACCAGUGGUCCUAGUUCUAAGACACCUUAGUGAAGAAUCCUCACUCUUACACUUCAAAGGCUAGAUCUCUCACCGCUAAAUUCUUCACCUGAGAACUUAGCUUGUAAAACCAACCACGCCAAGGUUUUACAAUCAUAAAUCCACUCUCACAAGAUAAUGUUAUUGAUUGAACAAAUAAGUACUCACAAAACUCAAUACAACAACUUAUACAAGUCUUGAUAAUAUAAUGUUUUUAAGACUUACUAACAUGGUGACCAAAGUAAAAUGAAUUUUUUCCAGAUAUGUCUUCAAUUUUCAAUCUGAUCCAAAUUCCUUAAUCCAAGGGAUUCAAUGUAAAUCAUCUGAUCCAAUCCAAUCUUCUAAAUAUGUUUCUCUAACUAAAUUUAUCUUCAUUCAUAAGCUUGAUUCAUUCCACGAUUCAAUCUUCUAAAUGUGUCAAGUUGUUGUUUUGUCGCAGUGAUGAAGGAAGUGUUCAUUUCCCUUAGCACAUUACAACAACUUCAAAUAUUUCAACAUAAUGAUAUUUUUCUUGUGUUUGUUUUUGAUUUUACAAUUUUAGUUAUCAAAUUAUUGAGUUAUGUUUUAGGUAGUUAAUUAAAAAGUUAUAUUGAGUAAUGAUUUCCAGGAAUUAUUAAAUUAUUGAGUUAUGUUUUUGGUAGUUAAUUAUAAAGCUAUAUUAAGUAAUGAUUUUUAGAAAUUAUCAAAUUAUUGAGCUAAUGGUACCCAACUUACCCAACAAUGUCAUCGGUUCAAAUCCUACCAAGCGCAAAUAUAAGCUAGUAGUACCGACUUCUUUAGGUCGCCUCAUCAAACACUCAAGCUUUCUAAAAGUCAAGAGACAUGAUAAACCAUAAUAUAUACAUAUUUUUAACCUAAUCUUGGCAUAUUUUUGGAUGAUUUAUCAUAAGAUUUAGUGAAUUUAAUGCUCCUAAUCCUUUAGUUUCAUUUUUUAUACUCAGGCGAGCAUUGAAAGGCGAAAAGAGCAAGAAACGGGCCAAAAACAGACAAAAUGGGCCGAAAUCAGCAUGGCACACGACCUAGGCACUUCCACACGGGUAAUCCACACACCCGUGUGUGACACAUGGGUAGACCACACGCCUGUGUGUCAUGCCCGUGUCGACACCAAACCAAGUCAAAAUUGAACAUGGCCGAAGCACCUUUACACGGGCGUGGCACACAGCCAUGUCCCUAUCGAGCCUAAGUUUAAUUCUACUCGAAAAAAGGCCAAUUUUGGGCUAAUUUGGGCAUUCUAAAGUCUAUUUAAAGACCCUAGAAGAGGAUUAAAGGGGACACAGGGAGUGGAAGGUAGAAAAUACUCAAGGACAGCCAUUAGAAUCACCUCAGAGGCAGGAUCUACAUCAAGACUGAAAAUUUCCAUCCAAUUUCCUAGAAGUUCUUUAGGUUUCUUUACGCUUUGUUGUUUUCCAAAAUUUGAGAUGUUUUCCAUUAUUAUUAUGAACUAAACUCCCUAAAUGCCUAAGGGAGAUAAAACCUAAGACAGAUCUUAUUACUAUUUGAGUUAUAUGAUAAAUACUUGUUCUUAUUUUUAAUUAUAAAUUUAACCAUUGCCUUAAUAUUCCAGGAUAUUAAUUCAGGUUUUUGAUGUGCUUAUUUAGUGGAGCAAAAGUCCCUGUUUAAGAGCAAGUCAUUUAUAAUUAAGUGGAGUUGCAUGCAAUCCUAGAGAUAGGACAACAAAAAUCUACCGGAUUAGAGUCAAAUCUAAUAAAGGAAUCCAUAGAUCGAGCUAAUGCGACAAUAGGGAUUUUAAUUAGGAAGAGAUUUCAAUUAAUCAACCUAGAGUCAAUUGUUUUUAGUCUCGAGAGAGAUAUUAACAUAAAUCAGGGGUUUCUACGGAUUAAGUCAAGUGAAUAAAUCGUCUAACUCAAAGGUAAUAAGUGAAGUCUAGGUGGAUUCUUCCUUGGGUAUUGUCUUCUCCAUCGGUUCUUUAAAAAGUAUUUUCCAACUUUAAUCUCUGUCGUAAUCUUAGUUAAUUAGAUAAUUAGUUUUAAUUUAAAAAACAUUCUUUAAUUCUUAGGCUAGAUAAUAAAAAGAUAGUAAUUACUAUUACUUUUAGUCCUCGUAGAUACGAUAUUUUCGGUCUCACUAUAACUAUACUAUUGUUCAAUAGGUGCGCUUGCCUUAGUCGAAUUUUUAGUUAGUUUAGCGACCAUCAAGUUUUUGACACCGUUGCUGAGGACUAAGAUAUUAGGAACGCUUAAUUUUUAUUACUUUAGCCAUUCUUUAUUUUUAUUGCAAUUUAAUUUUAUUUACUAAAUCUUCUUUUCUCUACUUCUAGCAGGUUUUUAUAGUUUAUGACUAGAAGAAACCCGUCAGGACCUUUACUUUUUGAUAGAGAAAUUGAAAGCACAGCUCGCAGGAACCGAAGAGAAAUAAGGCGAAGCCUACAAUACAUAGAGGAAGAACGAGAGGCCGAUAUCGAUACCACAACCGAGGAGAUGGCUGAUAAUCAGAAUAAUCUGUUACCUCCUGUGGUUGCUGCAAAUCCAGUAAAUCAAGAUCCUACUCCUCGUACUAUGUAUGAUUAUGCUAAACCUACUUUAACAGGAGCUGAAUCGAGUAUAGUUAAACCUAAAUAAUUUUGAACUGAAACCUAUCACGAUUCAAAUGAUACAACAGUUUGUUCAGUUUGACGGUUUGCAGGACAAGGAUCCAAACACUCAUUUAGCAAAUUUUCUGGAAUUCUGCGACACCUUUAAGAUCAAUGGAGUUUCUGACGAUGCCAUUCACCUUCGGUUGUUCCCAUUCUCAUUGAGGAAUAAGGCUAAACAGUGGUUGAACUCGUUGUCACGAGGAUCAAUCACCACUUGGGAACAAAUGAACGAAAAAUUUUUACUUAAAUAUUUUCCAUCGGCUAAAACGACUAAAUUAAGGAAUGAUAUUUCUUCUUUUGUGCAAAUGGAUUUAGAAACACUUUAUGAUGCAUGGAAGAGAUACAAUGAUCUAUUGAGAAUGUGCCCUCACCAUGGGUUACCCCUUUAGCUAAAGUUCAAACUUUCCACAACGGUUUGAAUCCCUCGACUAGACAGAUGAUUGACGCAGCUGCUGGUGGGACUAUUAACAAUAAGACACCUGAAGAGGCUUAUGAGUUUAUAGAAGAGAUGUCACUGAAUGAUUAUCAGUGGCAAGUCGUGAGGAUAAAGCCGACGAAAGAGGCCAGCAUUUUUAACGUCGAUUUGGUUGCUAUGCUUUCCAAUCAGGUAAAACUUUUGAAUAGAAAAAUUGAUGGGUUACUUGGUUCUUCACAGGUUCAUCCAGUAAUGCAGUGCGAUGCAAAUGGAGGUGGAACGAGCAAUUUAGACUAUCCAUCCUAUGGCCCUAACAUGGAAAACAAGCAAAUGAACUAUAUGGGUAAUAAUCCUCGGCCUCAUAAUAAUCCUUAUAGUAACACUUACAAUGCAGGUUGGAGGAACCACCCAAAUUUCUCAUGGGGAGGCUAAGGAAAUCAAAGACCACCACCUCCCCCAGGCUUUCAACAACAACCUUACCAACAAGAGAAAAAGUAGAACCUUGAGGAGAUGAUGACAAAGUUUAUUUCAAUAGCGGAAACUCAUUUUCAAAACACUGAAACUACACUUAAAAAUCAACAAGCAUCAAUUCAAGGGCUCGAGAUUCAAAUUUGGCAACUGGCUAAGAUGAUUUUAGAGAAACCACCAGGGAGCCUACCUAGCAAUACCAAACCCAAUCCAAAAGAGCAUGUGAAAGCAGUUACAUUAAGGAGUGGGAAGGUGUUAGCUGAAUCUAAAAAGAAGAUGCCACCAGAAUCCGACAAAAAAGAAGAUGAGGAGGAAAAAGUAAAAAUAAUGAAAAACCGGUGUUGAGGGAAUAUAAACCACCAAUCCCAUACCCAGCAAAGUUGAAGAAAGACCGCAUAGAUGCACAAUUCGGUAAAUUUCUUGAAUUUUUUAAACAAUUACAUAUUAAUUUACCCUUUGUUGAAGCUAUCUCGCAGAUGCCUACAUAUGCAAAAUUUUUAAAAGAGCUUCUAACAAAUAAAAGGAAGUUUGAAAACUUGUCUACAGUGGAUCUCAACGAGGAAUGCUCGACCAUACUCCAAAAUAAACUGCCAACCAAACUGAAAGAUCUAGGAAGUUUUACUAUUCCCUGCUUAAUUGGUAGUUUAAAUGUUGAGAAGGCACUAGCUAAUUUAGGCGUUAGCAUUAAUCUGAUGUGAUAGCCCGAAAUAGGGCCUAAUCGGAAUAGUAGUUUCGUAACCACAAAUCCGAAGUGAAAUAGUUUAAUUUUAUAAAUUUUUAUUAGUUACUGAUUGAUUGAAAUAUUGUGUGAAAAUAUGGAUAGGAAAUUUUAAUACUUUAGUGCUUAAUUGAAUUUUUAGGACUAAAUUGAGAAAAAUGCAAAGUGUGUCUAAUUAGUGAUUAAAUGACUUAAUUGAAUUAUUGCAUGAAAUUGGAAGUGUUUAUGUGGCAAUUAGACCAUAAAUUAGUGUUAUGGACACAAAAGGGUAUUUCUAGAAAAAUAUCUAAGUAAUGGGUCAAGGGCAUUUUUGUCCAAAUUGGGUAAAAGACAAAAUAAAGAGAAAAUAAGUGUCCAUCUUCUUCAAAAAAAUCAGAAGCUUGCUGCCGAAAGUUUCAGGUUACCAUAGUUAAGGGUUUUGAUUUUCCUAAGCUCAAUUAUCAAGAAAGAAGAAAUAGUGCAAGUGAUCGGGGAAAAGAGAAAGUUAUCGACUAAAUUACAAAAAUAGUCGUUUUGCAUCCGAGGUAAGUUAUAUGUAAAUAAUAGUUAUAUUUGUAUAAAUUGUGAAUUAUAUUUGAUAUGUGAAUUAAUAUUGAAUGUGGAAGGAAAGUUGUUCAUGAAUUAUUCAAGUGAUAAAGUGUUGAAAAUAAAGUGUUAAGUGUAAAUUCUCGGUUGAACUUAGGAAUAGAAUUGGAUACAAGUGACAUGUCACUAGAGACCAGUGUUACAGUGUUACAGUGAGUCCCGGGUGCUGGGUGAUCUAGCAUGUGUUGCAGACACCUGACAGCUUGUGUGAGCAGACCCGUGGACAUUUCCAGUGUUAUUGAUCAGUGGUAGCUUCGGCUACAUUUCAGUGGUAGCUUUGGCUACAUCCAGUGGUAGCUUCGGCUACAUAUCAGUGGUAGCUUCGGCUACAUAUCAGUGUGGCACUUAUGUGCUAAAUCUCUACGUAUCCGUGUAUAUUCCAAGUGUUCAACGGGAUUAAUAAUGAAUUAAAGUGAAUAUGAAAUGUUAAGUGUGAAAAUGUAUAUGCAAGUGAAUUGGUAAGAUUGUGUAUGUGUAAGUGAUUGAAAUUGCUAAGAAAUGUUUUGAUUAGUUAUAUGUUAAAAGUGUUAAUUAUUAAUUGAGUAAUUAUUGUUUACAUGUAACUUACUAAGCUAUUUAUAGUUUACACAUCUCUUUCUUUCCUUUGUUUUAUAGUGAUUUGAACUUGAUCGAAUAGUGGACCGUCGGAGCUCGUAUCACACUAUCAUAACCAUCUCGGUAUUAUGUGCUUUUCAAAAUGUUUAAACUAUGGCAUGUAUAGAGUCUUAAUCAUUUUGAGCAUGUCCAAAUGAUAUGGCUAAUGUUAGCUAUUGAAGUAGUUAUUAAAGAAUAUGUUUUGGAGUUAUGUAUGUUUAAAUGGUAACUAAUUCAAAGAAGCAGUUUCUUUGACAGUAGCAGUGACGUGAAUGUGAAAAAUCACCAUAAAUAGUAGAAAUAGAAUUAGAGGGUGAAUGAUAUAUAUAAUUAAAGCUUAUCAAGUCUAUUUUUACAUGAAAGAAACGGUGUAGGCAAAGGAAUUUUAUAUUUUGAGAUAUUUAAAUUUUAGUGAGACAGGGUCAGAAUGGUUUUUGAAGUCCCCUGUUCUAACUUUAGAAAAUCAUUAUAAAUUGUACACAAAUAAUUAUAGGUCAUAAUUUAUAUGUUUAGAUUCCUUAGUGAGUCUAUUUUCAAAAUAAAUUAAUGGUAAUCUUAUAUGAAUUCUGUACAAUUAGAUAUUUGAUUUUUAGCGCCAAGAGGUCAGAUCUGUCGAGCUGUGAAACAGGGGAUACUUUAAUGAAUAAACUGUACUAAUGUGCUAAGUCAAAAAUUUUUAAACUUUUAUGGUAAGUAGGAAUAUGAGUCUAGUUUCACAGAAAAUUUACGGAUUUAAAUUUUGAGUUUCGUAACUCAAGUUAUAAUUAAAUUAGUGACAGUUGCGCAGGUGGACAAUGUUGUUAUGAACAGUGAAUUUAAUUUUAAAAGCAAAUUUUUAUGCUCCGAAUCGGUAAGUUAAAUUGGAUGACAUCUCGUACUCGAUUCCGGAGAUGGUCUCGGGUAAGGGGUGUUACAUUUAGUGGUAUCAGAGCUACGGUUUAGUCGAUUCUCGGACUAACGUAGCGAGUGUAAUAGACUAUCUAUACAUGCCAUAAUUGAAUAAUGAUAGUGUGACGACUCCUGACAUCUUAAAAUGUUUUUUUAUAGUAAUGGAUUCUAACCGAGAUACAGCUGAUGAUGCUCAAAGUAAUGUGCCUGUUGAAAGUCGAUUCGAGACUCAGGGUCAAGGAGAUGAGGCUCGAGAAGCUUUUCUCCAAAUGAUGAACAAUUGGUACACUGAGUUUGUUAGAACUAAUCCUAAUGCUCAACCUCCUCCGUCACCUCCUAUUCCUCAAGCUGUUCCCAUAGCUCCUCAACAAACUGAAGUGUUAAAAUUGUCAAAGCCUCCAGUGGACAAAAUUCGAAAGUAUGGAGCCGAAGAGUUCCGAGCUAAUGUAAAUGAUGAUCCUGAAAGAGCAGAGUUCUGGCUUGAUAAUACUAUCAGAGUGUUGGAUGAAUUAUCUUGUACUCUAGAAGAAAGUCUCAAAUGUGCUUCUCAUUGCUGAGGGAUUCGGCUUAUAAUUGGUGGAAAACUUUAGUGUCAGUGGUGCCUAAAGAGAAAGUUACAUGGGACUUCUUUCAAGAAGAAUUCCGGAAGAAGUAUGUGAGUCAGCGUUUCAUUGAUCAAAAGAGAAAAGAGUUUCUUGAAUUGAAACAAGGGCGCAUGACGGUAGCCGAAUAUGAGCGAGAAUUUGUCAAAUUAAGCAAGUAUGCCCAAGAGUGUGUAUCUAAUGAAGCUACAUUGUGUAAAAGGUUUGAAGAUGGAUUAAACGAGGACAUCCGAUUGCUAGUGGGAAUUCUUGAAAUUAAAGAGUUAGUGGUACUAGUUAAAAGAGCUAUCAAGGCUGAAGAAUUGAGCAAAGAGAAAAGAAAGGUGGAAAGUGAAGCAAGAGAUGAAAGAAAAAGAUCAAUGGGCAAGCCAUUUCAGUCUCAAGCGAAGAAGUUUAAAGAAAUGAAUACUCGAUCGAAUGUUUCUAGUGUGAAUUUUCAAAGAGAUCGAGGAAGACAAUAUUCAGGUUCUAAAGCUCAGGCAACUUCUAUGGCAAGUACAGGUAGUGUUAAACCUACUAGACCGGAAUGUCAACAUUGUGGAAAACGACAUUUGGAGGAAUGUUAUUUAAUCAGCCGAGCUUGUUUUAAAUGUGGAUCUCAAGAUCAUUUUGUGAAAGAUUGUCCGGAAAGAGAAGAGAUAGAAAAGUUUCAGAAUGUGAGAUCGAGCAGUGUGACUACUAGAGGAAGACCACAGAGAAAUGUGGGGAUUGGAACUAGUGGUAGAGGCGUAACAAAAGACACGACUGUAAGAUCUGAAGUGGGAGCUCCAGCAAGAGCUUAUGCCAUCCGAGCUAGAGAGGAAGCAUCUUCUCCUGAUGUGAUCACUGGUAUAUUUUCUCUUUACGACACUAAUGUUCUUGCAUUGAUUGAUCCUGGUUCUACUCACUCGUAUGUAUGCAUGAAUUUAGUGUCUGAUAAGAAUUUGUGUGUUGAAUUGACUGAGUAUGUGGUUAAAGUGUCGAAUCCUUUAGGCAAGCAUAUGAUAGUUGAUAAAAUAUGCAAAAAUUGUCCUUUGAUUAUACAAGGUCAGUGUUUCCCUGCCAACUUAAUGUUGUUGCCAUUUGAUGAAUUUGAUGUUAUUUUGGGAAUGGAUUGGUUGACAUUACAUAAUGCCAAGAUAGAUUGCAGUCAGAAAAUUCUUGAGUUGAAGUGUGGUAGUGGUACAGUUCUUCGGGUUGAAACAGAUAAGUCAAAUGUGAUGCCAAUUGUGAUUUCUGCCAUGUCUGCUCAGAAAUGUUUGAAAAAUGGUUGUGAAGCAUAUCUUGCUUAUGUGUUGAACACAAAAGUGUCUGAAAUAAAGAUCGAAUCAGUGCCAGUGGUAUGUGAAUAUAUAGAUGUGUUCCUAGAAGAGUUGCCAGGUUUGCCUCCGAUUAGAGAAGUAGAGUUUGGUAUUGAAGUAAUGCCAGGUACUGCUCCAAUAUCGAUUGCUCCCUACAGAAUGGCACCAACUGAAUUAAAAGAAUUAAAAGUGCAAUUACAAGAGCUGACAGAUAAAGGAUUUGUUAGACCAAGUUACUCUCCGUGGGGUGCUCCCGUGCUAUUUAUGAAGAAAAAGGAUGGGACAUUGAGAUUGUGUAUUGAUUAUCGUCAACUUAACAAAGUGACAGUGAAGAAUAAGUAUCCAUUACCCCGAAUAGAUGACUUGUUUGAUCAGUUAAAGGAUGCCACAGUGUUUUCCAAAAUUGAUUUGAGAUCCGGAUAUUAUCAAUUGAGGGUUAAAGAGUCAGAUGUGCCAAAGACUGCUUUCAGAACCCGAUAUGGCCACUAUGAAUUUCUUGUAAUGCCUUUUGGUCUGACUAAUGCUCCAGCUAUUUUUAUGGAUUUGAUGAAUCGAAUUUUCCGACCCUAUUUGGAUAAAAUUGUUGUGGUGUUUAUAGAUGAUAUUCUUAUUUAUUCCCGAAGUGAAGCCGAGCAUGCUGAACAUUUAAGAAUUGUGCUACAAACGCUGCGAGAAAAGAAAUUGUUUGCUAAAUUUAGCAAAAGUGAAUUUUGGCUUAGUGAAGUUGGAUUUUUGGGGCAUAUUGUCUCGGGAGAUGGCAUUCGAGUGGAUCCGAAUAAGAUAUCGGCAAUAGUUGAGUGGAAGCCUCCAAGAAAUGUAUCUGAAGUUAGGAGUUUUCUGGGCUUAGCCGGAUAUUAUCGUCGAUUUGUAGAAGGUUUUUCGAUGAUAGCUUCACCGAUGACAAAAUUGUUGCAAAAAGAUGUUAAGUUCGAAUGGACCGAGGAGUGUCAACAAAGUUUUGAGAAAUUAAAGAAGUGUUUAACUGAGGCACCAGUGUUAGUGCAACCUGAGUCAGGAAAGGAAUUUGUUGUUUAUAGUGACGCGUCACUAAAUGGGCUUGGAUGUGUAUUGAUGCAAAAAGGAAAGGUGAUAGCGUAUGCUUCUCGACAAUUGAAACCGCAUGAACGAAAUUAUCCUACCCAUGAUUUAGAGUUGGCUGCUAUUGUCUUUGCUUUGAAGAUUUGGCGUCAUUAUUUAUAUGGUGAGAAAUGUCGUGUUUUUACAGAUCAUAAAAGUUUGAAAUAUGUUAUGACACAAAAAGAUCUGAAUUUGCGGCAAAGAAGAUGGUUGGAAUUGUUGAAAGAUUAUGAACUUGUGAUAGAUUAUCAUCCGGGAAAAGCUAAUAUAGUUGCUGAUGCUUUGAGCAGAAAGUCUCUCUUUGCUUUGAGAGCUUUGAAUACGAGAUUAACAUUGACUGAAGAUGGAUCAUUGUUUGCAGAGUUAAAAGCUAGACCAUUGUUUCUUCAAGAAAUUUGUGAGGCUCAGAAAGUGGAUAAUGAAUUGCAAAGAAGAAAGACUCAGUGUGCAGUGGACAAUAAUUCUAAUUUUCAGAUUGAUUCAGAUGGAUGUUUAAUGUUUCGUGAUAGAAUAUGUGUUCCAAAAAAUGUUGAUUUAAUUCAGAAAAUUUUGCAAGAAGCACAUGAUAGUCAUUUGGCAGUUCACCCCGGUAGUGUAAAAAUGUACAAUGAUUUGAAGAAAUUUUAUUGGUGGUCGGGUAUGAAACGGGAUAUCUCCGAGUAUGUGACAAAGUGUUUAGUGUGCCAACAAGUAAAAGUUGAACACCAAGUACCUUUAGGAUUACUUCAACCUAUUAUGGUGCCCGAGUGGAAAUGGGAUAGAAUUACUAUGGAUUUUGUUUCUGGAUUGCCAUUGUCACCGAAAAAGAAAGACUCAAUUUGGGUUAUAGUUGAUCAAUUGACUAAGUCGGCUCAUUUCAUUCCUGUGCGAAUGAGUUUUUCACUUGACAAGUUAGCUGAAUUGUAUAUUGCUGAGAUAGUCCGAUUACAUGGUGUACCUAUGUCUAUUAUAUCUGAUAGAGAUCCACGAUUUACUUCAAGGUUUUGGAAGAAAUUACAAGAGGCAUUGGGUACUAAAUUGAAUUUUAGUACAGCAUUCCAUCCCCAAACCGAUGGACAGUCUGAAAGAGUAAUUCAAAUACUCGAAGACAUGUUGAGAUGUGUAUUGGAAUUUGAAGGUAAUUGGGAAAGAUAUUUACCUUUGGUGGAAUUUGCUUAUAAUAAUAGUUAUCAGUCAAGCAUAAAAAUGGCACCUUAUGAAGCGUUGUAUGGACGAAAGUGUCGGACUCCAUUAUAUUGGACUGAACUUAAUGAAAAUCAGUUACAUGGAGUCGAUUUGGUAAAAGAAACCGAAGACAAAGUGAAGAUAAUCCGUGAUUGUUUGAAAGCUGCAUCGGAUCGACAGAAGUCGUAUGCGGACUUAAAAAGAAAAGAGAUUGAGUUUCAAGUGGGAGAUAAAGUAUUUUUGAAAGUGUCUCCAUGGAAGAAAAUUUUUAGAUUUGGCCGUAAAGGAAAAUUAAGUCCAAGAUUUAUUGGUCCGUAUGAAGUGAUAGAAAGAAUUGGUCCAGUGGCUUAUCGAUUGUCUUUACCACCGGAAUUGGAAAGAAUUCAUAAUGUGUUUCAUGUUUCUAUGUUGAGGCGAUAUCGAUCGGACCCAUCACAAGUGAUUUCACCGACUGAAGUGGAAAUUCGAUCGGAUAUGACAUACGAAGAAGAACCGAUUCGAAUCUUGGCACGAGAAGUGAAACAGUUGAGAAACAAAGAAAUUGCUUUAGUGAAAGUGUUAUGGCAACGACAUGGGGUGGAAGAGGCAACAUGGGAAACCGAGGAGGCUAUGAGGAAACAAUAUCCCAACUUAUUCACUGGUAAGAUUUUCGGGGACGAAAAUCCCUAAGGGGGGAGAAUUGUGAUAGCCCGAAAUAGGGCCUAAUCGGAAUAGUAGUUUCGUAACCACAAAUCCGAAGUGAAAUAGUUUAAUUUUAUAAAUUUUUAUUAGUUACUGAUUGAUUGAAAUAUUGUGUGAAAAUAUGGAUAGGAAAUUUUAAUACUUUAGUGCUUAAUUGAAUUUUUAGGACUAAAUUGAGAAAAAUGCAAAGUGUGUCUAAUUAGUGAUUAAAUGACUUAAUUGAAUUAUUGCAUGAAAUUGGAAGUGUUUAUGUGGCAAUUAGACCAUAAAUUAGUGUUAUGGACACAAAAGGGUAUUUCUAGAAAAAUAUCUAAGUAAUGGGUCAAGGGCAUUUUUGUCCAAAUUGGGUAAAAGACAAAAUAAAGAGAAAAUAAGUGUCCAUCUUCUUCAAAAAAAUCAGAAGCUUGCUGCCGAAAGUUUCAGGUUACCAUAGUUAAGGGUUUUGAUUUUCCUAAGCUCAAUUAUCAAGAAAGAAGAAAUAGUGCAAGUGAUCGGGGAAAAGAGAAAGUUAUCGACUAAAUUACAAAAAUAGUCGUUUUGCAUCCGAGGUAAGUUAUAUGUAAAUAAUAGUUAUAUUUGUAUAAAUUGUGAAUUAUAUUUGAUAUGUGAAUUAAUAUUGAAUGUGGAAGGAAAGUUGUUCAUGAAUUAUUCAAGUGAUAAAGUGUUGAAAAUAAAGUGUUAAGUGUAAAUUCUCGGUUGAACUUAGGAAUAGAAUUGGAUACAAGUGACAUGUCACUAGAGACCAGUGUUACAGUGUUACAGUGAGUCCCGGGUGCUGGGUGAUCUAGCAUGUGUUGCAGACACCUGACAGCUUGUGUGAGCAGACCCGUGGACAUUUCCAGUGUUAUUGAUCAGUGGUAGCUUCGGCUACAUUUCAGUGGUAGCUUUGGCUACAUCCAGUGGUAGCUUCGGCUACAUAUCAGUGGUAGCUUCGGCUACAUAUCAGUGUGGCACUUAUGUUCUAAAUCUCUACGUAUCCGUGUAUAUUCCAAGUGUUCAACGGGAUUAAUAAUGAAUUAAAGUGAAUAUGAAAUGUUAAGUGUGAAAAUGUAUAUGCAAGUGAAUUGGUAAGAUUGUGUAUGUGUAAGUGAUUGAAAUUGCUAAGAAAUGUUUUGAUUAGUUAUAUGUUAAAAGUGUUAAUUAUUAAUUGAGUAAUUAUUGUUUACAUGUAACUUACUAAGCUAUUUAUAGUUUACACAUCUCUUUCUUUCCUUUGUUUUAUAGUGAUUUGAACUUGAUCGAAUAGUGGACCGUCGGAGCUCGUAUCACACUAUCAUAACCAUCUCGGUAUUAUGUGCUUUUCAAAAUGUUUAAACUAUGGCAUGUAUAGAGUCUUAAUCAUUUUGAGCAUGUCCAAAUGAUAUGGCUAAUGUUAGCUAUUGAAGUAGUUAUUAAAGAAUAUGUUUUGGAGUUAUGUAUGUUUAAAUGGUAACUAAUUCAAAGAAGCAGUUUCUUUGACAGUAGCAGUGACGUGAAUGUGAAAAAUCACCAUAAAUAGUAGAAAUAGAAUUAGAGGGUGAAUGAUAUAUAUAAUUAAAUCUUAUCAAGUCUAUUUUUACAUGAAAGAAACGGUGUAGGCAAAGGAAUUUUAUAUUUUGAGAUAUUUAAAUUUUAGUGAGACAGGGUCAGAAUGGUUUUUGAAGUCCCCUGUUCUAACUUUAGAAAAUCAUUAUAAAUUGUACAGAAAUAAUUAUAGGUCAUAAUUUAUAUGUUUAGAUUCCUUAGUGAGUCUAUUUUCAAAAUAAAUUAAUGGUAAUCUUAUAUGAAUUCUGUACAAUUAGAUAUUUGAUUUUUAGCGCCAAGAGGUCAGAUCUGUCGAGCUGUGAAACAGGGGAUACUUUAAUGAAUAAACUGUACUAAUGUGCUAAGUAAAAAAUUUUGAAACUUUUAUGGUAAGUAGGAAUAUGAGUCUAGUUUCACAGAAAAUUUACGGAUUUAAAUUUUUAGUUUCGUAACUCAAGUUAUAAUUAAAUUAGUGACAGUUGCGCAGGUGGACAAUGUUGUUAUGAACAGUGAAUUUAAUUUUAAAAGCAAAUUUUUAUGCUCCGAAUCGGUAAGUUAAAUUGGAUGACAUCUCGUACUCGAUUCCGGAGAUGGUCUCGGGUAAGGGGUGUUACAUCUGAUGCCCUACAAAAUGUUCAAGUAACUUGGUCUUGGGGAACCUAAACCUUUUAGGAUGAGUAUUCAACUACCCGAUAGAUCUGUAAAAUAUCCUAGGGAUAUUAUAGAGGACGUACUUGUAAAAGUAGAUAAAUUUAUAUUCCCUAUUGAUUUGGUUGUGCUUGACAUGGAUGAGGAUGUUGAGGUUAAUUUUAGGUCGUUCAUUUUUAGCCACUACUAGAGCUGUUAUUAAUGUGGGUGAUGUUAAACUUGUACUUAGGGUAGGUGACGAAGAGUUUAUUUUUAAAAUUUAUGAUGCCAUGAGAUUUUCUAAGGAACAGGAUGACUCAUGUUAUUUUAUUGACUCUAUUGAUCAUGCUACUCAAGAUUCUUUACAGGAAAUCGUAUAUAAAGACACGUUGGAACUGUGUCUUGCCCGAGGAGAGGAGGUAAAUGAUGAUGAUUCUGCAAUAGAUAAGAUAAAAGCUGAACUAAAUUCCAAUGAGCCUUCACUGAGACAGAAGAACAACGAGGGUAUCAAGGUCAAUAAUGAAUUAAAAUUGAAACCCUCUGUUGAAGAACCGCCUAAAUUGGAAUUAAAGCAACUACCAGAUCACUUAGAAUAUGCAUUUCUUGGAAAUAAUUCCAUAUUACUAGUGAUUAUUGUUUCAGAUUUACAGACAACUAUAAAAGACGAGUUACUCAAAGUAUUAAAGGAGCACAAAAGAGCUAUAGCUUGGAAGAUUUCUGACAUAAGAGGGAUCAACCCUUCUUUUUGUACACAUAAAAUUUUAAUGGAAGAUGAAUAUAAACCCUGUGUGCAAGCUCAAAGACGAUUGAAUCCUAACAUGAAAGAAGUCGUAAAAGCUGAGGUAAUUAAACUUCUAGAUGCAAGAAUUAUUUAUCCUAUUUUUGAUAGUUCUUGGGUGAGUCCGGUGUAGGUUGUUCCUAAGAAAGGAGGCAUGACUGUUGUGGCCAAUGAGAAGAACGAAUUAAUUCCAACGAGAACAGUCACGGGAUGGAGAGUUUGUAUUGACUAUAGAAAAUUGAACAAUGCUACAAGAAAAGAUCAAUUUCCCUUACCAUUCAUUGAUCAAAUAUUGGAAAGAUUAUCUGGACAUAUGUAUUAUUGUUUCCUAGAUGGACUCUCUGGGUAUUUCCAAAUCCCAAUAGCUCCUGAGGACCAAGAGAAAAUGACAUUUACAUCUCCAUACGGUACGUUUGCUUAUCGACGAAUGCCUUUUGGAUUAUGUAAUGCUCCUGCUACUUUUCAGCGAUGCAUGUUAGCCAUUUUUUAUGAACUCGUGGAAGACAUUAUAGAGAUAUUUAUGGACGACUUCUCGGUAUUCGGUAACUCUUUUCAUCUUUGCCUCAAAAAUUUAUGUAAUGCUCUUUGGAUUAUGUAAUGCUCCUGCUACUUUUCAGCGAUGCAUGUUAGCCAUUUUUUAUGAACUCGUGGAAGACAUUAUAGAGAUAUUUAUGGACGACUUCUCGGUAUUCGGUAACUCUUUUCAUCUUUGCCUCAAAAUUUUAAAAUGAGUUCUAAUAAGAUGUGAGGAAAAGAAUCUUGUGCUAAAUUGGGAAAAAGGACAUUUCAGGGAUCGUGAAGGGAUUGUGUUAGGACACAAAAUUUCUAGUAAAGGGAUCGAGGUUGAUAAAGCAAAAGUCGAAACUAUUGAGAAACUACCUCCCCCUAGUUCAGUUAAGGCUAUUAGAAGCUUUUUAGGACAUGCAGGAUUUUAUAGAAGAUUCAUUAAUGAUUUUUCUAAAAUAGCUAAGCCUUUAACGAAUUUACUAGAAAAAGAUGUACCUUUCAAUUUCAGUCAAGAUUGUUUAGAAGCAUUUAACACUCUUAAGGAUAAAUUAAUUAAUGCUCCGAUUGUAGUUGCACCUGAUUGGAAUUUACCCUUUAAACUAAUGUGUGAUGUGACUUUGUUAUAUCUGACUCUAAUGAACCUUAGUUUGUAGAUAUUGCGAAUUAUUUAGCCGUUAACGUUAUACCAAAAGGGUUGACUGAUAAAUCGUAAUUUAUACCUAUUUUCCCCCCAUGUUUAACACAUUUUAUGGAUGAUUUUCCAUUAGAAUUGGUGAAUUCGAUACUCCUAAUGCUUUAAUUUCAUGUUUUACACUUAAGAGAGAAUAAGAGAGCGAAAGGAACGAGAAACGGGCUAAAAACGGAGAAAAUGGGCCAAAGUACGAAAUCAACACGGCCUGGACCUCCUCACAUGGGCAGACCAUAUGGCCGUGUCAAUCUGGCAGAAUUGGAGCACGAUGCACACAGACGUGUCACACAGGCGUGUCCCUGUUGAGUCCAAGUUAAGUCCAAUUCAGAAAAGGCCACUUUUGAGGGCUUCUAGGCAUUCUAAAGCCUAUAAAUACACCCUAGAAGAGGAGAAAAAGAAGAGACGGAGAAGGAGGUAAGGAAUUACCCCAAGGCAGCCGAUUGAUCCAUCUCGGAAGGCGGAUUCAUCCACUAGAGCAAGUCCACCUAGCUGAUUCAGUACGGGCACUCCUUGCCACCGCUUCGUGGAACCGCUUCUUUGAUAUCAUCGAGCCAACAUAUUUAGAGUUCUCCUUGGAACUCGGCUCGACGUUUCAGUUAUAGACAGUGAUGGCAGAACAUGACGACCCAGGAACAGUCCAAUUUCGCCUUGGUGGUCUAGUACGCCAGCUGAGUGUCCUAAAAUUCGACGUCGCCUUGGGACUUUAUACGGACGAGUUCAUGAAGGCCGACAAUUUUCCUCACCUCCACCGCCACAUCCAUCGUUCACCUUCCUCGUGUUGGAUAGACCUCAUGCCUGCUACAGGCAUUUAUGAUCCUAGCCGUUCAAAGGCAUCGGCUCUAGCUCCAGCUCUGUGCUAUCUCUACGCCCUUUUGGCACACACAUUAAUAGGGAGGCAAAAGAGCAUUGGCAUCAUCAACACUCACGACGCAUACUUCUUGUGGAGCAUGAGGCAGGGGCAUAUUUUUUAUCUCGCAUACUUCAUCGCCCUUACCUUCCGCCAUCAAACCAAGCGACACCGAAAGGGAGUCAUCAGCAUCGGCCCAUAUGUGACUCGACUAGCUCGACAUUUUGGGCUAAUAAGUAUGCUCUAUAUGCGAAUGAUUGAGCGUCAUCGUGGGUUCGACCAUCCUCAGUACUGACUUGCAAGAGCUACCGAGGAGGAUGACGCCGAAGAUAUUCCUGAUGAUAUCCCUGCAUUUCAGGAGGACCCACCUUCUCAGCCACCACCAAUUCACUGGCCAGUUCAUGCGGCUGCUUCAUUAUCUGAAGUUUCUGACCACCUUCAUCGCUUUGAGCAAUAUUACACUCAGCGAUUCGACAGCAUCGAGGCGACUCUACAAUGAAUUUGCCAACAUUUUCACAUAUCGCCUCCAACACCACCACCCCACGAUCCAGCUGUCGAUGAGGACUUUUGAGUCCAUUUAAUUUUCAAUUUAUUUUUCUUUUCAUUUUAUUUUUAUUUUAGCAUUUUUUUGUCUUUAUUUAUCAUUUUCUUAAAAGACUUUUAUUAGUAUAAUUUGAUUUUUCCUUUUAUCUAGUUAUUUCAUUAUUACCAACCAUAAUAACCCUAUUGAUUUAAAUCCCUUAAACAUUACUGAUGGCAUCACAGUUUUACAAGGUUCAGUCAAUGGGUGCUAGGAAUAAACAAACAAUCCUCCACGACUACCAUGUCCUGCUCGACCACAACCAUAACCACCACGACACCGAGCACCACAAUAACCUCUUCGCUGGGCACUAUGAUUGUGGGACUCAACGUCUACCACCACAUUCACCUCUUCCUACAUGUCACAUACACAUCACUUUCAAUGUCUCUAAACUCGUUUCCACUCUUUCAAGGAUUACAUCCAAAAAUUCAGGGUAGUUUCGCUUCUCUCCCUCUCUUCUAAUAUUAUGAUUAUAUUACUCUUAUCUAUCUUUGUACAUUGAGGACAAUGUACAUCUUAAAUAUGGGGAGGUUAUUUAUGUGAUUAUCAAAAAAUCCUUGAAUUUUUAUCUUGUUCUCAAAUAAUUUUCUCUUAUCAUUAUUAGAGUAAAUUCAAAUUGAUUUAUGAUUUUGAUUGAAAUGUCUUGAAUUAAAUCAUAGGUAACCGUGCGUUGAUUGUUUAAACUUUAAGACAUUAGGGGAUCAAACAUGAUAAGUUGACUUUUGAGAAGUAAAAUUACUAGGUUGUUCCCCUGAAUUGAGGUAUUAUCUUGAAGCUUUGAAUUCAUAGGAUUGACAUCAAAUACCAAUAAUUUUUGUGAGAUCUUGAGCAUUUUAAAGCAUAUGUUUUUCUUGCUCCCUGAUUUUACUGGUUAUGAAUGUGUCAACAUUGAUUUGUUAUUCUAGAGCUUGCUUCGAUUAUGCAUGUCAAGACCACACCUUUGAUUUGAUAUACGAAAAUGAUAAAGGCACUUAGGUUUUAACCCAUUUACUCCAUAAAAAGCCUACCCACAUAAUUGACGCUUAGUGAACCCCUUUGAGCCUUAACUAUUAUUUCUUGAUUUUCCCCUUAAUAGUAACCCUCAACUUAACCCUUUUUUAUUUGUUAAGAAAUUUUCCCUUCCCAUUGACUCCAUUUUUAUCGAGAUUUGAUUUGAUUAGUUACCUAACUAUGUUCGUUCAUUCCAGUUGCUGAAUUAUUUCUUAUUAUGUACUACCCUUUAUUGUGCUUGUUCUUAUUCUUAAAAAAAGUAUAUUCAUUCAAUUACAUAUUGUUCUAAAGAGGUUGGAUAAGUUAAAGUCAUUAUAUUAAGAGAAAAGCUCACUUCAUUAGUUUUGGUUAGUGUUAAUUCUGGCACUUAUUUGUAAUUCAGUGAUUAGAUUUAUUUUUUUCGAGGUUUGGUAAUUUAUUUAAAUUAAUCCCAAUUCUAACCUCCUUUUUAAGCUUUUAUCCACACCUUUAACCCAAACCCCAUUACAACCCGGUUAAAGGCCUUUUGAUUUGUGUAUCAUCUCAUUUAUAGUGGUGGAGAUUUGAUUUUCCUGCAAACCUAUGGUAAUAACUUUUCAUGUUUGACUAUUAAGUGCUUAAUUAUCAAACCUUAAACACUUUGAGUGAUUUGAGUGAAUCAUUAGCGAGGACGUCAACCUUGUCAAUUUGGAAUUAAAGGUGAUUACUUAGAUAAAUGGGGAUACCUAUGAUUUUAUGAUUGAAAUGCUCAAUUUGGAUUGUUUGAAACUCUAAUGAUCUUUUGGUUAAGCUCUUAACGUAUGAUUACUUGUGGAUUAUUUCAAACAUUAUUGAUAAGAAUUAUAAGUUGAGAAUAAUUUAUUUUAAUUGUGAGUUGAGGAUUUUGCUUAAGGACAAGCAAAUGCUUAAGUGUGGGGAUAUUUUAUAAACCAUAAUAUAUACAUAUUUUUAACCUAUGCUUGGCAUAUUUUUGGAUGAUUUAUCAUAAUAUUUAGUGAAUUUGAUGCUUCUAAUCCUUUAAUUUCAUGUUUUAUACUCAGGAGAGUAAUAGAAGGCGAAAAGAGCAAGAAACGGGCCAAAAACGGACAAAAUGGGCUGAAAUCAGCAUGGUACAUGGCCUAGGCACUUCCACACGGGUGAUCCACACGCCCGUGUGUGACACACGGGCAGACCACAUGCCUGUGUGUCAUGGCCAUGUCGACACCAAACCAAGUCAAAAUUGCACACGGCCUAAGCACCUUCACACGGGCGUGGCACACGGUCGUGUCCUUGUCUAGCCUAAGUCUAAUUCUACUUGAAAAAAGCAAAUUUUAGGUUAAUUUGGGCAUUCCAAAGUCUAUUUAAAAACCUUAGAAGAGGAUUAAAGGGGACAUAGGGAGUGGAAGGUAGAAACUACUCAAAGACAGCCAUCAGAAUCACCUCAGAGGUAGGAUCUACAUUAAGACUGGAGAUUUCCAUCAAAUUUCCUAGAAGUUCUUUGGGUUUCUUUAUGCUUUGUUGUUUUCCAAAAUUUGAGAUGUUUUCCAUUAUUAUUAUGAACUAAACUCCCUAAAUACCUAAGGGAGAUAAAACCUAAGACGGAUCUUAUUAUUAUUUGAGUUAUAUGAUAAAUACUUGUUUUUAUUUUUAAUUGUGAAUUUAACCCUUGCCUUAAUAUUCCAGGAUAUUAAUUGAGCUUUUUGAUGUGCUUAUUCAGUAGAGCAAAAGUCCCUGUUUAAGAGUAGAUCAUUCAUAAUUAAGCGGAGUUUCAUGCAAUCCUAGAGAUAGGACGAAAAAAAUCUGCCAGAUUAGAGUCAAAUCUAAUAAGGGAAUCCAUAGAUCGAGUUAAUGCGACAAUAGGGGUUUCAAUUAGAAAGAGAUUUCAAUUAAUCAACCUAGAGUCAAUUGUUUUUAGUCUUGAGAGAGAUAUUAACAUAAAUCAAGGAUUUCUACGGAUUAAGUCAAGUGAAUAAAUCGUCUAACUCAAAGGUAAUAAGUGAAGUCUAGGUGGAUUCUUCCUUGGGUAUUGUCUUCUCCAUCGGUUCUCUAAAGUAUUUUCUAACUUUAAUCUUUGUCGUAAUCUUAGUUAAUUAGAUAAUUAGUUUUAAUUUUUUUUUUAAAAACAUUCAUUAAUUCUUAGGCUAGAUAAUAAAAAGAUAGUAAUUACUAGUACUUUUAGUCCUCAUGAAUAUGAUAUAUCCGGUCUCACCAUAACUAUACUACUGUUCGAUAAGUGCGCUUGCCUUAGUCGAAUUUUUAGUUAGUUUAGCGACCAUCAAGACAAAACCCCCACCAUGGGCAAUAUUAACCCAUUAAGGAGUCCAUUGGCUUCUAAUAGACAACACUUCACAAACUUCUUCUAAAGAAGUCAGCCGCCCCUCAACAAGACUAUCAAUUAUUAUUAAUAAAAGAAUUAUCCUUCCUGAGAUCAGGUGAACUAGAAAUUCUGUUUUCAAAAAGAAUAAAAAAUAUUGGGUCACUCUAAAAUAAGGUUUGUCCUAUUUUAGUCACUUUAAAUUAUUUUUCUUAAUUUUGUCACUCCAAAUAAAGUAAUCUCUCAAAGUAGUCACUCAUUAAAAAUUUUGUUUUCUACUAAUGGAUUGUUGAUGUCACAGGUAACCUUGUUCUAUCUUUCUUCUGCUCCUAUUAAAAACUAAAAGAAACAAUCUACUAUUGAAACAAAAACCUAACAUAUACCAAUGUCUAUGUAACAUCUCGAAUUAGGGACUAGUCAGAAUAGUAGUUUUGAGACCACAAAAUCCGAUAUAGAAAUAAUUAUUUUAUGAUUUUUAUAAGGUUUAUGAUAUGUGUGUAUGAUUGUGUAAAAAUUUUAUGAAGAAAUUCUAUGUGAAAAGUGCUUAAUUUAACUUUAAGGACUCAAUUGAAUAUAUUGUAACUAGAAGUUUUUAACAUGAAUUGAAUUGGAUCAUUAAUUAGAGGUUCUUAAAUAGUAAUUUGACUAAGUUCUAAAAAUUUGGACAAAAAUGGACAUGCAUGGUAAAAAUUCCAAAGAAAUGCUUUAGGGGUAUUUUGGUCAUUUAGUGAUUAAAUGGACUAAAAGACAAAUUAAAAGUCAAAUUUUUUUCAUCUUCUACCCCAUGGCUGUAUGAACCAAGGAGAACACCAUGGCUAGGGUUUUCAAGCUUCCAAGCUCAAUAGUAAGUGUUUCCAAGCCCCUUUUAAAUGUUCUUUGCAUUUUUGAAGUCCCUGUGACAUGAUCUACUCAUUUCUACCCAUAUUUUUAACUAGGGUUCAUGUUUAAAAAUUUAACCAUGCAUGACAUGUUAGUAUUUUGAAGAUUGAUGGAAGAAUGAAAGAUUGAAGUAUGUUUAACAACUUUUACUAGGUGAUUUUUCAUGAAAACACCUACAAAGGACUAAAAUGUAAAAGUUGUAAAAUGUGUAGCAAAUGUAUGAAAUGAAAGAGAAAUGUGGGCUGCCACAAGAGUAAUAAAGGUUUAUCUAGGCUUAAAGUAUAAGAAAAACGAACAGAUUUCAUUUUACGAGCCUAGGGUCUAAAUUGCAAAUAUGUGAAAGUUUAGGGGUAAAAAUGCAAAUUUAUAAAAGUAUGAUUUUUGGGUCAAUUUGAAUAAUGUGAGUAAUAAUUAAGCUAUAUUUGAAAUGUUAGAUCAAGAAAACUGAUAUUCGGGCUUAAAUCGAGAAAGUACGAUAUUAUGGACUAAAAUGGAAUUUUAGUUGGGCUCGGAUUCGAGGUAACUUCGUAUGAUAAUAAUAUUGCAAUGUUAUGUUUGAAUUAUAUUCCUUACUAUUAUUGCAUAUAUUGUAUGAUUUAAUAUAUUGGAAAAAUUGAUGGAAUGGUGUAUAUGAUGUGGAAAUAUGACAUGGAAGAAUAUUACAUGAAAUGCAAGAAAAUGAUGAUACAUGAUAAGUGAUAUAUGAAAUAUAUGAUAUAUGUUAUGUAAAUUCUUAAAAGCUUAUUUGCUAUUUUAGUUAUGCCUUAUUAUGCUAUGAAUGGGCAAUUGAUACUAUUGUAAGCAUGAAUGAUAUUAUGGUCACUAUCCACGAUGUCACAAGCAAGUGCAAUAGAGGUGCAAUGACAAGUGAGAAAAAAACCUCGUUUGAACCUUAGAAAUAGUUUAGGAUACAAGUGACAUGUCAUUAGGAAUAAAAAAGUUCAAACUCGUUGAGUGGUCCGGGUUCAUGAUAUAUAUGGCAUCUGAGCUGUUGAGUGGUUCGAGUUCAUAAUGGAUGCGAUACAUGUGAUUGAGUUCCGGAAAAUGGUCUUAUGUGUCUUACCGAUGGCUAGGUAAUCCUUGAGUGGUUGGAUACCUGACAGCUUUUGUGAACAGCUCGUGUAGUUACACCUUGAUCGAUAGCUUAUAUGAGCAAGCCCGUGAGUAGCUUUGCAAGCAUUGCAUGAUAUGAGGUAACUUCAGCUACGUAUGUUUAUGUGGCACUUAUGUGCAAGUUUCUGCGUAUCCAAUAGUAUUCUGAGUGAUCAACGAGUAAUGCAAUGGAUAACGUGAUGAAAGACCCAAUGAGGGCAUGUUAAAGAAGGUAUGGUUAUGUGAUAUACUACGAGUGAGUACAUGUAUGUAUGCUAAACUCAUGAGCAAUUCCUUGAUGAAGAAUGACUUAUGGUGAGAAUGUUUAUGUAUAUAUAUAUAUAUAUGAACAUAUGAUAAGUAUGCAAAAAGGCUUGAGUGAUGAAUAAUCUUUAUGUUUAUUUUAUUAAAUCUUUGUGUAAUUGAACAUGGAAUCCAUGAAAUGGUGAGUUCAUGAUUAGUUGAAAAUGAACUUAUGAUAGUUAUCAUCAUAUUACACUAAAAUAGUUUUAGACAGCAGCAGUAGUCUGACUUUGAAAAUCCACCAAAAAUUGUGGAAAUCGAAUUAGAGACUAAAUAAGAUAUAAAAUUAAAUCUUAUUGAGUCUAGUUUCACAUAGAGGAAACGAUGUAAACAAAAGAAUUUCAUAUUAUGAGAUAUUUGAAUUUUUGUGAGACAAGGUUAGAGUGAUUUUGGGCUCCCCUGUUUUAACUUUGGAAAAUCACUAAAAAUUGUACAAGAAUAAUUAUGGGUUAUAAUUCAUAUGACUAAAUCCUUAACGAGUCAAUUUUCAAGAGAAACAGACAGGAACAUUAUUCGAAUCCCGUACUAUGAGAUAAUUGAUUUUUAGUAAAGAAAGGUCGAAGUUUUAAAAUAGUAGAACAGGGGUAACUUUGAAGAAUAAACUAUACUUAUUGGCUAAUAGAUAAAUUCUAAAAGGUAAGAAGAUAUAUAGUCUAGUUUCAAGGAAAAUUAGCACAUCUUAAUUUGGAGUUCCGUAGCUCCAGAUGUAAAUAAUUUAGUAACUAUGACUCGAGAAGACAACUUGACUGGAAUAUGAGCAAAUAGUGGAAUUAUGUGUAAUUUCGAUUGUGUUACCAUGAGAACAUGUUGUAAGAAUUUGGCAAAAGCACGUUAAUAAAUUGCUUAUUAUUAUUUUUGUACGGGCUUACUAAGCUAUAAAGCUUACCCCUCUCAUUUCCAUUUCUUUUAGUAUUGUCAGGUUAGCUCGAAGUUGAAGAUCGUUGGAGGCAGCAUCACACUAUCAAGUUAUCAAGCCGGGGUAUUAACAAAUCUUAAGUGUUUUCAAGUGAGUGGCAUGUAUAGAUACUUAGUAUUUUACGAUAUGUGUUUCAUGAUUUGGCCAAUUGAGUUGUCUUAUAAUGUUUCAUUUGUAUAGAGCCAUGAGAUAUGGCUUAUAUUUGAUCAUUGGGUUGUAAACCUAAUUGAUUUUGCUUGACUGUUCUAAUGUUUUGAUGAUGUGCAUGUUGUGAUGGCUAGAUAUCGAUGGAUGUAUGAUAUGGUAUGUAUAUUUGAUGGAUAAACUUUGAUCAAUAGGUGUGGAAUGCCCUAAAGAAACAUGUUGAUAUGAGUGUGUGAUAUGUGACAUUAUGGAUAUGAAUUAGACAUGACUAUGAAUGCUAGAUGAUUAAGUUGAGAAUAUAAGCAUGAAGAUAAUCAUGGUAUAAGGGUAUAAGUGGUAAUGAAGAUGACAAGGCCAAAUGAAUAUGGUUUGUUAUGUCUAGACUUGUUAUAAAAUGAGUAUGAGAAACACAAGUAUGAUGACAUGCAAAUGUUAUGUUUGUAACUUAAUUGAGGAUGUUUAAUCUUGAAUUAGAUAUCAUGUUCUAUGCCUUUGAUGUUUUAUAAGUGUGUGAGGGAUUAAAGUUGACCAAGGCUUGGAAAAUAGCCUAAGUGUUGGCCACACGGGUAAAGACACAGCCGUUUGGGAGACACAGCCUUAGCACACGAGUGUGUGUCUUGGCCGUGUGACCUUAAAAUAUUGUUGACGUCAUAAACAGAGAGUUACACGGGCUAAGGACACAGGUGUGUUCGAGCUACACGGCCGUGUGACUCUCCAAAACUAGAAAAUUUCCUAAGUGUUGUAAAAAGUUCGUAAGUUCUCGGUCUAGUCCCAAACCACCCCCAAUGUAUGUUUUGGGCCUCGUAGGCCCGCAUAAGGGAGAUAUGCGUUUGUUUGAAUGUUUUUGAAAUGGUUAAAAUUUUAUGGCCCAGUUUCACAUGUAUAUGUACGUCUAAGUCCAGUAAUGCCUCGUAUCAUGUCCCAGCGUUGGACACAGGUAAGGGGUGUUACAGUCUACCAUGGAGCUUCAAAUCCUCCCACAAAAACAAAAACCUAGAAAAUAUUUCAUCCUAAAUUCAAACAAAAAAGAAUAAAAAUACCUCCAAUGCCAAAUUAAGCCAAGAACCUAGAUUUGCUAAUAAAUUUGAAAAGGCACGAUCAUUGGCUUCUUUGUUACACACAAGAACAUCACCUUAAUGUUCAUAACACCCAAGAAAACAAUCACCUCUAUCUUCCAAAAUCUCAACCAUUUCCCCUAAAGAAUCAAUACCAUUUACCAAUUCCAUUUUGAGUUAAAACACUUUCCCACCAAUUUUUGUUUAGGGUGGAGUUCAGAGUCCACCUAAGAAAGUUUUUCAAUGAACAAGUUGAUAACAUUAACAAGGAAUUUAUUAGGUAGGGUAGCAUGCCUAGUAGAGGCAAAAGUGGCUUCAUAAAAUCUGUAAACGGGUGGUUUUGGAGGAGCAAAUGAAAGUGGGAUUAACAAUGUCUCCAUAAAAUUAGAUUGGGUUGCUGUUAUAGAGAUUUUCAAAACGUGCUUCACUGGGAUUCUAAUUGAAACAUGGGAUUUUUUUGCCAAAAAAAAUUAGAGCGUAAGGUAGGUUUUAGCAAAGACGACAAUUCCUAAUGUUAGAGAUAGCCAUGUGUCGUCACUUAAUAAGCUAUGGUGCCUCGUCAGCAAUUCGUUAGUAAAAAAUAGAAUUUUUAACAGGAAUGACCAUUUUGAGCAACUAUUUUAUUUGGAGUGACUAAAUUGAGAAAAAAAAAUUUAAAGUGACUAAAAUAGAACUAAUCUUAUUUUAGAGUGAUCAUGGUGUUGGAAGAUUGGGUUUGGAAAAUGUAGCGAAAAAUAGGUUUAAGAGAAAAUCAAAGUUGUAAUUUUUUUUCAAAAACAAUAACUUGGUUAUGUUAUCUAAAAUAAUAAACACUUAAUAAAAAUUGUACUUUUAUAAUUCGUCUAGGAUGAACGCUUCGACUGAGUAGACUUCUCAACUAUCCUCAAGCUCACAUCUGCCGAGUGUGGACUCACUUCGAAUUAGAAAUUUUUUCACAAAAUUACUGGUGGGGCAAUUUCAUAAUUUCUCUAAACUUCAGGAGUUAAGUUAUAAAUAACAAGAAUAUCCCUAGAAACUUUCUGAAAUAAUUUCUUUAGAGGAUUUUCUCUCUACAACUUUUUUUAAAUUCAAAUGUAUGAGAAUAGUGACUCAGACUCUCUUUAUAUAAGGAGAGUUUAGAAAGAGUUCAACUAGGAUUAGAAUUAAUCAUAUUAAUAUUAAAUUAAUAAAAUAUUAUCUAAAUAAAUAUUAAAUUCAUUAAAACAAUAUUAUUUUUAAAAAAUUUAAUUUGAAAUCAAGUUACCUAGUAGAGUCCCACUAAAAGUUUAUUUUUACCACUACUCUACCACCGAAGAACCGCCGCCUCCAACCAUCCACCUAAUCGCCUUUUUCGCAAUCGUCGUGCCUGACGGUGCCAUUGUUGGCGCCACUUCUCCCUGGCACCUUGAACCGUCGUCGUUUUGCCCAAAUAGGACCGGGUGAUUCAAUUGCUACCGAUUCAAUCUGGGCCAAUGACGACAUGGCCGGUGGUUGAACCAUCGACCCAGUUUGAUACACAUGGCCUGGUUCAACCAGUUUUUAGGUUUUUGUUAGGGGUGAGCAAAACUUGAUUCGACUCGAAAAAAUCGAAAAAAAUUCGAAUUUCUAGUUAAACAAAUCAAGUUAUUCGAGUCAACUCGAAUUUUUUUCGAAUUUCAAGUUUCGAAUCGAGUUGAGUUUUUGAAUUUGAAUAAAUAGAAUAUCAAACUAUAAUAUUUUACAUUUUUACCCCAAACUCCUAAACCUUUUUACUUUUUCCUCAAAACUUUUACUCCUUCCCACUUUUCCCCCCAAAACUUUUACUCGUCUUCCAUCCCAACCUCCAAUCUACCCAAAAUCCAUUUCCCACAAAAAUUUUACUUUCCCAUUUACUUUUUAUCAAAAUUUUACUCCAAAAACCCCUCAAAACUUUUUAUUUUCUCCCAAAAUUUUUACUCCCUCCCACUUUCCUCCUAAAAUUUUUACUUCCUUCCCAUCCCACCUCUCAUCUACCCUAAACCCAUCCCCCUCCAUUUUUUUAAUGUUUUCCCUCCAAAAUUUUACUCCUCUUAUUUACUUUCCCUUAAACUUUUAUUCCCUAAAACUUUUUAUUUUCCCCCAUAAACUUUUACUUCUCACCCUUUACUCUCAAAUAAAAAAUCAAAAUUAUCCAAAAAAAUCACUAAACUUAAAUAGUAAUAAUUUUAUUUAUAUAUACUAUUUAUAUUAUUAAAUUAAAUUUUACAUUUUAUAUUAUUUAUAUUAUUGAAUUGUUUAGUCAUAUAGAAUAUUUAUAUUAAAAUUGAAUUAUUAAUUAUGCCAUUAAAUAUUCAUGUUAAAAUUUUAUAUUGGUAUCAAUUUCACAUUUUAUCUUUAAAAUAAUUUUUAUUAAAAAAUCACAUUUUUACAUUUACUAUAUUUUUUAAUUCCAAAAUACGUAGUGACAAGAAUCUGAAGAUAAUUGAAACAACUAAGCAAGCAAGGAAGCUAACCCGUAUAUAAAAUAUUAAUAAAUAAAUUAUGAGGUGAUGAAAGUUAAUAAAAAUUUUGAUUAAGGUGGAUAAAUUUUAUUACAAUGGGUGACAGUGGUUACAAGGACCUAAAAUUAUUUUUUAAAAUUUAACUCGAACAAAUAUAUUCGAUUAGAUUCGAUUCGAAUUCUAUCUCACUCGACUUGAUUCGAGAAAAUUUCAAAUCAAAUUAGAAUGAAAAAAUAUGAUUCGUGAACUCGAUUAACUCGAAAUUUUUUCAUUUGAUUCAAUUCGAUUCAAUCGAACACUCACCCCUAGUUUCUGUCUCGAAUUCAAUUUUCGAUCUCGGGUCCAAUUUUUAAGUUCAAUUACUUAUUGGCCUAAUUCUCUGACUUGAAAAUUUAUUUCCAAAAAUAUUAUAUUUAUUUUAAUUAAUUUGUGAUCAAAAUUAAUAUUCCCAAAAAUCACUGAGAUAUUCCAAACUAAUUUUUCAAUAAAAUUCUUUAAUCAAAUUCUCUAGUUGAACAAUUCUUACGACCACCUAAUUUUAUUCCACAUCGAAUAAAUCGACUCAACUAAAUUAUUUCUAAAGUUGUAGAAUUUUCUUUUAAUCCAAUUGCAGUCCGAUCGAGCUUUUAUUGAGCUAGUAGAGAGACCAAUUGAACAUAAACAAUUAGGCUCGAGUUAAUUGCAAUUAUGUCUAAAAGCAUCGUUAAGAUAAUUCACAAUUUACUUAAUCAUGGAUUGAGUCCACAAGAAGUACUAUGAUUGAAAACUCCUUAUGGUAUACUAUUUACGAAAGUAACUCAUCCAACUACUUUGUCCAAUGGUCUCGUCAUGUGUGUGUUACCCUCAUUUGAUAUCAUUGAUUCCUUUAAGUUAAAUCCGUUCAUUCAAUACAAUCAUGUUUUAUCUCAUUGUCACAAUUUUGUCUUCUUAAUUGUGAAAAAUAAAAUAAAAAAAGUAAAAAAUAAAGAACACACAAAUUUUACGUGGAAACCCUUUCGGAAAAAAACCACGGGCAGAGGAGAAGAAAAUUCACUAUGUCGAAAAAUUGAAUUCAAUACAAGAGGAAUAGACUAUGUCUAUUUAUAGGCUUGUAAAGCCAUAUUCUAGUAGGAUUGAAACACCUUAUCCUAAUAAAUAUAAAAUAGAUGGAGUUUAAUAAGGUUUAAAAAACCUUAUUCUAAAAUAAAAUAAAAGAAGUCUAGUUCUAUAUGGAUUUUACUUUUAUUUUAUUUUCCAUCGUAUUUUAUUUAAAUAAGAAUUCGGGUCACUUAAUUCUAACAAUCUCCACCUUGACAUAAAUUCUCAAUGAACAAGUUCUUCAUCGCGAACAAGUUCUCCACCUCUUCCAUAAAACCCCUUAAGGGUUUAACUUCAACAAUGAACACCAACCAAGUCUAAGCAAUGUUCAAACUUGGUUAUAGGAAGUGACUUAGUCAUCAUAUCUGCAGGAUUUUCAUGAGUACUAAUUUUGCUCACAACAAUAUCACCACGAGCAAUAAUAUCACGAACAAAAUGAUACCGAACAUCAAUAUGUUUUGUUCUCUCAUGAAACAUUUGAUCUUUUGUAAGGAAGAUGGCACUCUGACUGUCACAAAAUACUGUACUGAUUUGAAGGUCUUCAUUAAGUUCACUAAAUAGUCCCUUCAACCAAAUAGCUUCUUUACAAGCCUCAGUAAUCGCCAUGUACUCAGCUUCAGUGGUAGACAAAGCGACUGUAGUUUGCAAAGUGGCUUUUCAACUAAUUGCACAACCUCCGAUAGUAAAGACGUAACCUAUGAGAGACUUCUAUCAAGGUCUCCAGUAAAAUCAGCAUCAACAUACCCUAUGACUCCAUCUUUAGUUCUUCCAAACUAUAAGAAAACAUCAGUAAUGCCUCGUAAGUAUCUUAAAAUCCACUGAACUGCUUUUCAAUGUUCUUUACCGGGAUUUUCCAUGUAUCUUCUAACUACACUAACUGCAUAUGAUAAAUCUGGACGUGAGCAAACCAUAGCAUACAUGAGAGAUCCCACUACACUAGAGUAUGGAACAUGUGACAUGUACUCAAUCUCAUCAUCUAAUUGUGAAGACAAAGCCGAUGAAAGUCUGAAAUGGGCUGCUAAAGGAGUAUUAACAGGCUUAGCACUCUGCAUAUUGAACCUACAAAGAAUUUUCUCAAUGUACCCCUUCUGACUUAGGUACAAUUUACUUGCUUUUCUAUCUCUGAGAAUCUUCAUACCAAGUAUCUUCUUUGCUGGUCCUAAAUCUUUCAUCUCAAAUUCUUCACUUAGUUGGGCUUUGACCUUUCUUAUCUCUCCUUUAUCUUUUGCUGCUAUCAACAUGCCAUCAACAUAAAGAAGUAGAUACAUAAAAGAACCAUCACUGUUUUUCUUAAAGUAAACACAACUGUCUAAACUACUUCUUUUGAAAUCAUGAGAAGUCAUAAAGGAACCAAACCUCCUGUACCACUAUCUUGGUGACUGUUUUAAAUCGUAAAGGGACUUUCUCAGCAAGCAAACAUAAUCCUCUUUUUCUGAGACUAUAAAACCCUCUGGUAGUUGCAUGUAAAUAUCCUCCUCAAGUUCUCCAUGCAGAAAUGCAGUUUUUACAUCUAACUGCUCAAGCUCUGAACCACGCAGGCCACAAUACCAAGCAAAGCUCAAAUCGAACUAUGCUUAACAACUGGAGAGAACAUAUCUGUGAAGUCCACUCCUGGAAUUUGACUAUAACCCUUUGCAACAAGCCUUACUUUAUAUAUGGGUUCUUCAACUACUGGAGUCCCUUCUUUCUUUUUAAACACCCAUUUACAACGAACAGCCUUUUUACCUUUAAAAAGUUUCACAAGGUCCCAUGUUAUUCCAUCUCUUCUUGCAUAGCAAACAUCAACUUUUCUGAGUCUUCACAGCUAACCGCCUCAAAAUAAUUAGAUGGCUCUUGAUUCGCAUCUAUAUCUUCAACCACAUUUAAAGCAUAAGAAACUAAAUCAGCUUCGGCAUACUUCUUUGGAGGUUUAAUUUCUCUUCUAGUUUUGUUUUUGACGAUAGAGUAUUGUGGUGAAGAGGCAACUCUAUUUUCAAUUUUUGUUAUGGCUUGAGGAGUUGACUCUGUAUUAAUCUGAUGCUCCACCUGCUUUUGGUUUUCUUUAUUGGAAGAGUCUUUAAGAGAUAAGUUAGGUAGCAUAGCAGUUUCAUCAAAAACAACAUCUUUGCUAAUCACAACUUUUCUAUUUUCAGGACACCAUAACUUAUACCCUUUUACACCAGCUUUAUAACCAAGAAAAAUGCAUUUAAUGGAUCUCAGUUCCAAUUUUCCAUUAUCAACAUGAGCAUACGCAGGACACCCAAAAAUCAUUAAAUCAGAAUAAUUAGCAGGAUUACCAAACCAUACCUCUUGUGGAGUCUUUUUCUCAAUGGCAACGGAUGGAGAUCGGUUGAUCAAAAAACAUGCAGUAGAGGCUACUUUUGCCCAAAAUGACUUUGGUAAGUUGGCAUUUGACAAUAUACAUCGAACCUUUUCCAUGAUCAUUCUAUUUAUUCGUUCUGCAACGCCGUUUUGCUGUGGAGUAUGACGAACUGUCAAGUGUCUCAUGAUCCCUUCUGACUUGCACAAUCUAUUAAACUCAUCAGAACAGAACUCUAAGCCAUUGUCUGUACGGAGGUAUUUUAUCUGUUUUCCCGUCUUUUUUUCAAUCAUAAUUUUCCAAGACUUAAAUGCGGAAAACACAUUACUUUUCUACUUCAGGAAAAAUGCCCAAAAUUUUCUAGAAAAACCAUUAAUAAAGGUUAGCAUAUAAUUAGCUCCACCUCUCGAAGGCACUCUAGAUGGCCCCCACAGAUCAGAAUGAAUAUACUCCAACGUUCCCUUCGUGUUAUGGAUUCCUCUAGUGAAUCGAACUCUCUUUUACUUCCCAAAAACACAGUGCUCACAGAAAUUCAGUUUGCAAAUUCCUUGCCCAUCAAGAAGUCCUCUUUUACUCAAUUCUGUCAUACCAUUCUCACUCAUAUGCCCUAGGCGCAUAUGCCAAAUUUUAGUAAUAUCAUCAUCUGACAAGGAAGAGGAAACAACAGUUGCAUCACCAGUAAUAGUAGAACCCUGCAAAACAUAUAACUUGGCAAUUUUUCUCUGCCCUUUCAUCACAACAAGGGACCCUUUGGAAAUCUUUAAAACCCCACUUCCAGCUGUAUAUCUCUACCCUUUUGAAUCAAGAGUACUCAACGAAAUUAAAUUUCUUUUCAAUUCUGGAACAUGCCGUACGUCACUAAGUGUUCUGACAACUCCAUCAAACAUCUUAACUUUAAUUGUUCCAACACCUGCGAUUUUACACAAAGCAUUAUUUCCCAUCAAAACAACACCUUCAGACACUGUUUCGUAAGUUGUAAACCAAUCCCGAUAGGGACUCAUGUGGAAGGUGCAGCCUGAAUCAAGUAUCCACUCCUCACUUAUUUUAGAAUCAUUGACAGAAGUGACUAGAAGUUCACCAUCACUAUAGUCUUCUACAACAUCAGCUUCACCGAAAUUUUCUGGUUGUUUUCCCUUUUGAUUCGCAGCCUCCCUUUUAAUCUUAUUUUGUAGCUUAUAGCACUCAGAUUUAAUGUGCCCUUUCUUCUUGCAGAAGUUACAAGUUUUACCUCUAUUUGAAGACUUCGAUCUACCCUUAGAUUUACCACGAGGAUUCUGUUCUUGUGUCCUACCACGAUCAUCAUCAGCAUUCCGAUCUUGUCUCCCACGAAUAAUGAGACCCUCUUCCUGAGAGUCGAGUUUAACCACAAUAUGUUUCAUCUUAUCAUACGAGGUUAAAGGAUCAUGAACCUCAUCAACUGUGAGAGACUCGCGGCUAUAUAAAAUCAUGUCUCUAAAGGUUGAAUAAGACGGGGGCAACGAGCAAAGUAGAAUCAACCCUAGAUCUUCCUUAUCAUACUGAACCUCCAUUGCCUCCAAGUUUGAGAGAAUUUCUUUAAACACUGUUAAGUGUUCGUGUACAGACGCACCUUCCUCCAAACGAUGAGCAUAAAGACACUGCUUCAUAUGCAACUUGCUUGUUAGAGUUUUCGACAUACAUAUUUGUUCUAGCCUCUUCCAUAAUGCAGCGGCAGUCUUCUCUUUCAUCAUAUCCUGCAAAAUUUCGUUGGACAAAUACAGAUGUAAUUGUGUUAACGCCUUUUGAUUCUUACGCUUCUUCUCUUCAUCUGUUAAUGUAGAAGGCAUCUUAUCUAUCCCUAGCAGGACAUCCUCCAGAUCCAUCUGCGCAAGAACUGCUUGCAUCUUAAUCUGCCACAAUACAAAUCUGGUGUUGCGAUCCAACAAUGAAAUUUUAUACUUCAAAGACAUCAUUACUGUGAUUGAGAUGAACAACCCGGAAGCUCUGAUACCAAUUUUUGAAAAAUAAAAUAAAAAAAAUAAAAAAUAAAGAACACACAAAUUUUACGUGGAAAUCCUUUCGGGAAAAAACCACGGGCAGAGGAGAAGAAAAUUCACUAUGUCGAAAAAUUAAAUUCAAUACAAGAGGAAUAGACUAUGUCUAUUUAUAGGCUUGUAAAGCCAUAUUCUAGUAGGAUUGAAACACCUUAUCCUAAUAAAGAUAAAAUAGAUGAAGUUUAAUAAGGUUUAAAAAACCUUAUUCUAAAAUAAAAUAGAAGAAGUCUAGUUCUAUAUGGAUUUUACUUUUAUUUUAUUUUCCAUCGUAUUUUAUUUAAAUAAGAAUUCGAGUCACUUAAUUCUAACAUUAAUAAUUAAUAUGAUCACUGUCAACUAAUGAUUGUGAUCAAUUGCUUGUUCGAGAAUAAGUAACCAUAGCUACGUUCCAUAUUUAUCAAUCCACACAAUACCAAUAAGAGGAUAUCAUUAACUUUUUAAUCGAGCUAUGAAUUCCAAAGUCAUUUCAUACACAAAUCAUGUACCCAACAUACCGGAUAUCGACUCGAUCAUCUUUAGAGUGUAAGCUUCCACUUAUAUCAAAACACAUGAGUUACAUAUGCAUGACCAGUAACUAACUCAGGAUUUAGGUAAGUCACACCAAGAAAGUCAAAAGUGAAUUAAUCACAAAUGGAUUAAGAAUUAAUUCAACUUGGGUCAAGUCCAAUGUAUCAUUCUUCUAAUGAGUACAUCUAUGUCUUUACCCAUGGAGUCAACUGCUCCAAUAGCCAAGAUUAAUUAUCUCCCUAAUUGGAAUUGUAGACGACAUAAUAAUCCUUUUACGAGAUUACAAACUUGUUUAGAUUAUCUACUAAAGUAAAUUAUCUUUCUCGCAAUGUAAACAUUCUUAAAAUGUCACUUAUCAUUAGUUUGAACUUAGACAAACGAUAAACUAAUAUUUGUUUGUCAUAAUUUCGUUAUGUAUGCAAAACAUGGAAGAUAGAAACACAAAAGAUAUAAUAGUGAAAUAUGAAAUUAAUUUUAUUCAUUUAUUCUUGGUUCAAAUAUAUAUAAAACAGUUACAUGUUUACUAUAAUGUGGGCACAUUUCCUACACAUGGGUGUAGUUUACCCAAAAAUAUUUCUUGUGUUUUAGUUCAACAAUUCUAUCAGAAGGCAUGAGAAGUAAUUUUCUUUUUUACAAAAUCGAUUUACUCAUAUAAUAAAUUCGUUUUUUAAGAUUUUUCUUUAGAACAAACUCAAAUAUCAUAGUUUGAUCUUAUAAUUUUCAAAAAUUUUGACAACAUAAAUUUAACAAGGUAUCGAUUUCAGGAGGAAUUAAUAACUUAUUUUUUUCGAGAGGUACCAAUUUACUCAAUUUCAAAAUUAUUAAGGACUUAAGAUGUACUUAUACCUAUUAACUUCAAUCACCAAAUCCUUUAAUAACAUAUACAGAUCACAAUUUAUAGUAUAUUAUAUGUAUAAUUUUGAAUUUCAUCCCUCUUCUUUAAAAAAAUUAAAUUAGUCUCUACUUUAAUUUAUCAAAAUUUGAUCUCAUACUUGACGAAAAUUGAGAAAUCUAUAUUGAUAAACACAUAAAUUUGAACUACAUUUUUUUGCUAAUUGAUUGUAUAUAAAUUAUUAAAUUGACAAAAAAAUUGUUGAAUAGUUGAUUUUUGCUAAUUCCUUACAUAUAAUUGUUGAAAUAUAGAUUUUUAAGUCAAUAAUUUAAUGACAAGGUUUAAUAAUAUUAGCUAAUUGGACCAAUUUCUUGAUUUUCAACUUUUUGUAAAAUAAAAACGAUCAAAUUAUGAUCAAUUGAAUCAAUUUCUUAAUUUUUGUAAAAUAUAAAAAUCAAAUUGUGACAAAUUAAAGUAAGGAAACUAAUUUAUUUUUCAACAUCGGUUUUGUUCAUAUUGAUUAUAGAACUAUAAACCCUUGAAAGCUAUUAAAAAAGUGUAAAAGAGAAAAAGAAAAUCAAAUAUUUCACAUGAUGCAACAUUUUUUAUAGUUUCACAACCCUUAAGGGAGGCCAUCAGCAAUGGCGGAGCCAAGUGGAGGCCCAAUAUACUAUGGCCCUUCAAAGUUUUUUUUUUCAAUUUAGUCCUUUAUAAAUAUACUAUGGCCUUCCCAAAAAUAUAAUUAGGCUUCCUAAAGUUUAAGAUUUUUGCAAUUUUCCCAUUUGUAUAUAUAUUAUAGCACUCCUAAAAAUAUAAGUAGGCCCCUCCAAUAUUUUUAUAGUAUUAAAAAUAAUAUUAAAAAAUUUUAUUCUUGAUAAAAACAAAAGGAAAUUCAAGAAGCUAAGUUACUCAUUAUGACUUUUGAAUAAUAUUUUUGUUAAAUAAUAAUUAUUUAAUAUUUUACUUAAAAUAAUAAUAUUUUAUAAUUAAUAUAAUAAUAUAUAUAAAAAGAUGAUCAGACUUUUAUCAUCUUUCUUCUUCAUAUUAGUGCCUAAGAAAAGAAGAAAAAAAUUUCUCUUCAUCAUUUUUCCUCUAAAUUUUAAGUAUAUGGUACGUUUUUCUUCAAAUUUUUCAUAGAUUUUGAAUCUUUAAAGCUUGUUUUACAUAUAUGUGCCAAUAGUUUUUAUUUUAUCAAGUGUAUUAAAAGUUGUCAUUAAAGUAUAUUGAUGGAAGCUUAUAAAAUUAAGUAAAAUGUGUACGUUUUUGGAUGGAAAAAAAAUUAGGAGACGGUUUCUAACUUGUUAGAAGUGUAAAAACAAAACAAAAAUAGCUAAAUAUAGUAAGUUUCGGCCAAAGUGAAGGGGAGGAAGAAAACCUUGGUCACUUUGUUUAAAAUUAUGUUAAAUGAUAGGUUGCAAAGCAAUGAGUAUUUUAGUGAAAACGGAAUAAAAAAUGGUUAACCGAGUCGAAAGUUGUGUGAAUUUUGGAUCAAGAAACUUAAGUAGUUAUCAACUUGAUAAAGCAUGUAUAUUCAAACUUGUCAUUAAUAGUUGAUUUACUAUGUCUAGCUAUAUUAAUUUUAUUUUUAUGAAUUUUGAAUGAUUUAAUUAAUAUUUAAAAGAUUAUGUUUCAAAUUGAAAACUAUGAUUUCAAUUAUAAAAUUAAUAAAUUUUUGAUUUUAAGUUGAAUUUGAAUAUUAUGAUUUCUGAAUGGUUGAACAAGCAUGUUUGAUUAAAAGUAAAAAUUUUAUAUUAUGUGAAUUAUGAUUUGAAUAUGAAAUAAAAAUGAGAAUGACAUAAAAAUGGAAAUAAAUAUGAAAUCAAUUCUUAUGUUGAAAUAAUACUUCUUUUGAAUAAAUUGUUUUUAUAUUUAAAUCGAAUAUUACAUAACACGUCUAAUUUUAACAUAUUAACUCCCCCACUAUCCAUCACACCAUUACCUUAACUUACAAUCGUAUAAAGCCGAAAAAGAGAGCAUUGCAAACCCUUUAUUUUUCAAAAAAAAAAAUGAAAAUGAAAUAAAGUAACCGAAAACGACUGUUAGGGAUACAAUAAAGGUUUAAAUAUAGAUUACAACCUCAAUGGCCAACGACAUCAUUGGGAUAAACCUUAGCCAUCUUCUUCUUCUUUUGCUAUAAAAUAGUCGAAAGAACAUAAUUAGGGCUAAGCAAUACAAUAGAAAAUAGAAAAUCGACUGCAUUUAGAUGAUUUGAAUUUAAAUUAAAAAAAAUGUUACUGAAAACAUAUUUUAUGAUAAAAAAAUUAAAUAUUUUAUAUUUAAAAUAAUGAAAAUAACUUAAAAGUUUUAUAAAAAAAUGUUUUGUUUCAAAAAGAACACAUAUAAAAGUAGUUGAUUUUUUUAUUUAUUUAAAAAGUUAUUUUUUAAAAAUAUUUUUAAAAAUAAUUUGAAACUUUAAUAAAUAAUAUUUAAAAGUCAUAAAAAAAACUCAUUUUAUUAAAAUAAAGAUAAGAAUUCAAAAAACUAAAAAUCAAAUUAAAUAAUAGAAGAGAAUUAUCACACAGACAGUUCAAAAAGUCAAAAAGUUAUGACCGAAACAAUCUAAUCUCGAUUUUAAAUAUGAUAGGAAACUAAGGGUGAGUUUGGAUGGGCGGUGCGUUUACUUGCAGUUAAUGUAAAAACAGCGGUGGUGGUGAGAUUAGAAACUGUAAUAUUACUGUAGCGUGAGAUAAAAAGUAAGCUAAACACAUCGCACCACACCUCCGCCCCAAACCCACUCUAAGGGAAUAAAAGGUACAGUAAGAGAUGCUUUUUAAGGGUUAACAGUAAUCUUAAAUGAAACAGUGGAAUUUAUAGGGUUAAGAUGCAUUCUAUUAUUUUUUUUUUUAUUCAUUAAUAUUUACUACAAUUCUUUAUCAUUUAAACAUACAUUAGAUAUUAAUAGAUAAAUAAAUAAAAGUAAAAGAGUGGAGUCAAAUCCAUAAUUUAUACCACCGUUUAAUAUAAAAUAUUUUUCAUAUUGCGUUUAAGCCCUUUAUAAUUAUCCUUAUUUAAAUAUCCAGGUUUGUUCAAUUUUAAUUUUUAGAUUACCUUAUUUUAUUGUUUUUUUUAUAUUUUACUUUAUUUUUAAAUGUUAUUUUUACAAUGGUGCAUUUUUAUUUUUUUUUCUUACACAUAUUUUGCAUCACAUGCUUUAUUGUUCUCAAGAUAAUUAAUACUAUAAUUUAUUGAAUUUUUUAGAUUUAAUUUUCUAAUGCAUACUAAUAACUUCAUGUUUGUAGUUUGUGAUAAAUAUGCAUUAUUAUAAAUUUCAAAGAUUUGAAAUAUUUUCUUUAAUUAGUAGGUCAUAUAGAUUAUAAAUUUGAUUAAUAUUAGCCAUUUUCUUGACAAAAAUUGAUUUUAUUAAUAUUAUGUAAUUUGAUUGCAAAUUUCACACUAUAUCUAGGUGUGUAUUCAAUUCAAUUUAUGAUUAAAUUAUUUUUUAAAAUACAAUAACACUUGCCAAUUGAAUCUUAACUCGAUUGACAUUUAUAUUAUUCUCAAUAUAAUAUGUAGAUUAUGCUCCUAUUUAAAAAUGGAGAUUGUUCAAAUGGCACAAUGAGGACUAGCAUAACUGAUAACCAUUAUGGUAGCUCACUAAAAACAAAUUUAUUCAGAAGACACACUUCAUCUGUUUACAGUAUGAUUUGUCCAAAACAAUAAUAAUAUUAUAUACACCUAAUAGAUUGAAUGUGAUAAACCAUUCAAUCAACUCAUAAAUGUUCAAGUCCUAAAAUCAAAGUCCAACUACCUUAAAAAAUAAAGCAUGAAAAUUGUACUUGUACGAGCACUUUGCUUAUAAAGGUUUCACUGAUAUAUACAGAUGCAUAGAACUUCGUCUUCAAGCAGCUUCCUUAAUGAAAUCAAGCAAUAACAACAGUCAUAGGAAAGCUCUGGUUCAAUACAACUAAAACUUUUGCUUCAUAUUUAGUGAUUUCAUGGCAUAUACAAUUAAUUUAGUUCACCUUUCCUACCCUGCAUUUUUCUUUCUUUAAUAUUCCAAAACCAAACAAUAAGAGCAACAAAUCAACAUAUAAGCAGACACAGAUCGAUAUAACCCAAAAAUCCAGAGCAUUUACAUUUAGACAUUAUGCUCAUAAAGCAGUUUAAAAGGCAUCCUUUGAGGUUAUGAUUCUAGACAUAUAAACCAGGUGCAAUGAACUCACAAAUGGUUCAACUUCUUAUAUCUAAAGCCCAUCAACCUUAAAAGUCAAGCACAAAAGGGAAGAAUGAAAACUUUUUAACUUAUCACGGCAGUACAAUAUGAACAAAUUGAUUCACAUUUACAAGUGUCAAUCUUUACACUAUCUGUGAAACAUUUCAGAUCAAGAUUGAUUUAUUAUUAGAUCGUAAGAUAAGAUCCAGAAAUAAGGUUGCAGUUGAUGUACCUGCAGAAAAGCCCUUACUCACCAUUUCCUUAAGAAGUUGUGUUGCCUUCGAGGUAUAGCUGUUUCGAAGAAAUCCCCGGAUCAUUAUAUUAUAACAGAAGCUAUCAGGCAAACAAUCAUUCUCUUCCAUGCUCCUAAACAACUGGCAUGCUUCAUCUGGCAGUCCCUCUGUACAGAACCGGUUAAUCAUUAUAGAAUAUGUGUAAACAUCGGGUUUUAAACCAUUGACAAAGAGCUCAUGAAAUAAUUCCUUUCCAGUUUCAAUAUUCCCAGCUUUGCACAAGACAUCAAUUAAGAUAUUAUAAAAGACGAUAUCAACUUCCAAUCUACUCUUCUGCAUUGCUUGAAAAAGUUUCAAUGCCUCUUCAAGUUUACCACUUUUGCAUAAACCAUCCAACAAAAUCGAACAUGUCACUAGAUUUGGAACUGGCCCAGAAGUAAGCAUCAUCCUCAAAAGUUUACAUGCAGUAGAAACUCUCCCUAACCGACACAUACCUUGCAUAAGAGUGUUGUAUGUCACUGUAUCAGGAAUUUGUCCGUUUUGAGCUAGUUCAUCAAAGAGUUCCAUUGCUUCGUCCAACCUCUUAGCUUUGCAAUAUCCGUUGAUCAUAAUGUUGUAACUAUGUAUAUCAGGUGCACAACCCUUCUCAAUCAUCAGCUGAAAUACACUUUUAGCUUUAUCCAUUUGGUUUUGCAAGCAAUGGCCGUCUACUAACACACUAUAGGUAACAACAUCAGGCUCAAUGCCUUGCUUUAUCAUUGUGUCAACAAUAUCUUUAGCUUCAGCAAGCAUCCCUUCCUUGCAAUAUGCAUCAAUACAUAUAUUGUACGUGAUAAGAUUAGGCUCAAUGCCAUGCUUUCUCAUUGUGUCAAGUAUUUCUAUCGCUUCCGAAAUCAUCCCCUCCUUGCAAUGUGCAUCGAUCAAUACGUUAUACGUGACAAUAUCACAUGAAAUAUUGUUAUCCACCAUUUCAUUCAAAAGCUGCAUUGUCUCCUUUUGUUGGCCCAAAUUACACAAAGCAUGAAUUAAGCAAUUAUAACUAACGAUAUUUGGUCUAAUGCCCUUAGCCUUCACUUCGGAGAAGAGAUCGAGAGCCUCAUUUAGUAACCCGUUUUUACAAAGACAGUCAAUGACUGUGCUAUAUGCUACAAUAUUGGGUUCAAAGCCUCUUUCUUCCAUCAUCCUAAGAAACCUAACAGCUCGAUAGGUAUUCCCAGUCUUACACAAACCGUUAAGUAUGGUGCUGUAAACAAUUAAAUUAGGUCGAUACCCUUGCCCAAUCAUUUCAUCAAACAAACCCACAGCGUGAGAAAUCUGACUUUGAUUACAAAGUCCAUUAAUCAAAGUGGAAAAAGUUACAACAGUAGGUUCAACACCUAACUUGAGCAUUUUCCCCAAAACAGAAAACCCACAAUCAAGUUGACCUAGGUGACAAAAGCAAUUAGUUAAGAUGUUCAAAGUAUAAACAUCAGGGGAAACUCGGAAGAAUUCCAUCUGCUUACACAUAGAAACAGCAAUGGCAUAUCGUUUCAUUCGAACAAUGGCUCCUAAUAAUUUGUUGAAUUCCACAACAGAAGGCAUUGGGUACUUGUGAAUCAUCUUAUUAAACGAAAACAAAGCAUCAUCAACAUUAUCCAAACUAUCAUACUUUUUUGGCUUUCCCCUUGCAGGCAUGGAAUUCUUACUUAAAGCAUUGAUAUGGGUAGCAACAGUGUUAAAAGAACAAGAAGAGUGGAAAUUAGAAGGAUUCCUUCCACCAUUAACAAUUGGAUGCAAAAUUAUAGAAGAGUAAAGCUUACCCAUAUCUUGAAUCGAAGCAAAAUGGAAAAGUAAGUGCUGAGAGCUUCAGACGAAACCACAAAUGGCAAGCAUAUGUCCUCAGUGUUGGAGAAGUGAUGUUUUGGGCCGAAAACUGUUGACAUGAAAGGCAAUAAGAAAGAUUCUCUUAAUAUGAGAAAAUGUUAGUUUCCUCUGAGUUGGGCUGACGAAUUCAAACUGAGUUCACCAUGUCCAGCGCUUCGGCCCGAAACUUAUUCUUGCAGGCAGAGCAAAGCUCUUCUUAGUUAUUAAAAAAAAAAUAAAACUAAAAUACGAUUAACAAUUAACUUAUAGAAUCCACAAAAGAUUUGCACUUCAUUUAUAUAUCACAGCUGAUUUUCUCAAAUAUAUAAUGAUUUAAUAUAUUCUUAUUUUGAGUGUUAUUAAAAAAAUUAACACUCAUAAUUAUCUUAAAACAAAUUAUAGUUAAAAUUUUAAAAUAGGGAUAAAUUUCAAAACUAUAAACAUGAAUUAUGGUUUAAUGUGCAAGUGUAUACAUGAACUUUGAUUUUGUGUAAUUUUAUACAUAAAAUUUUGAUUUGAUCCAAUUAUUGUAAAUUAUUAACACAAUUAUAGAUAUAACAUCAUUUUAUGUUUAUAUAUUGCAUACAUAAAUAAUAAUAUUUAUCUAAUAUAAAAAUAAAUUGAUGUAUUUAUUUCUUUAAAUGUAUAUGAUUAAAUCAAAAUUAAAGUUUCAAGUAUACAUUUAAACCUUUCAAGUGUAUAACUACACCAAAUUAAAAUUUAUGUAUAUAUUAAUGCAUUAAAUCAAAAUUUAUAUAUAAUUUUAAGAUUUAUUCCUUUAAAAUAUCAUUUAGGAAUAGAAUUCAAAAUUUAUGGAGAAAAUUUGAAUUCAAAACAUAUGAGCAUCUCAUCCAUAUCAAUUUUUAUCUUUAAUUAUAGCUUGCAUUUUUUUUAUUGAAAAUCUGUUAAUAAUAUUUUCAGAAUUAAAUUUUAAAUUUCCUUUUCUAAACUGUUUAACAAUAUAUUUUUGGGAAUGUUAGGCUCCGUUUACAUUUUACAUUUUUAUUUUUGAAAAACCGUUUUUAUUUUUAUAAAUAUAUUAAAAUUAGAACCAAAUUGAGAUUAUUUGUAAAUAUUAAGAUAAAUUUAUUUAUAGCUAUGACCAAAUUAACAAAAUAUAUAAUUGUUGAGAGCUAAAUAUAUUAUUAUAUCAAUUUUAAAAUUAUCAUGUCAUUAAUAUGUUACAGGCUUAAUAACAUUUAAUGGAAAACAAUAAAAAAAAACAUGAUUAGUUGAGUGAUGAUUUUAAAAAAAUUUAUAAUUGAAUGACAACUAAAAAUAUUUAACUUUAAUUGAGUGGCAAUUAAUAUAAUUUAUCUUAAAAAAUUUAUAUUAUAUAAGUAAAAGUUUUUAGUACUUUUAUGUUAUUUAAAUAAAGCAAUCCCAUUUUUUGUGAUCUAUACAUUGUAUAUUGUUUUAUAUUAUUAAAACAGUCCUUGGAAGGUUGUGCAAGUGACAUCUGUCUAGCUUUUGAACAAAUAAUCUUAAUCGUUUUAAUUUACGUAUAUCUUGAAUCGAAGCAAAAUGAAAAAACAAAAGCUGAACUCCUAAUAAAACCACAAAUGGCGACAUACACUACCACAAGAACUUAUGUUCCCAUCUAUACUCCAUUUUAAACAGCUAUUCUCUUAAAGUCUGAGAUAGCAUAAUUUGAUAUUUACUAUGGCAAUAUUCAGUGUAACACUCUAUACUCGACCUUUUUGUUAGAUUUUUGUUAUAAUAUGUUAUAUUUGUUGUAGAAAUAAUUAUAAUUAAUUCAAAAUUAAAUUUAUACAAUUGAUAUGAUAAUUAUCAAACAAUUAUAUGUUCUUUAUUCAUACUAAAGUAACUCUUGUUACAAAUACGUUAGUGAAAUAAACAGUAAUGUAAAAUAUUAAUUUAAAUCACAAGAUCGAACCAGAACAAUAUAUAUAUAUAAUUUGAAAAACAGAAAUUGAAAAUAAAACUAGAUUGAAAUUUUGUACUCUUAAGUAAACAGAAAUCCGACUGGUAGUUGAGGCCUGUUUUCACGGUUUCUUUAAGACAGGUUUGGUUGCUUCUUUGGUGCUGGAGAAAUAUUGGUCAACUAUCUCCCAUGAUACAACAACGAGAUGAGCAUGGUAGUAGCACAACUGCAAUGAUCAACGAACUGUAACCUAGUUUUCUUCUAUGACCGAAAAUAGGUUCGAAAUAUGCAAGGAAAAGAUCUCAAUUUUUUUGCAGGAGAAAAUUUCAGUGUGCAUUUUCACCUGCAAAUUAUUUUGGUUUAAAUAAAAUAUUCAAAAUGAAAGAAAUUUUGGAAUUUUUGAUUAAUGGAGCCAUUAAUGUCCGUGAAUUAAAGAGUCUUAAAAAUCCAAAUUAACAUCUGAAUUAAAUGAGCCAUUAAACAAAAUUUAACAUUUGUCCUUUUAAUUCCAAACAGAAUUUGAAGAGAUAAGUUUUGUUAAAGAAAAAUAAAAUUACGUAUUGGGCUAAAAUAUUCGUAGGCUUAGAAAGGCCUGACCGGUCCGAACAUUUUGCGUCACCCAUGUCAUGCGGGUGCGUCCCCAAACUCUGCGGGUUUGGAUUGCACCCCCAUACGCGAGGGAAUGCAUUAGUUUAUUUAUUCAAUAACCACCAAGUUUGUUCAUAUGUAAAAACAUAUUCCACACUUGAUAUUUAACCAGUAUAGAACUAAGUUUUCCCUUUUCCUCAACAUAAUUUACAAGUGGCUUACUUUAAGCAUAUGAUAUAUAGUUGUAAAGGUCUCAUGGGGUAGAAUAUAAAACCAUAAUUUUAUGAUUCAAAUCUCCACCUUGAAUAUGUCUCAAAGCUUCUAAAAAUCUAUUUUUUUCAACAAUCCCCCACAUGAAUGAAAUUGAUAAUUUUAACGAAAAACAUUGACUCAAUGUGGUGAUAGAAUCUACGAUCAAUAGUUGUAUAGGAUAGGUAGGCAUCAACCAUUGAACCUUUCCUUCUGAAAAUAUAUUUACUUUACUAGUUUACCAGUAGACGCGAUGUCCUUGAACUAUUCUACCGUUUGUGUAAACGAUGAUACACCUCACACAACUACCUCUCUAGCUAGGUUUUAGUUCUCAUAGGUAUGUUCAUAUGGCUAUGAACGUCUCUUGAUUCUGCAAGACUUUGAGAGAACUUUGCCCGAGUAGCCUCUUCGAAGUGACCCCACUUCACUCUCACAUAGGUGACUUAUGUUGCUCGGCUCACUGAAACACACAAUGGUUAUUAAAAGCAUUAUUUAACCUAUCCCACUUUUAAUCACUGUUUAUAUCAUAGGAACAAACUUGGGAUAAGAACCCCACAGUGACUUCACAAGGUCUAUGCAAGUAGGUUGUCAAUUUGAACCUAGAUCUUGGGAUCUCUAGUCAACUAGGCUAUGUUUUCCUUCGCAUAAUAUCUUUAAUAUUUAUGGGCUUUAGUUGCUUUCAAUGUUUUAUCAACCUGAUCUCGAUUUAAGCCUUUAGUUCGCAGAUCUGCAAUGUUAUCUUUUAAUUUUACAAAACCAAUAGAGAUAACUCCAUUUGAGAUCAGUUCUCUAACGGUAUUGUGUCGACGAAGCAUAUGUCUCGACUUACCAUUAUACAUUAAGUCCUGUGCUCUACCAAUUGUUGCUUGGUUAUCACAAUAUAUGCAUAUUGUGGGCACAAACUUUGGCCAAUCAGGAAUAUCUUCCAAGAAGUUUCAAAUCCAUUCAGCCUCUUCUUCAGAUUUGUCUAGAGCUACAAACUCAUAUUCCAUUUUAGAUCUGGUUAUAAUCGUUUUUCUUGAGGAUUUCCAUGACACAACUCUUACUCUCAAUGUAAAAAUAUAUCCACUUGUGUCUUUGGUAUAUUGAAUAUUAGAUAUACAACUAGCACCACAAAAGCCUUUUAAAAUAGCAGGAUCUCUGGAAUAAUGCAGUUCAUAGUCCUAAGUAUAUCUGAGAUAUCUCAAAACUCUCACAAUUACUUUCCAAUUGUUUUCCCCUUGAUUGCUUGUGAAUCUGCUUAAACUACUCACAAUGAAAGCAAUAUCUGGUCUAGUAAAGCUCAUAAGGUACAUUAGACUACCUAUGAUCUUUGCAUAUACCACUUGGUUAACAUUUUCACCUUUUUUUUUUGGACAGAUGUUGGCUCGUAUCUAUUGGAGUUCUGGCUAUACCAGAAUCAUCAUUACUAAAUUUCCCAGGAAUCUUGUCCACAUUGUGUGAUUAAGUUAAUAUGAGAUCUUCAGAUGACCUCGUGAUUUGGAUGCCUAAAAUCAUAUUAGCUAGUCUCAUAUCUUUCAUGUCAAAUCUUGAAUUUAACAUGUCUUUCAUAUGUUUUACCAUUUCAUUGUUACUUCCAACAAUGAGUAUGUCAUCAACAUAUAAGCAUAGGAUUAUAUAUCCAAUGUCGAUAGUUUUGACAUACACACAUGUUUCACACUUAUUAAUCUUAAAUCCAUUUGUCAUCAUGACAUUAUAAAACUUUUCAUAUCAUUGCUUUGGUGUUUGCUUAAGUUCAUAAAACGACUUCACCAAUUUCCUUUCUUAUCUUGGAACUACAUGACCCUCAGGUUGUUCCAUGUAAAUCUCUUUAUCAAGAUCUCCAUUUAUGAAAGCUGCUUUAACAUUCAUUUGAUGUACUUCUAGAUUCCGUAAGGCGGCAAUUGCAAGUAUCAUCGUUAUAAAAGUUAUCAUGGAUACUAAAGAAAAAAUAUCAAAGUAGUCAAGGUAUUCCUUUUGUCUAUAACCUUUUAUAAUCAAUCUGGCCUUGUACUUAUCAAUUGUUCCAUCUGUUUUUAUUUUCCAUAUGAAAAUCCACUUAAAUUUUAAUGGUUUAAUUCCCGGAGGAAGAUCCACUAAUUCCUACGUAUGAUUUUGCAAUAUGGAGUCAAUUUCACUUUUAAUAACAACUUUCCAUAAAAUGUUUUCAUAUGACCGUAUAACAUUAUUAUACGUUUGAGGUUCAACCUCUACUAUAAAGGUUAGAAAAUCAAAUCCAAAAUAUUUUUCCACCCUUGCUCGUUUAUUCCUUCUUGGCUCUAUCUCAAUUUCAACCUCUUGUUGAAUAUCUUGACUAUUUUCAUAUAUAAUCUUUGAAGUUCAUUUCAUUGAACUUGAAUCACCUUCCCUGGUUUUACAAGGGAAGAUAUUUUCAAAGAAUGAGACAUUCUUUAAUUCCAAUAUAGUAUUCUUGUGAAUGUUAGGAUUCUUUGAUUCAUACAUAAGAAACCGAUAUGCAUUGAUAUGAUUUGUAUAGCCAAUGAAAAUGCAAUCCACCGUUUUAGGACAUAUUUUCAUUUGCUUUAGUAAUGGAGUCAUUACCUUCGCAAAACACCCCCACACUUUCAAAUAGUUGUAGGAAUGUUUUCUACCUUUCCAUAAUUCAUAUGGUGUCUUGUCCCUUUUCUUGCGGGAAAAAUAUUUAAAAGGUAAUUAGCUGAUAGAAUAGCUUCUCCCCACAAAUUCUGUGAUAACCCAAAGCUUCCUAGCAAUGCGUUCAUCAUUUCCUUUAGAGUCUGAUUUUUUCACUUGGCUACUCCAGUGAUUGAAGAGAGUAUUGUGGUGGCACUUCAUAAAUAAUACCAUGUUGUGCAUAGUAUUCACCAAAUGGUUCAACAUAUUCACCACCACGAUCACUUCUCACCAUCUUAAUCUUUUUAUUAUGUUGGGUUUUAACUUCUUGUUUAUAGAGAAUAAAUUACUCUAUAGCUUUAUCCUUGCUCUUAAGCAAAUAUACGGAGCAAUAUUUUGUGCUAUCAUCAAUGAAGGUAAUAAAAUAUUCAUUCCCUUCUCUAGUUUAGACAAACUUUAAGUCACAAAUAUUGUUAUGUAUUAGAUCAAGUGGUUUUGUACUUCUUUCAACAGUUUGAAAUGAAUACCUUCUUAAUUUUUCCUGAACACAAGUUUCACAUUUGUGAUUAUAAUUAAUGUGAGAUGAAUGAAUGUGCUCUAAAUUAAUUAAUCUACGCAAAGUAUCAUAAUUAACAUGUCUGAGCCUACCAUUCCAUAAAUUAAACGACUCAAGCAUAUAAACAGAAGAAGAAACAAUAUUCUUAUUCAUUGUCUUUGCUUUUACAAAGAUUACAUUAAGUUUCCACGUGUCAUUUAAUACAUAUCCCCUUCCCACAUACAUUCCCUCUUUAGACAAAAUUAGUUUCUGGGAUUCAAACAUCAUCUUAAAGUCAUGUACACUUAGGAGUGUCUCAGAAACAAGGUUCUUACGUAUGUCAGGCAUAUACAACACAUUUUGAAGCUUGAGUUAUUUGCCAAAAGUCAUCUUCAAGACCAUAGAGCCAUUUCCCUUGAUCUUGGAAGUGACGACAUUGCCCAUAUAAAGCUUCUCCCUUUCGUCACAAGGCACCAACUCAGAAAAUGAGUCUUUUUCGCAGCAGAUAUGAUGUGUGACACCAGUAUCAAGCUACCAUUCUCUUGGAUUUGAGUUAACCAUGUUGACUUCAGAAAUCACAGCAUAAAAGUCUAUAUCAGACACUUCCUUCGAAAUUUAUUCUACAGCAUUGGCCUAGUUAGCUCUAACUUUCUUUGGAAGCCUACAAUCAGAUGACUUAUGCCCCAUCUUGUUGCAACUGAAGCAUUUCCCUUGAAAUUUUUGCUUUUUCGAAACAUCACCUUUUGGUCCCAGUUUAGACCCAUUCUAAGGUUAUUUUCCCUUCUUGAAGUCAUUCUUAACUUAUACCACGUUUUCCUUAGCACCAUUGACAUUUGUUGCUUUGUCGAGUUUUUUGUCAGUACCUUUAUUCUCUUCUUCAAUUUGAAGCCUGACAAUCAGGUCUUCCACUGACAUUUUCUUUCUUUUGUGCUUUAGGUUGUUCUUGAAGUCAUUCCAAAUAGGGGGUAGCUUCUCAAUAAUGGCUCCCACUUGAAAGGAUUCACUUAUGACCAUCCUUUCAAUAAAAAUUCCAUGAAAGAUUAGUUGAAGUUCCUGCACUUGAUUCAUAACUAGUUUAGAAUCAACCAUAACAAAAUUCAAGGGUUUGGAAACUAAAAACUUUUUAGCUCCAGCAUCUUCGGUUUUGUAUUAUGGUCCAAUGAUGUUCAUAAUUCCUUGGCCGUCUUCUUGACACUGUAUACUUCGUACAGUGCAUCGGACAACCCAUUCAAGAUGUAAUUUCGACACGAAAAAUGAGAAUGCUCCUAAGAUUCAAUAUUAGUGAAGGCAGUAACUUCAUCUACCUCACCCUCUUUAACAGUAGGAGGGUCAUCCUUCAAAAUUUUGACCAAGUUCAACAUGGUCAAAUAGAAUAACAUCUUCUGUUGCCAUGUCUUGAAAAUCUGUCUAGAGAAUUUCGCAGGCUUCUAGUUAUGUCUUACAGCCACCGGCAACAUUAUUUUUUGAUUCGAAGCCUGAGUUGGAACCAACACUCCAGGUCGUGAAUUAGGUGAAUUGGUGGGAGUUUCCAUUUUCUGUUAAGAUUUUAGAAACAGAACCCAAAUUAGUAAUAAUAAUAAACAGAAAAUUUAAUUUCUAGUUUAUACUACCCUUCGGUUUUAUUAAACGACAGAAUUUUGUUAGGAACUAAAAAUUCUGAAACAAAAUUAAUAACCAAUUUCUGGUAACAAAAUUGUUACUCUCAAACCAUUACUGUUAACAACAGAAAUCGAAUAAAUUUUGUUAAACAGCAAGAAUAGAAUCUUGAAAUAGAAUUGUUCAAUUGAUUUCUAUUUAGAAAUAGAAAAUCGAACAAAUUCUGUUGAACGACAGGAAUAGAAUCCUAAAACAGAAUUGUUCAAUUGAUUUCUAUUUACAAAUAGAAUACAAUUUCACAUCGGUGUCCUAUUUGGCUUGGAUUAGAAAGUGGUAAAGAUUUGUCUUAAGAUUAUUGCAAAUACGUUAGUGAAAUCAAAAGUAAUGUAAAAUAUUAAUUUCGAUCACAAGAUCAAACCAGAACAAUAUAGAUAUAUAUAAUCUAAAAAAAAUUGGAAAUAAAAUUAGAUUGAAAUUUUGUACUCGUAGGUAGACAUAAAUCCGACUGGUAGUUGAGGCAUGUUUUCACAGUUUCAAUUGCUCCUUUGGUGCUGGAGAAAUAUUGGUCAACUGUCUCCUAGGAUACAACAACGAGAUGAACACGGCAGUAGCACAGCCACAGUGAUCAACGAACUGUAGCUCAGCUUUCUUCUAUCACUGAAAACAGGUUCAAAAUAUAUAGGGAAAAGAUCUCAAAAUUUUUACAGGAGAAAAAUUCAGUGUGUAUUUUCUCCUGCAGAUUAUUUCGGUUUAAAUAAAAUAUUCAAAAUGAAAGAACUUUUGAAAUUUUCGACUAAUGAAGCCAUUAAAAACUCAAAUUAAUGUCUGAAUUAAAGGAGCCAUUAAACUCAAUUUAAUAAUUAUCCUUUUAAUUCCAAAUAGAAUUUGAAGAGAUAAGCUCUGCUGAGGAAAAAUAAAAUUACGUAUUAGGCUAAAAUAUCCACAGGCCUAGAAGGGUUGACUGGUCCGGACAUUUCGCGUCGCCCACGUCAUGUGAAUGCGCCCCCAACCCUCGCGAAUUUGGAUUUGCAACCCUUGUGCGCGACCUAAUUCACAAGUGGCUUUUUUUUAGUAUCAAUUUCCCAUUCAGCAGUUAACCAUUUUGAGCAUAUGAUAUACCAUUGUAAAGGUAUCAUAAGGUAGAAUAUAAAACCAUAAUUUUAUUAUUCAAAUUUCCAUCUUUACCAAUCAAGAAUAUGCCUCAUAGCUUCCAAAAAUCUAUUUUUUUCAACAAAUCUAUAUUUCAUUUUUAUAUGCACCUAAUAGUAUACAACAAAUCCGCUGUAUAUAUAUUACAACUAGAGUAUAAGGUAUAACAUUUGAUUUUAACAUCAUUCAACUACCACAAAAUCUAGCCUAUUAGGUACAUGCCAAAUACAAGUAAUGUUGAAAAGUAACAUAUAUGACUGAGGCUGGAACUAUGGGUCGAAUGCUAUGGUUGAUACACGGAAAUCCUGAAUUAGAUCUAACUUGUGCACAAAGAAAAUAAUCCGUAUGCUAAGUAAAACAUUCAGUGGUAUUUCUAUAAUUUAAGUAGAUAAUAUUAAAUCUACCUAAAUAAACGUGUAUAUUAUAUGUACAUAUCUACCAUAUACUUAUAACCAUAUACAUUCUACCUAUCAACUUUAAAAUUCAAUCCCAAAAUUCCUUGCUAAAAAUACCUGUAAUAUUUUAACCAAUAACUAAAUGGUCCCAUACCAAUUCACUUAUCAUAUUUACUAAUUCACCUAUAUAAUUAUCCCAAACAUAGUCAAAACAUAUCUAUACUAACAAUACACUAAUCAUUUAUGCCACAAUUCCAUUCCAAAUUUAUAUAAUGCUAACAUAUCAUCUACCAACAUUAAAACACAAAAUCAAAUUAUACCAACUUUCAUAUACUUAUUCUUAUUUGUCAUACAAUUCAUGUUUUACGAUUUAAUCCAUUAUAAGUCAAUAUAAUCAAACUAUAAUUAAUCUAAACUAAUAGACAGUAAAUAUAAUCGAACAUAUCAUAAAAUAUACAUAGUAAGUUCCAUAUGAACUAACUUGUCAAAAACAAAAACAAUCAAGGUGUUAGAGACUACUUUGCAAUUUUUCCUUUUUUACGAGGUUGAUGUAAUUUUCAGUCUAUACAAUAAUUCAACUCAAUUUAUUAAUCUCAAAUAUCUUAUAACAUCUAAUUGUAAGCAUAUGACAUUUUACUUUUCAUUACAAAAGUUCCUUGAAAUUUCACAUUUUAUUUAUUUUAAUCCCUAAAACCGAAAUUGUCAUAACUUUCACAUUUGAGAUUUGAUUUCAAAAUUGAUCUCAGUUAUAUCCUUUUACAUCUAUCUAAUAUCUAUAUUCACAUAAAUUCAUACAAAUUUUGAAAUAUUUACAAUUUAGUCCUUAUGUUCAAAACUAACAAGUUUUACUUUACGAACUAGUCUUUUUUCAUAUAUAAGCAUCAAACCUAACCAAAUAACACCAAUUUCAUCAAGCAUUAAUCAAUGGAAACAUUUAAAAAAAUUAUAAGUUUGAAAAAUGACAUACGAGUUAGCUAAAUUGAACUACAGUGAUCACAAAAAUAUAAAAUUUACGAAAAACAAACUUAAACUUACCUACCAUGCAUGGCGAAAGCUUCAAAAUUUUGGAAGCUUUUCUCGAAUGGUGACUUUCGGUGGAAAGAUGAAGAUGAGAAAUGUUUUUUUCUUUUCUUUUUUUUCCACCAUUUUCUUUUUAGUUUAUUGCUUAUGUCUUUUUCUUACAUUAAUUUAAUUACAAAUUUAACAUUAUUUUUUAAUCAAUCAUCAUGUCAAACCAUCUAAUAUGGGCUAAAAUGGUAUAAUUGCCAUUUUUAACUUUGGUUUAACCACUAUCUUAGUCAUGUAACACCUUGAAAUUUAGGGUUAAAAGUUUUGAGGUUUGUAGUUAGGGUUUGUGAGUAGGGCGAGCAGCUGAGUUUAUUAUUACGUUUUGGUGUUAGAAUGAGGCUAUUGGUUUGGUGGUAGUGGGUGUGUUAGUUUAUCUUUGGGUCCUAGGUUUGAGUCCUCAUUUGUGUUUAGAGGAGUUAAUUAUGUUUUAGAUUUGUUUUUAAGUUUAAAUACAUAUUUAGUUUUAGUUAUUUCAUUUAUUUAUUUUUAAUUUUUAAUUUGGAAUAGGAAAUUAUCCCAAAAAUUUUGUUUUCACGUUCCUCUUUUCUCUCAUCUUUCUCAUGUCAUUUUUUUCCUUUUUUUCCUAGAUUUAUAAAAUUUAACAUUUAUUUGCCAUUUAAUUCUUUUUAUCAUAACUUUUUUUCUAUUUUCCUUUGAAUUUUUGUUUGAAAUCAUUGGGUCUCAUUUGAUUUCAUUGAUUGGUGUUCGGGUAAUUCAAGGAAUUGAAGCGGAAGUAGAAAUUGUGUUGUGGAGGCGAAUCGGUCAGUUUAUGAUGCUUGAGAUCCCAAUUUAAGGUGUGUUUCUGAAUCAUUAGUGAUUAGGGUCUGCUUUUAUGACCACAUGGAAGGCCAUACAGGCGUGUACCGCACACAAGCGGUUCACACGGCCGUGUGACAUUAGGAAUUAGGGUUUUUGGGCGGUUCACAUGGUCGUGUGGCUAUUGUUUGGGGAUCUUGUCAAUUUUCACAUGACUGUGUCCCUUCACCACACGAGCAUGUGAGUUUUCCACACAGUAGUAUCUCUUCUACUACUUAAUUUGGCACUUUUGGAAAGUAAGUUACACGGGCUACUCACACAACCAUGUAACUCGAACACACGGGCGUGUGUCUCCUCCACACAGGCGUAUGCCCCUUCUAUACGGCCAUGUUAAUCUUCACACAGCCUAGACCUUCAACACAGCUAGGGCUUGUUUCGCUGAUUUUUGUUCUAUGUUGUAAUUUGGCUCGUUUUGUGUUUCUGUAUGUUUCAACUCUUGACUAGGCCUUUGUAAGUGUGUUGGGACUUUGUUCUUAGCUUAGAUUCAUGUGUGAAUUUACAAUUAUAGGAUUAAGUAAUUGUUUGUUCAUGCAUUAAGGUGAUGGGAUAAAUGGAUAUAAGAUAUUUUUGUUAUCGUUACUUAUUAAUUGUAUACAAGUAAUAUUUACUCUAUAAUUGGUCCACUGAAUAUGUAUUUCUGUUCUACGAGUCUGUUAGUAUAUUGAGUGCACUCUAGUAUUUGUAUCGAAAUUUGGGAUUUUGGUUGUGAAGAGAAGGAAGACUAAUUUGGCAGUUUUAACUGCAAUACUUUUGUACAGCAGUUUACCGUACUGUACUAUAUGUAUACCAGCUCAGCUGUAUACAUUUACUCGAGUGCCUUAGUUCCACAAUUGUGGUGUGUAGGUUGGAUGGGCCUAUCAUGGUCCUUUGUGGUGUACAGGGUGGAUGGGCAUACUACAGCCCAUAUGUGGUGUGUAGGGUGGUCGGAAUGGUGUUUGGCUGGAUGGGUGGGAUUUUUCCUUUGUUGCAUACAUUUCACAUUUAGGUAUAAGUCUGUCUGUAUGGUUGUGGGGUUAAUGGCGCAAUAACUUGAAUAGUCCGACAUGUCUUUGUAUCUGGUGUGUUUGGAAUAAUAACUCUAUGUUAUGUUUGUUAAUAGAUUACUCGUUCACUGUCUGUGUGUAUAUCGGGAAUAUUCGUUUCGAUUUUUUAUUUCGGACUCACACUGAGCUCACGUAGCUCACCCCCUCUUAAUUCCUUUCUGUCAUGUAAUUCUCAUGUUUGGUGCGAGACUCAGUGCAUCGGUGAUCUCAGAACUUUUACUUGGGUUUUUCUCAAAUCGGAUUGGACUUAUUUAAGUUUCAAUAAUUUUGUUAAAUCAUUUUCUAUUGGACUGUUAGUAAUUUUGUUUUAUGAACUAUGGUAUAAAUUACUUUGGUAUGUCUGUUUCGUAAGCGGUUUUGAUUAUUCUGAAAGCUUUAGUUUAAACUUUAAUACAUCGAAAGUUUUAAACAUAAAACACUAGUUUGUGAUUUGCAUCUAAAUAGUAAGUAUUAUGCUUUCUGCUGUGAAUUAUUUUCUUGUAACGCCAGUCUUUUAAAUUUCCAAAUCUGCUUGAUUUCAAAAUCAGCGUAAAAAUUUUUAAACGAUUUAGUUUAAUUCGAGCAAACGUAUUCGGAUUAAGUUUUAAGAAAUUAUUUUGUAAAAUGUUUUAGGACCACUUCAGUGUUCAAUGUAAACUCCGGAAUUUGGUCUAAACUCCUAGGUCGGGUUUUGGGGUGUUACAAGUCAUUUAACAAUUAAAAAUCUAUAGCGAUUAAUUUUUAUCAUUUUUACGAUUUAGUUCUUGUACCUUAAUUAGCUAUCAAAACGACAAAAUUAAUGGACUAAACUUUAAUUAAUCUUUCUACUAACUUCAAAAAUAUUAAUAAUAAUAUUUACGAACUUGGUUUAUGGAAACAGGGUCCUGGAAUCAUAAUUUCCAACUUUAUUAACUUUAGUAGCAUUGCACUUAUACCUUAAUUUAAUAUCAAUUAAGAAAAAUUGCUUUACCAAACUUUAAUAUAUUUCUAUACUAGUCUCAUAAAUAUUAAGUAUUAAUAUCUAUGAACAUUGUUUACGGAAAUGCAUUUCGAAACAGUAAUUUUCAAUACCACAGGAAAUAGUGGCGGAUCUAGGGGGCUGACAGGGCCCCCGGCCCCCUAAAAUGAAAAUUAUCCAUUUAGGUCCUUUUAGAAAUUUUAAAAUUUUAAAUUAGUAAAGGUAAAGUUACACUUUGGCCCCCCUAAAAAUGAUAAAAAUUUGAUUUAAUCCUUUAAAAUUUAUAAAGAUAUAGGUUAUUAAAAAUUAAAAUUUAAUUUCGGCCCCCUCUGAAAGAAUUUUCUAACUUCACCCCUAACUGAAAACCGAGUUGUUACACUCAACUUCUGUGGGGAUAAUAAUGGAGUACUGUAUUUCUUUAUUUAUUUUAUUUGGGUUUAUAUUAAGAAAACAAAUUGUUAUUUAUUAUACUUAGUAUCCUUUUAUUUUGGGUAAACUACUUAGUUGGUCAUCCAAUUUUUAGAGUGCUUUCAUUUUGGUCAUCCAAAUAAAAAUACUUGCAAUUUAAUCACCGCUGUUAGAGAAAUUUUUCAUAUUUACUUACCAAACAAUAAAUCCCUAACGACAAAUUAUAGUUCACGCCACAUCAUCAUUUUUUACCAUUUUUUUUAUCCUAAUUACCACUGUUCAUCAUCUCAUUCCCCUCCACACCACUCGUUUUAAGUUCAUAUUUUUGGCCAGAUCAAACUUGAGAAAAUAUAAAAUGUAUUAAUAUCAUAUUUAAAUUCAACUUAGACCCAAUUCAACCCAUAAACACUACUAAAACAAACGAAGUCUCGCAUGUCUUUGUUGGAGUUCAUGGAAGCUUCAAAACUCAUUCGUUUGAAUCACAUCUAUCCCUCCUUAUUUUGCUUACGAUAUAAGCGAUGACCACAUUUGCAAUUAAUGGUUCAGAUUCAAUUAUGAAAAUAAUUUUUUUUUUAAUUUUGCUUUUUAUAUCUUCAUAUUGUUACAAGAUAUGUUUGACUAAUUUUCAUUAUUAACAUUUGUUAUCCUUUUUCUUUUGUAGAUAAAUAUUUAUUUGGUUUGGAAUGUAAUAUGAGCACCUUUUAUACCUUUCGUUCCUAAAAGUAUGCUAUUAUGUACAUCUUUUUUUCCAAAUUUUCAUCAUAAUCAAAUUUGUUCUAGGCUUAUAUCUUAGUAUUCAUGGCAAUCAAAUAACUCAUCCAACAAAUUAAAUUUUCUUUUUUGGAACCCUAACUUUAUUUUAAUGUAUAUAUGAUCUACUCUGUAUAUAGAUAUUUUAAUAAUAUCUCAGUUGGUGUAUGAUUGGCCUAUAAAUAUAAUAACUCAAUUCUUAAUAAACACAUUUGGAGUUAAGGUACUAAUUACACAAAUUUGACAGCAUGAUGUGCCUGAAAAGAUUAAGCUAACAAACCGGCGAUUUUUAAAUAAUUACAUUCCUACAGUACAAAAUCUUUACAAUAGGCAGAUUGCUUCUACUGCCAUUUGUCCAGUAUGCCAGCCUGAUAUUGAAUCUGGAGCUCAUGUCCUUCGGGAUUGUGGCCAAGAUUGUUUGGUCUUGUCUUGACAUACAGUAGCCUAUAGAUCAAAACCAGUGUGAGUUGGGUGUUUGGCUAUCCUCUCUGUUGGAGAUUAAUGGUUCCAAUAUGUGUAUACUCAUCCUCUUAACAACAUGCGAUUUAUGGCAUGCUUAGAAUAAAUUUUAUCAUGAAGGUGUAAGAUAAAUGAGCAAUGCAAUUAUUACAUUUAUUCUUAGCUAUACACAGGAGCUUGGGCUUUGGGUGCAUGUCGCUCUGUCGAUCACACUGGUUCAGACAUUAGUUGGGAUCAUCCUUGUGCACUUAUUGUAAAGAUUAGUUUCAAUUCUUAAUUUCGAGUAUAAUAACAGAUGGCUUUUGUGGGAAUCAUAAUUAGAGAUCAUGAACGUUAUCUUCUAGCAGGUUGACAUGUUUGUUGCAGAGGUUAUGGUGUUAAAUCCUCAUAUGAUAUCCUUGAUUCCCUUGAGUUAAAUAUGUUCACUUAAUACAAUCUUAUUUUAUAUCAUUUUUACUAUUGUGUCUUCUUAAUGAUUAAUAUGAUCACUGUCAACAAAUAACUGUGAUAAAUUGUUCGUUCGAGAACAAGCAACCCAUGACUACGUUCCAUAUUUAUCAAUCCACACAAUGCUAAGAGAGGAUACCAUUAACUCUUUAAUUGAGCUAUGAAUUCCACUGUUGUUAGUAAAGCCAUGCCAUACACAAGUCAUGUACCUAACAUACUGGCUAUGGGCUCAAUCAUCUUUAGAGUAUAAGCCUCCACUUAAAUCAAAACACAUGAGUUGCAUAUACAUGGUUAGUGACUAACAUAGGAUUUAGGUAAACUACACCAUAAACGUCACAAGUGAAUUAAUUUACAAACGGAUUCAAAAUUAACUCAUGUUGGGUCCAAUCCAAUGUAUCAUUCUACCAAUGAAUACAUCUAUAUCUCUACCCGUGUAGUCAACUCUCCGACAAUCAAUACUAGCCAUCUCCCCAAUUGGAAUCAUAAACAACAUAAUUGUAACGCCCCCAAAAUUAGAAUUUUUGUUUGUUAAUUCUACCAUAAUUAAGUAUUUGUUUUAUGGUUAAGUUCAUUGAUUGUGUGUUAGAGGUCUUGAGUUCAAAUCUUAUUUUUGGGAAAAUUCAAUUAUUUUUUGUCCUGUGCUUAUCUCUAUUGUUCAGCUUAGGUAAUAUUUUUGUUCAAUUUAUGAUAAGAAUGAGCUUGCUGGUUAAAAAGUAAAUUUCUUGUGAGUGUAUUUAUGGUCUUGAGUUUGAAUCCCAGUGUGAGCAAGUUCGAUUAUUUUUGCUUGUCUGUUUGUGUCGCCUUUUCUUGUGAAGUUUUAAUCAGAUCUGAACUUUGGUAGUUAUUGGAUGUAGGAAAAGCAGUGGGGUGGUGGUUUGAUAGGAUUAGGUUUGUUAGGAUUGUUAAUAUAUUAUUUUAUUUUAUUUUAUUUGAAAUAAGCCAUAUAUUUUUCUUCUUUUUCCAAAAAACAAUUUUCCCAAUUUUCACAUUUUAUUUUCUCCCUAAAUCCUCAUGUUUCCUUUUCUUUCUUUUCCUACAUCAGUUUCUUCCUCUUCUUUGUUUUGUUUUCUUUCAUUUUUAUUCAUCCCAUGGGUUUUGUGGUUCAAUAGUGAAAGUUAAUUGAAUAGUGGAAAUCGAAUUCGUGCGUAAGUAAUGUCUUCUCUCUUUUCCAUUUUGGAGAGUUUCGUUUCUUGGAAGUUUAGUUUUGUUGAUAAGGGAUUAUGUGUUUAAUCGUGUUAGUUAAUUGUUUUAUUUAGGAGAAACUCAUGAAGCAAAUAAUUAACCAACAAUUUAAGAUUUGGGGAAGUUCUGUUCAUUCGAAGGUAAACAUUACUAUUAAUUGGGGACUGUUUUGGCUAUUUGGGGGUUAAUCAAUUGUGGUUGGGUUAGUAUUUUAGAAAAAUUAAAGUUGUUAAUCAUUUAACCAUUGCACAGUUGAGGGCUGAUUUGUUGAAUAUUUGAUGUUCUAGGUGCUGGAAUACUAAAUUUUUGGAUUUGCAUUGAAAUCGGGUCAAGUGUGUAUCAAGAAACACGAAAAACAUCAAAUGACGAAAGCCAAAAAAUUACACAGUUAACUCCACACAAACGUGUGGUAGGUCGUGUGUGUAACACGGUCGUGUGCUGGGCUAUGUGAGACACACGGUCUGGACUAUUGGGCUGUGUGGGCCAAACGGGCGUGUGUGAGGCCGUGUGCCAGGUCUUGUGGGCCACACGGACUGGCCAUUUAGGUCAUGUGGGCCACACGGCAAUGUAGGCCCAAAAUUUUAAAUUUUUCCCUAGGGCCGUAAACAUCGUUUGGAUCAAUCGUAGGCCUUCCAUAGGGUUAGUUUGUUAUUAAUUAAGCUAUAAAACAUUGCUCCUGACCAUCUGUUAGCGUAAAUUUGAUAUAAAGACGCAUGUUUGAAAUGAUAUAAGAUAGGUAAAAACUAUAUUAUGCUAUAUAUUGUCUGAAAAGUGUUAUAUAUGUUCUAAAUAUGUCAUUAUAAGCUAGUACAUCAUAAGCAUAGUUGAUAUCUGUUAGUUCUACAUUUGCAUCUGGGAUGGGAUUUGGUAUAAAGAAGAAGUCUGGACAGUUUAAUAACCUACCAUAUUUGGUGGCUCAACCACAUAUAUUUCUGUAGACGGUAAUAAAUCACCUAAUAAACUAGCAGCUCAGCUACAAAUAUUCUGAGAAGUGUCAUACCGACACUAUGUGGUGUGUUGGGGUCAUCAGAGAUGGUGUGUAGCAGAUGGGGGUAGGAUUAUAUUUCUACAUCUGUUAUGUUCUAAAAAAUAAUGUUUUUGACAUAUAUAUAUAAAUUUAUAGCUGAUUGACUUCUGUAUGAUUUGUUACACACUAAGUUACAAAACUCACUUUCUGUUAUCUGUCACUUUUAGGUAAUCCUUAGACUUAGGUGGGUUGUUUUUACGGGAGCUCGAUUAUAAUAAUCUUUCUAUAAAUUCAAUUUAUUUAAAUUUGGCUUUGAGAGUUUUGUAAAUUUUAGACUGUUUUGGUUUUGAACUUUAUUUCUGUUUUUCGCAUGAUGUUGAUUAACGUUUUAUCGACAAUGUUCAUCUUUUUGCAAAAUAAGGAAUUUCAAAACUACAAACUAUGUUUUCCAAAUUUCAAAUUUUUAAGAAUAUCUGCUGCAAAGUUAUACGUUUUUAGAAAAAUGUAAACAAACAACGUUUUCAUUAAAUCAUUUAAGUGAAAUAUGUUUUCAACUAAACUUGAUUUUUGUGUAAUAAAAGCCUACGACAUAUUUUCAAAAACAAAUGAAUUCUAUUAAUCAAACGAUUUUUGCUAACAUCUCCAGUUCUAGCCCUAACGUUUAGGUCAAAUUUGAGGUGUUACAAUAAUAAUCCUUUUCAAUAUUUGAAUCAAAUGCUCACUUCAAUUAUUUUAUGAGAUUAUAGACUUAUUUAGAUUAUCUACUAAAAUAAGUUGUCUUUUUCACAAUGUAAAUGUUCUCACAAUGUCACUUAUCUUUAGUUUGAACUUAGUCAAUCAAUUAGCUAAUAUUUGUUUGUUAUAAUUUCACUAUGCAUGCAAAAUAUAAAAGACAGAAAUACAAAAAACAUAAUAGUAAAAUGUGAAAUUAACUUUAUUUAUUCAUUGUUCAAAUAAAUAAAAAAUAGUUACAUGUUUGUUACAAUAUAGGCACAUUUCCCAACAUAAAGGACACAAGUGAAUUGGUUAAAUAUUGGUACCUUGCAAUAUAAAUAUGGGAAUGUAGCUAUGGAUGAACUUGAGAUGAAAGAGAUUGUACGAUAUUAUUUCAACAACCUUUUCUCUACAAAAGGGAUUGGUGAUACAGAACAUAUUCUAGCCGGUGUAGACAAGUGCAUUUCAGAUAGCAUGAAUCAUAUGUUGAUAGAUAGAUAUACGGAUGAGGAGGUUUAUUUGGAUCUAAAGGGGAUGGGUCUAACAAAAGCGUGAAGGGCAUAUGGUUAUUCAACUAUUUUCUUUCAAAACUUUUGGCACAUCACUGGAGGGGAAGUUAGUUCCUACUAUUUGGGAGUUUUGAAUGAAGGUAAGAUUUUGGGACUUCUUAAUAUAACCAAUAGUGUAUUAAUACCAAAAGAAGCCCAUCCGAUGAAUUUAACAAAUUUUACGCCGAUAAGUCUCUAUACAGUUCUUUAUAAAAUGAUUUCAAAGAUAGUUGCUAGUCAUUUUAAAAGAGCAUUAGAAUGAUGUAUUGAUGAAGCUCAAAGUGCAUUUGUGUCGAGGCAUUUGAUAACAGAUAAUGUUCUCCUAGCUUAUGAAAUUUUUCACACUUUUAGGUAAAAAUGAACAGGGAGUAAGGGUUUUAUGACACUGAAAUUAGACAUGAGUAAAACAUAUGAUCGAGUAGAGUGAUUGUUUUUAAUGAGAUUUUUUAAUUCAUGGGUGGAGCUUAUUAUGCGAUGCAUAACUACUGUCUCGUAGUAAAUUGUAGUUAAUAGAAAAGUUGGAAAGGUUUUUAAACCUACUAGAGGCCUACAACAGGGAGAUCCAUUAAGCCCUUUUCUAUUUUUAAUAUGUAAUGAAGGGCUCUCAUCUCUUAUGAUAUUGGCUAUGAAGGAAGGUCUGUUAAAAAGGGCUAAAGUAUGUAGAAGGAGACCUCAAAUCUCUCAUUUCAUGUUUGUUGAUGAUUGCAUUUUAUUUGGAGAGGCUACUGAUAUGAGGGCUCAUAUUCCGAAAGAUAUACUUAGGGAGUAUGAAGUAUGUUCUGGGUAGAGUAUUAACUAUGAAAAGUAAAUUGUGUUCUAUAGUUCAAGUACUUCUGAUAGGGCAAGAAGGAUAGUUUCGCAAAUCUUGAAUUUUAGAAGCUCAACGAAUUCGAAGAAGUAUUUUAGUUUGCUAAAUAUGGUAGGACGGAUGAAGAAACUAUUUUUUCAGUUACUAAAGGAUCAUAUCAAGAAAAAGAUUGAUAAUUAGAGUACUAGACAGUUUUCACAAGGUGGAAAAGAGAUUUUUAUAAAAGUUUUCUACAAGGUAUUCUGACGUAUUCAAUGGCUUGUUUUUUGCUACUGAAGUCACUUUAUGGGGAAUUGGAGCGUAUAAUGGUGAAAUUUUGGUGGCAAAAAGGACAUGGAAAAUAGGGGACCAUUGGUGUGAGUGGAAAUCACUAUGAGAAUUAAAAUAGAAUAAGGGUUUGGGUUUUAGAUGUUUAACAAAUUUUAAUUUAGCUUUACUUGUAAAACAGGGUUGGCGCCUAAUUAAUUAUCUGAAUUUGUUGUUAGCCUGUAUUUUAAAAGUUAAAUAUUACCCAGAUACUGAUUCUUUAAGUGUCAGGUUGGAAAAUAUUCCUUCUUAUACCUAGAAGAUUGUAUGGGCGGCUAAAGGUAAGUUACAAGAUGGGUUGUUCUAGUAGGUUGGGACUGGAAUAAAAAUUCCAGUGAUGGAUGUUGCAUGGGUACCAAGGCCAGUAGACUACAAAAUAAAAAAUAAUGUUAGUAAUUCAGGCAUUAGUGUGGUUGCGGAUUUGAUAGAUGAUAAUUCCAAAGAAUGGAAAACAGAAGUAGUGAAUAAUACCUUCUAUGAAAGCGAUGCUAACAAAAUUUUACGUAUUCCACUAGAAAAGGUGUCACACGAUAAUUUUAUGGUGUCAAAAGGGGAAGCAUCGGGGGAGUACUCUGUGCAGAGUGGAUACAAGCUAGUUUUACAAGGUACUAUAGACCCUAUUGCUUAUUACAAUUAAAGCAACUACAUGUUGUUUUACAAAAAAAAUUUGGAGUCUGAAACUACCCUCAAAACUAAAAAUUACAAUUUAGAGAAUUUCUAUAAACUUUAUACCUAUUCUCAGUAAUCUACAUUAUAAGAGAUUAGCUGAACCACAAUGUGUCCCAAAUGUGUAGGUGAAGUAGAAAACAAAAAGCAUGUAUUUCGUUCGUGAUUGUCCUACAAAAAAGGAAAUUUGGCAUAAAUUGAAUUUUGUUUGGCCACAAUCGGUGACAAAUUCAGAGUGUAUGGAAUGGUUUACCUGGAUAUUUAAAGAAAAUUCUGCCAACCAAUGUCAACUUUUUUGUUGUGCGUUGUUGGUAAUUUGGACAAAAAGGAACAAGUUGUUGCAUGAAGGAAAAAAAAACCACGACAAGCAAUAGUAGAUUUCAUUACAAAUUACAUACGAGAACUAGAUGGGAUGGGGAAAAAGUUACCUGGUAGGGGAUCGGAGAUUGAGCGGUAGAGAAUACCGGAGUGGCCAAAUCUCAAAAUAAAUUUUGAUGCCGCUUUUAACAAACAAGAAAGCAUAUCUUGUUUAGGCAUUAUGAUAAAGGAUUCAAAUUGAUGGGUUCUAAGGUCUAAAACAGUGUUAAACAAUAACAUACCUUUGGCGUUUGCAGCGAAAGCUCUUGCAUGUGUUUAGGCAGUUCAAAUGGGCUUGGAAAUGUGUUUAUAAGUGGUGGAAGUUGAAGGCGAUACAUUUUCAGUAAUCAAUAAGAGUCAAAGUAAUGGGUUGGACAGAUCAGAGAUAGGUGCAUACAUAAGGGAUAUUCAACAAUUAAAGAGGGGCUUUCAGAGAUGUUGGUUUAAACAUACUCCAAGAAUGGAAAAUAGGGUAGCACAUGCAUUAGCCACAGAAGGUUUGAAGAGAGGGGAACAGAUUUACCUAAGAAGUGAAGUUCCCGAAUAUGAUGUGUUCUUGCUAGAAAAUGACCAAAAAUAGGUAAAAACAUCAGACUGAGCUGCCUUUAGAGAAAUGGUUGAAGUCGAAUGAAGAAGCCAAAAAAAAGGAGAGAUCAAAAAAGGAAGAAAAGUCAAAACUCCCUCAGGAACUAUAAUUGAUUGAGGUCUGGUUGGGCGGCCUAGAAGCUUAUUGAGCACGACAGUUCAUAUUUUGAUCGGAUUUUUUUUGCCCAGACUAAGCUUCUUGACCGAACUGAGCUGUAACAGUUGUUUUGCCUAAUGAAUUGGUCUUGGGCUUUGUUUUAUUUAUUAAUAAAAUCCAAUUUGUUUAAUUUCAAAAAAAAAAAGAGGAAAGGUUAUAGAUAAUUUUAAGUAUUGUGUAUAUGUUGUAUAUUUGAUAAAUUUUGUAACUAAUCUUUCCUUUAGUAGGUAAUUUAAUUUCUAAUUCACAACUUUCUUUUAAAUUGAUCAUAUUGUUAUAUAUUAUUUUAAUAGUUGACUGAGUUUAUAUGUUUUAAUUGUAUGUAUUCUUAUAGAUUUUAAAUACUAAGCAUAUUCGUUCAAAUUACUGGUCAAUAUAAAUUAAAAUUUAUAUCAAUAUUCACAAUUUUUGUACUAAUAUAAUUUAAGGUAAAUUAUCUAGUUGGUUACUCAACUUUUAAGGUGCUUUCAUUUUGGUCACCCAAAAUGAAAUUUUUGCAAUUUCGUCACUAAACUUCUAGGGCACUUUCAUUUUAGUCACCUUACUAUUAAAUCUCUAAUGGUAGUUAACUUGUACACACCACUUCAUGUUCACACUUUUAUUUUUGUCACCCCAAAAUAUCAUUUUUAUAAUAUUGGUCGAGGUAAAAAAAUUAAGGAUUAAAGUAAAAAAAAUGGUAGAAACUAAAAUAAUGUUUUAAAAUAAUCAAAUUGUACCUUUUUUAGCCCAUUCGAAAGUUCUAAAUAUAUUUUUUUCACUAUUAAAAUUUUAAAUUUCAAAACAUUAAAAUCAAUUAAACAAGUUAUUGAAAAUUUUUAUCCCUUGCAAUUAAUUUAAUUAAUUAAUUUUAUAUUCCAUGCCAAACAAAACCCAAAAUUUUCUUAUCACUUCUUUACCCAAACCAAGAACUAACAAUUAAUUCAAUUAAUUGCAAUAAUUUUUCUUUAUUUUCAGCUUAGUAUAGAAUAUUUGAAAUUAUAUAAUAAAAAGAAAUUUAAGUUUCGCAAAAAAAUAUUAAAUAUGAGUUGUCGAGUUUGUUGCAUUGAGAAUAAUAUGGAAACAGAAAAUAAAAUUUUAAAAUUUAGAAGGAGAUAUUUCAAUAUUAAAGUAAUUAAUAUUAUCAAGUGAUAAAAAUUUUCAACAAUUUAUUUAAUUGAUUUUUAUGUUUUGAUAUUUAAAUUUCAAUAUUGAAAAAAAAUUAGAAUUUUUGGCAAUGUUAUAAACAAGUACAAUUUGAAAAUUUUUCAAUACAUUAUUUUAAUUUCUACCAUUUUUUUCACUUUAAUCCUUUUUUUUUACCCCAAAUCAAUACUUUAAAAUGGGAUAUUUUAUGGUGAUCAAAAUAAAAACAACCUAAAAGUUGGGUGACCAAAAUAAAGGUAAAAACAUGAUAUAAUGUAACACCCAUUACUCGAUUCGGUCGUCAAACUCGAGUUUUUAGAAUGUUACAGUCAUAACCAGAAUAGAACACAUUUAAAUGACAUUGAUUAUCCCAAAUAAACAUAGAAUACUUCCUAAAUGCAUAAUUAUUGCUCAAAUUUAACAAAAAUCAUCCAAACAUAGUCAAGUCAAUUUAUGAUUAACAAAUACAUCAUUUCUCAAAUCAUAUACAUGUUUCUGUAUGCUCUAAUACCAUCCAGAAUUUAAUUAGGAUUAAUUUGCAACAUUUUCAAAUUUUUAGUUCAAUUAUAAAUUAAAACAAUUCAGAGCUUAAUUGUAAUUAUCAUAAUCAAUAGUCAAUCAUUAUUCAUAGCAUAUAUGUGAAAACGGAACUUAAAUCGAGUCCACGGACCUUAAAAAUAGUUUGGAAACAACUACGGAUUAAUCUAAAACAAAAUAGAAAAAACAUGGAAAAUUUUGAAAACAAUGAUCACAUGGCCGUGUGACAGAGCCCAUGUCAUGUGGCUAAACCGUGUACAGUUCGAAGUUAGGGGCACACGAUUGUGUCUCUAGAGUCGUGAAUAGCUUGAUACCGUGUGGAAAAACCUGUACCUAAAAAUCAAUAAGGCACACUACCAUGUGGCAAACAGUGUCCCAGGCUGUGUACAACCUAAAUGACUUCAAAAACAAGUAAUUUCAAACACCAUUUCUUAGCUAUCAAACCUAACCAUUUCCACCAAUUUAAAACACAUUCAAACAUGUCAAAAACAUGCUAAAAACAUUCAUCCUAAGUGGCUAAUCAAUGUACCAUCAUUAGUACCACAAUUUAAACAUUUAAAAUCCAAAUUACAUACAUCAUUUCCCAAAACACAAAACAUGUAUCUAUCAAGCAUUUCAUAACUUUAAACCACAAUCAAAACCAAACUUGGAAAUAUAUGAAUCAUACCACUUAUAUACAUAUGGUUAAAACAUGCCAAAAGAGCCAAAUAAACACAACCACAACAUCACAUAACAAAAAGCAUAGAACAACAGUCUAAUAACAAGUGAACUUGAAUUCCUAGUACAUGCUACUUAUAACCUAAAUCAAAGUAAUCACAAUUUAUACCGAGUCGAUAAACAAAUAGUGUGAGCUCUGACUUGAACUUCCAACCGACAGAAACUUUCGACGAUCUAUGGGAAAAACAACACAACAGAUGUAAGCAAAUCUUUGCUUUGUAAGUAUGUAUUAAACUUUAACUUUAACUUACCAUAAAGGUUGUAACUUAAACAUUUUUGCAAUUAAAAUUUAUAAACAAUGUCAUGAGAUUAUUAUUAACCUAUACAUAUCACAAGUCUCACAAGGUUAGUGAGUUCACAUAUAUGAAACUUAUAACUUUAUCAUGUCAUAAAAAAUAUACAAGUAAACACAUUUGAUACACCAUUCAUUCAACAUUUAUUCAUUUAACAAUUCACAUUUCCAUUUUAAGUGUUCAUCUCAAAUGUCCCUUCUUACUUAUCUAUCCAUAUAAACAUUUCAUAUAACACUUCAUAUAAUUAUUUCCAUAUAACCGCUUCAUAUAGGUAUUUCGUUUACAUGUUCUCGUAUAACUGAUUCAUAUAACCAUUACAUAUAUCUACUUUUAUAUAACCAAUUCAUAUAACCAUUUUGUAUAGCCAUUUCAAAGUGUUAACCUUAACACAACAUGAUUCAAUAAUUCCAAGUCAGUAAACAACAAUAUACAGAUAUUCAGAAUUCAUAUUUUUAUCCAUUUUAAUGAAACAAUUUAUCAUUGCACAAUCUUUGUUUUUUCAAUGGAACUUUGUAAAAGAACUCAAUACACAAGUCUGGGAAAUAGAUGAUGCUCAUAUGAGCUAAUCAGAUAUAGAAAUAUAUGUGUCGGGUUACCCAUUCGGGCUAAACUAGUGACAACAUAGAAAAAUAGCCUGGCUAGGGCUAUGUAUAUAUGUAAGGUCACCAGUCCAGGCUAAACCUUUAAAAUGAAAACGAAUUACUAGUCCAAGCUAAAUUUGUGUCACAUGCAUAUCCGAGUCCAUAACAAAUGCUGGAGUUUGAUCCAAAACGGGAACCAUUUAGAAAUCUCAUGUAUGAGACUUUUACUUGAUACAUCAGAAUUAUCACAGAAUUCAAUUUAAUACCAAAUAGUUUGAUUUCAAUUUUAACAAUAUAUAUAAUUAACCACAGCUAAUAAAAAUUUGUAACAAUAGAAAGAAGAACGAACUUACCUAGACAAAAAUGAUUGCGAAAACAAGGCCAACAACUAAUUCAUUAAUUUAGUUUUUCCACGAUUCGAGUCCGGUUGUUUGUUUCUUGAUCUAAAUAAAUAGUUUUUGUUCAAUUAAUCCAUUCAAACAUUUCAAACAUUUCAAACAUUUAAACUUAAACUUAUAAUCCUUUUUAACAUAAAUUUAAAAAUUACCCCUAAACUUUUCACUUUUAUUCAAUUUAGUCCCUAAACCCGAAACUUUUGAAUUUACCACCAUUUAACCAAUUCAAUGCUAGCUGAAUUUUAUAUAAUCCCUAUUUAGCCCACAUUUAUCACAAUUUCACAAUAAUUCCAAGAAUUUUUACUAUUUUAACAACUUAGUCCCUAAAUACAAAAUUAACAAAAUUUACUUCAUCAAAUAUUCCUUAAAUAUUUCAUAGCUUCCAAAUUUAACCAUUUCUAUCAAAACAUAUAAGAUUCAUCAAUGGCAAAUUUAGAAAUUUUUAACAGUUUUGAAAGCGGAGGUACGAGCUAGUUAGAUUAAACUGCAAUGAUCUCAAAAACAUAAAAAUUAAGAGAAACGGAAUUCAAAUGUACUUACAUGCACAAGUUGAAGCUUAGCCGAAUCUUCAAACUCAACAAUGGAGUUUCGGUCAUCCACAAUGAAAAAUGAAGAUGAUAUUUAUUUUAUUAUUUUAUCUAACUUUAUCUUUUUAUUUAAUUACCAAAAUGUCAUUAAUUUACAUAUUUUUAAACUAAAGCAUAUAUAUAUACCGUCCAACAUUUUAAGUAUGGUUAAAUUAUCAUAUAAAUCCAUUCAACUAUGUUUUUGAAAUCAAUUAACCCUUUUAAACUAAUAACGAUUGAUUUUUGUGAUUUUUACGAUUUAGUUUUUUUACUUAAUUACCUAUCUAAAAGUUAAAAUUUUUUAACUAAAUUUUAAUAUACCUAUAUAAUCACUCCGUAAAUAUUUAAUAAAAAUAUUUACUAGCUCGAUUUACAGAAUGAAGUCUCCAAACAUCAUUCUCGAAAACCACUUGACUUUAGGGACAACCAACUUGUACUUAAAUAUUCAUUCAAUUACCAAAAAUUAUCAAACUAAAAUUCAAUAUAAUAUCAUAAUUGAUUCGUAAAUAUUACAUAAAAAUAUUUACGGACUUACUCGUCAGAUUUGUGGUUUCGAAACCACUAUUUUCAACACUACUGAAAAACGGGUUGUUACAUGUAACGUGUACAGUUAACUACCAUUAGGGAUUUGACGGUUUGGUGAUUAAAAUAAAAGAUAUUAAAAUUUGAGUGAAAAAAUUACAAUGAUUUUAUUUUGGGUGACCAAAUAAAAACACCCUAAAAAUCGGGUCACUAACUAGAUAAUUUACCUAUUUAAUGAACAUAAUAAAUCAUUUCUAAUUUUAAAAUUACCUAAAUUUUAAUUAAAUCCUAGUGAACAUUUGAUCAUAAUUUGGAUUCCUAAAAUAUAGAUCUCUUUAAACAAAAUAAAUAUACAAAGGUAUCAAAAUUAAAUAAUGUAUUGUGUAUUAAGAAGCAUUAAUAAAUUAAGUGGACAAUAAUAAUGCUCUAACCAGCCUUGUAAGUUAUUUAAAAUAUUAAUAGAUUUUUUUUUUCAGCAAUCAAUUUUUUAAUAAUGAUUGUAAAACUUGUAGGGAGAAAAUGAAGAUGUUGAACGUUGAUUUCAGGUUAUUACAGCAUAACUUUAUACUUUGAAUUCUAUACAACUAAUCUAUGCAUAGUACAAGAGGACAAACUUAUAUAUAUCACAAUUUAUGCUAUAUUAAGGUAUAAUUUUGAAUUUGUCCUUUACAAAAUUUGAAAACUUGUUAGUAUUAUUUUUUAAUUUUAAAAAUAUAAUUUAAAAACACAACAAAUCACUAUUCUUAUAAAAAAAAUAUUGGUGUAGGGACUGCAUAAAAAAUAUUGGUAUUGUUUGUAUUUUGGUUUGCACAAUCUUUUGCAAUGCAAGUCAUACUGAAAACUUCCAUCAAGCACUUCUAUUAACUAAUGAUUUAUUUUAGAAAACAAUAAUCGUAAGUAGCAAACAUGUCCAAACCAUAAAUCAAUUUUUGCAUUGGUUCCUAAAAUUUAAACAAUCCAAUUGAAUCUUCAAACUGAAGCUAAUAUAUAUAAACAUAUUUAUUAAUUCUUACAUUAUUAAGAGAUGAACCAAGCCAACUCCAAGUUGACAAUUAAGGCUAAGAUGAUAGUUGAACAUAAUUAGUAUUAUACUUUAGUCUGAAAUUCAAUUGGAAUGAUCUGAAAUUUGGGUUCAAUUUAAAAUUUGACUCAUAGUUUGAGGACCAAUAGUAGAAUUAACCCUAUAAAUAAUUUCAAGCACUAAAAUAUAUGGCUUAAACACUUGGUGCUUCCUUUAAAGAUAGGGUUUCCACCAUUGUUGUAAGGCACACCAAGGAAGAAAGAGAUAAAAUAUGGCACCCAUUUCAUUACCUAACAAGCCCCAUGCAGUAUGCAUCCCCUUCCCGGCACAAGGUCACGUAAACCCGAUGCUCAAAGUGGCCAAACUCCUCCAUUUCAAAGGCUUCCGCAUCACUUUCGUCAACACCGAGUACAACCACAAACGCUUGCUCAAAUCCAGGGGCCCCCACGCCCUCGACGGCUUGCCUGACUUCCGGUUCGAGACAAUCCCCGACGGCCUUCCUCCGCCCGACAUCGACGCCACGCAAGACAUCCCCGCGCUUUGUGACUCCACUAGCAAGCAUUGUUUGGCUCCCUUUCGCCGACUCCUUGUUGAGCUAAAUGUUAAUUCCGGUGUCCCUCCGGUCACUUGUAUCGUCGCUGAUGGGAGCAUGUCGUUCACUCUCGAGGCGGCUAAAGAGUUAGGGAUUCCCAGUGUGUUGCUUUGGACACCCAGUGCUUGUGGUUUCUUGGCUUAUUGCCAUUUCCGACGGCUUAUUGAUGAGGGUUUUACACCAUUGAAAGGUACAAAACUCUGGUUUUUCUUUCAAACUUUUUGGUUAAAUUUGGCUAUUGUCCCUCUACUAUGCUAUAAAUUUAAGAUUUAAUCCUUAUAGUUUAAUUUCAGAUAUUUGAUUUAUUGUUAUUAAUUAGUACAUCUAAUUAAUAAAAUUAGAUUUUUCUUGAGUAAAAUGUUUUAAAAGAUGUAAGCAUGUUUUAGGCUGAAAUUUGAAUUUUUUUUUCCAUUAUUUCUAAUAUUUUUAAUUAAAAAAACCUUUAAUCCUUUUAUUUUUAUGCAUAUUUAUUAUCAGUUGACUGAUUCACUCAAUUUUCAUAUGGAAUUAAUUUUGUGGCAGAAUAACAGUGACAAAAAUUCACUUAAUCACUUUUAACAACUAAAAUUGUGACAAAUAAAAAUAAAAAAAUUAAUUAUUUUUCUUCUUAAAAUGCAUCCUUAAGCAUUCAUUUUUAAAAGUAUUCCACAUCAGUAUUUAAGUGAAAUGAUGAUGUUAAUAAUUUCAACUAAUUAAUAAUAUUAUAAAAAAUAAAAAACAAAAUUAUAUCAAAUUACAGGAGUAAAUAUCGAAUAUUAGCAUAGUAAAAGGACUGAAUUCUGAAUUUGACCCCUAACAAUUUCUUCAUCAUUGGGCAGAUGAAUCCUAUUUGACAAACGGGUAUUUGGAUACCGUCAUUGACUGGAUCCCGGGCAUGAAAAACAUCCGUAUAAGGGACCUUCCAAGCUUUGUUCGAACAACGAAUCCAGACGAUAUAAUGUUGAAUUUCUUUGCGACGGAGUGCGACAGAGCUUCCAAAGCUUCCGCCAUUAUCGUAAACACCUUCGAUGAAUUGGAACAUGAUGUCGUCAAAGCUCUCUCCUCUAUCUUCUCUAAAUUUUACACUAUUGGACCCCUUCACUUGCUCCUCAACCACAUCCCACCGUCGUCGCCUUUAAGCUCCAUGGAGUCCAACCUGUGGAAAGAAGAGCAUCGAUGUUUGCAAUGGCUGGAUUUAAAAGAACCCAAAUCGGUCGUUUACGUUAAUUUCGGGAGCAUAACGGUGAUGACGGUGAAUCAAAUGGUUGAAUUCGCUUGGGGUUUGGCUAAUAGUAAAAAACCUUUUUUGUGGAUCAUUAGACCCUAUUUGGUACGGGGGGAUUCCGCCAUUUUUCCGCCGGAGUUCAUCGAGGAAACUAAAGACCGGUGUUUCAUGGCGAGCUGGUGCCCGCAAAAGGAAGUACUGAACCAUAACGCGGUGGCCGGGUUCUUGACGCACAGCGGGUGGAAUUCGACGGUGGAAAGCAUUUCGAGUGGGGUGGCGAUGGUUUCUUGGCCGUUCUUCGCGGAGCAAAAAACGAAUUGUUGGUUCGCUUGUAAUGAAUGGGGUAUCGGCAUGGAAAUCGACAACGAUGUGAAGAGGGAGAAAGUGGAAAAGCUGGUGAGGGAGCUGAUGGAAGGAAGGAAAGGGGAGGAGAUGAGGGAAAACGCCAUGGAAUGGAAGAGAAAAGCUGAAAAAGCUGCGUGUUUGGAUGGACCGUCCUUGUUGAAUCUGGACAGGUUGAUUAAUGAAGUCUUGCUCGAAGGACAUGAAUGAUCAACUUUAUUUUAAAAAAAUAAAACACCUUCACGUUUAUAGGUUUGAGUUCUUAAUUAUUAUUUUUUUAUCGACACACUCAACAUUACGAUUAUUUAAAAAUUAGUUCAGUUUUAACGGAAAAUGUGAGUUAACUGUUAAUUAAACCGUAAGUCAACUAAAUAAUCUAUUUGGCGUGCCACAUAAGUCCGAGGUAACGUCAUUUAUAAACUAAAUUGUUUAACAAUUUUUUUUUCAUUUUGUUUCAAUCUUCUCUUUCUCUCUUCCCCUCUAACUAUUGUCAUCGUUGUGUCCAACACCCACCAUCAUCGCCUUCCCUCUUACUUCUCAUUAUUUCAACCCCUACCAUCUCUCCCUUUCCUCUUACUCCUCACGUUUGUAAAAAGAGGACUCAACGUUGUAAAAAGUAAAAAGAGGACACAUUAUUGUAGCCCAUUUUAGGGUUUUAUUUUUUUAAUUAAUAAAAAAAACUAGAAAAAUCAAACGUUACUUUGUUUGGUUUAGGUUUGCUUGCUUUUGGUAUAUUUGAUACCCUUCUUUGCUUUUCAAUUCAUCUACCCAUUUAUUGAUUCACCUUCUCUAAUUUUACUUACCUUUCUAGGGUUAUUAGUUGUUGUUUUUCUCAAAUGGAUUGGCCCUCUUUUCAUGGAUAAGGUCAGUACCUUUUUUUAUCCCAGUUUCAUGCCUUUGUUACAUUGCUCUAUUUAUGAUCUAUGUGGAUUGUUAAUGGUUAGGUUUAUUCUGGGUUUUUUUCUCUUUUCUUCAAAUUUUUUCAAUAGGAUGAAAGAUAGUUGCACGCGCAAAAAGAUUGUUCCGAUGGCAGUUAAUAAGGCAAGGGAAGUGAAAGGGUUUCCCGAUAGGUAGAAGAUGAUAAUUUCGAAACUGGAGCGAAUCCUUUCGUGCUUAUCGGAAUUGUCGACCCAUACUUGCUUUUCAAAAAAAAUGCUCUUUGUAAGGAACAAUUGUAGAUUGUUUCGAAGACAUUGAAGGAAGUGAUUGAAUUAGUGAAUUUAUGCUUGAAAGAGAAGUGUUAAACAAAAUGAAAAAAAAAGUGUUAAACAAUUUUGUUUAUAGAUGAUGUCACCUCGUGCUUAUGUGGCAUGCCACAUAAGCUACUUAAUUGACCUGCGAUUUGAUUGGCGAUCAACUCAUGUUUCUCGUAACGUUGAAGGUGUCAAUUCAAAUAAAAAAAGAUUAAGGGCUCAAACCCAAGAACCCAUAAAUGUUGAGGGUAUUUUCGAAAACUAUGCCAAAAAAACAGCAAUGGGUAUGAUAUUUCAAAUAUUUUUAUAUGUUUAUAUGUGAGAUAUUUCAAAUACACAUACAAAAAUAAAUAAAACUAAUUAAUAUUUACUACUCAUGAUAUGAAUUGAAAAAUAAAUAUUACACACAUAAAAAUUAUGUUUCCUAAAAAUAAUUAUAUUUGUAAUAAAUAUUUAAUUUUAUAAAUAAAAAAUUAUUAAUUAAAUAGAUGAAUUAAAAAUAAUAAAAAAACUUGAAAACAAUAUAUCUAUUAAUUAAAAACAUUAAUUAAAAAAACUUGAUACAACAUAAAAUUUAAAAAUAUAUAUUAAUAUGCUUAUAAAAAUAAUCGAAUCUGAGACUUAAGGAUGUAAUUGUAAUUAUCUAACAGAAUAGCUAAUAUAUAUGUUAAAAAUAUUAAUUAAAAAUAGAAAAGCUUGAAACAACAUGAAAUAAAAAAUAUAAAAACGAGUAGGAGAGGAAUUGAAUCGAGACUCAAUGAUAAAAUCACUAACAUUUAACCAUCUGACUGAGUCAGUCAGAAAGUACCUCCUUUAGAAAUUUCUAGCACAAACAUUUCUAGCUUUUUAGAAAUUUACAUAACAACUCCUUUAAAAUGAACUUUAUUACAUUAAACCCCAUAAAAAUUUAAAUUUUGCCCCCAAACCUCCCAAAAAAACCACCAACCUCUUUUAAAGUUUGCCCCAUAAGUUGUAUUUUUGGAUCCACAACUGACUAGACAUGGUUUUAAUUAAAAACACGUCUAAUUGGGCAUGUUUUCACCUUCUCUCUAAAAUCGAUGUAUUGCGUUAAAUAUGCCAAAAUCGACCUAAACUACCAAAAAAAAAGAAAUUCGAACUUUUUUGACUAAUUUAACAGUAGUUUAAACUUUAAUGUUUUCGUUAAUUGUUUUAUUUAUUUUAAUUUUCAUAUUAUUUUUUUCUUUCACCAAUUACAUAAAUGGUUAUAGUUUCAUUUGGUUUAUAUAUAUAUAUAUAUAUAUAUAUAUUUCGGUGGCAGAUGGAUUAAACAAACUAAUCCUACUUCAAACUAUUGAAUUUUUAUGUCCUAUGUGAUAUUUUUUAUUUUAAUUUUCAUAACAUUUUUUUCUUUCACCAAUUAUAUAAAUGGUUAUAGUUUCAUCUGGUUAUCCUAGUUCAAAUUAUAUUUUUUUCAUAAUCUACCUGUGAUUCCUUCUUUGCAAGAAUUGUUGCAUGUGUACAACCAGUGACACAGUAUCAUUGUGCAUGUUAUUGCUACUUGAGACCUGUAAGUAAAUUUUUCAAUCACCACUUAAAAAAAUGUUACACAUACUAAAACACAAAACGAAAAUUAAUGCUUUAAAAGCAAUAUUAUGCGAAACAACUUGAGAAUUGCAAAACUAAGGACCUAAUUGGUGAUAUAUUGGAAAGCAAUUAGCAUCUCAUCAAGUUAGUAUAGAACUUCAAAAUAGGCUAGCCCCUCCACUUACACUUUAAGCUUCAUUCCAAGCUCAUGAAGAAAAUAACAAUAUGACUUUGCAACUACUCCUUUCUUCUAAGGUCGAUUCCAUCCUUCCUAGAUGGAGAAUGGUUCUCAAUUACUUCUCGGCUGAAGUCCCAUUUGCGCAUAGAUGAAUACAGCUACUCUGGUUCUUAAAAUUUAGGGUAAAUUACACCAACAGUCACCUAACUUUGGGGUAGCUGACAAAACAGUCACCUAGGUUUCAUUUCAGUCACUCAACUUUCAAAAAGUUACAAAACAGUCCCUUUAAACGUUUUCCAUCACAGACAUCACGGAAAAACGACAUGGCAGGUGACGGGGUCUAACAUUUUCUUCUUCCCUAAACCCGUUUCUCCCUCCCUCAUUCUAUUUCUUCUUCCUUUAAAGAAAUCCCUGUAAUUUUCUUCUACCCUAAACCCCACAAAUUUCUUCUUACUUUGAAGACAAAACAAAUGCAAUCCCUGUAAUUUACCUUUCCCUUCUUUUAUUUUUGCUUUUCAAAUUAAAGUUCUGAGUUUCAUUUCUCUCACAAUCCCUCCCAAACUCUCUCCAAUUGCAGUAUACAAUACUUGUUGUAUACUUGUAAGUUGUAACGAGAAAAUAGGCAAUUCAAGCUUUUGCAAAGAUAAAAUUUAAUAUGGAAAUUAAGACUAAAAAUCUCAAUGAAUGGUGCAUGCAUUCAAACUUAUAGCAGAGGAAAACACAGUGAAAGAAAGGACAAAUUUCAAGCUUUUAAUAGGAAAAUUUUUUAAAUGGCUAGUAAAUGACCAUCAAGUUCUAAUCCUGGGAUGCUAAUCAAGCAGCCGACAACUUGGCCAAAUCUUGAAUAGGAAGAUUGUCUCACUCGCUUCUGCCAAAUUCAACUUAAUGCUUUAGGUUAUGCUUUCGUUCUUCGUUUUUACUUAAGCUUUCCAACAGAGAAAAAAAAAUAGAAGAAGAAGAGGAGGACGAAAAGAAGAAGAAGAAGGUUUAAUGGUUAAUAUGUUGUGCACCUAGAACAAAAAUUUCCCUCUUUUCAAGCUCAAGUUCUUUGUUUCUCCUUAUUUUUUUAAUAACUUUCAAUUCAAUAUUUUUAAUAUCUUCAAGACUGUUCUUAACCAAAGCAUCUCCAAUAGAGGUUUCAAUGGCUAUAAAUCCGGAUAAAUGCUCUUCAAGCAAAAUUAUCUGCCCCUUUUAUCUGGCUACCAUUGCUAUUUUUCCAUUACAAUUCCUCUAUCAACUGCUUUUCCAUGUCUAGCUACUUUAUUUCCAUGUUACCCUGCCUUAUAAUUUCUUGAAGAUCUUUUAUCUCAGCCUUAAGUGCAGAAAUUAUGAAAUUGAGCUUGCCAAUUUUUGCAGUUUUGUCAGUUAAAUCCUUCUGCAAAUAAGCAAUGCAUGACAACUUCUCUUUUAGACUAUGCAACUCAAGUAGUUUCCUUUCAAAGGUUAAUCUCCUGCUCUCCAACUCCUUAAUGGGACUCUGUGAAUGUUCUAUUUCUGUAUUUGGGUACAAAUUCUUUAUGUUAACCACCUCAGUCCCCUCCUCAUUUUGCAUGUCCUCUUCCUGCAAGAACUUUAUUUUUUCAUUAGACUUAUGUAUAAGAGUGAAAAAUAUUGAAAGGGAUAAGAUGAAGUACUGAAAAUUAAAGAAAUGGAGGAGGGAAACGAUGGAGGAAGAAAAGUGGUGAUUAAUGUUGCCGGUGAAAGGCCAAAAGGGUCUUCUCUAAAAGAAGCAGAGGCAUUGAACCCUAAGCAAAAUUCUCAAGGUGCACCCAACAAAGCUUCGACUGAAUCUGGUGCUGUUCUGCAAGUAAGCCACCAAAAGCCCCAGUUGCAUAACCAUGAAGGUUUUCAGAAGGUACUAUCCUUUGGUGUUAAUAAUCAUUUCAACCAACUCAGCAGCAGCAACAGAAGAAGAAGAAGAAGAAGAAGAAGAAUGAAGCCACUUCACCAACGUGGCAAGUUAACUUGCCACAUCAGCUGGUUAACUUACCACGUCAGCAAUCCCGUUAACACCUUAAUGGUAACUGUUAAUCAAUGACUAUUUUGUCACUUUUUUAUAACGUUAGUGACUGUUUUGUAACUUUUCAAAAGUUAAAUGAUUGAAAUGAUCCCGAGGUGACUGUUUUGUCAGCUACCCCAAAGUUGAGUGACUGCUGGUGUAAUUUACCCUAAAAUUUAAUAACAGGUUUCAAAAACCCAAAAAAGCACUACAAGAAAACUGACUUUUAGCGGCGUUUUUUUUAACCUUUAGCAGCGCUUUUAAGUGCCGCAAAAACUAUUAGCGGCGUUUUUCCAAGCGCCGCAAAAAACACCGCUAAAGGUAACGCCGCAAAAUUUAGCAACGUUUAUCUGAACCACAAAAGAUCAAGACUUUUAACAACGUUUGUGGGAAAAGCGCUGCUAAAAGUCAUGGCUUUUAGUGGCCUUUUUUUUACAAACGCCGUUAAUUUUGGCAGAUUUGAAAUGUACAUUUUUCACCAAUAUCCAACCCUUCCUGCAUUAAAUCCAACCAAAAACAGCAAAUAUAGCAUGAAAUCCAACCAAAAAUAGCAAAUGUAGUAUAAAAAUACAAUAAAAAACAUUAAAUCUAAAUGAUACUUCAAAUUCAACGAAAGAUCUAUGAUGUAAAUUAAUAAAUUAGGUAUAACUCAAAACGUUCUUACAAUAAUGUUAAAUGUGACAAUGUUAAAAACGUUCUUACAAAGAGAAAACUAAUGUCUAAUAUGGCGACUUUUGCGACUGCUGAAACAUCUACAUCAUUUGCUGAAGCUGUAGCUGGAGCUCAUCGUACUUUCUGCUCUGCUCUACUGCCAUCGCUGCUGCCGCUGCCUCCCUCACUGCUGUCGCUGCCUCUGCCUCCCUCUCUGCUGCCUCUGUUCUAAGUUGUUGCUGAAGUUCUUCAUAUUUUCUUUGAACCUCGGCAAUUUGCUCAACUGUACUCGCUUGCAUCUGAGCUAUCUGGUCUCUUAACCUCUGAACUUCAGCUUGAGCUUGACUCCCAGAAGGCAUGUAUUGCUGGGAGCCGGAUCCAAAAUAUUAGGUCGGGGUAACACCAGAUCCUUGAAAUUAAACCCGACCGUACCUUUCAGGACCCAAAACUUCAGUGAUAAUUCUGUUAUCAAUGUUCUCAAGAUUAACAGAAUUAUCAGUCGAAGCAAUCGCUUCGUACUCCGCCUUCUUCUCCUUUAGUUUCUCCUAAUAAAUCAAUUAAAGAGUUAGAAACGAAAUAUAUAAUAAAAAGGAGAGCAACAUAACUUAACAUUAUUUAAAACUACUAAAGACAAAUUAAACCAUUAUAAUUAAACAUUAUAAAUAUUAAUAAUAAAUCAAAUUUUAUUAAGUAAAUAUACCAUAAUUUCUCCAGCUUCGGAUGUCAUAGGAGAUCCAUCUUUCUUUCUAUGCAUAAUCUCAAAAAGCUGAAGGCCACCAACUUUUUGACCUGACGAGACUUCCUACAAUAUAGUAGUAAAAAUAUUAUUUAAUAGUAGAAAGUUAUUAAUAUUUGACAGAAUUAAUAAAUUUAUAAUACCUCAGCCUCAGCUACAGAAGCAAAACUUCUCGACCCUGCCAUGUGCGUGAAUUUUUGUUUUUGGCUGCUAUUUGUUCCAACUCGCUCACGGUCCUACAUAAUGAAAUUAUUAUUACGUAUAUAGUAAACACUAUAUAUAAGAGUUUAGAAAUACGUAAUACCUCUCCUUUCUUGGAAUUCCAGAAUCUAACCGCAUCUUCCCAUUAGUACCUCAGCAUUCUCGGCGAGACAUUUCUCAAUUUUUCCUUGAGGCUUAUGUCUUUCUUAAAAUAUAGUUUUUUCAAAAUUCUUUUAUGGUUUCUCCAUUUUUUACCCAAUGCCUUCUUGAUAUAGUCAUCGGAGACCUCUAAAGCAAAUCUCUCCUAAAAAAACACAAGUUUAGAAUGUAAAUAUAAAUAAAAGUUAAACCAAAGUAUUAUAAAUUACUUUUAACGUUUUGUUACCUUAAUAUUAUCGAGAGCCUGAUUUUUGUUGCUAUCAGACAUGUGAUGCCAUGAUUCGUAGUUGAUGGGCAACAUAUUAGCAUUCUGUGCUAUAAUGUUCAAAUAGCCUGCUAAAAGUCGAGCUUUAGAUCCAACAGGCUGACCAUGACUGUUUCUACUUACUUUGACACGCUUGACAGGAUUUAAUUCGUAUAAAUAUUUAAGUAGCGUACGUCCUCGACCUCUGCGCGUCCCACCACUUUCAGCUGAAAAACGAUAUAUUAUUAUAUUAAAAUUGAAAAAUAAAUCAAUAAUAAAAGUCAACACACAUGUAAAAUAAACUUAACAUUACUUUGAAUUUUUGCAGGCUCAUCAAGUGUCUCUGGCACAUUCGAAGAUCCAACAACUGUCUGCUGUUCACUAUUUUCUUCUUCCGAAUUUGGAGUAUUCUGGACAAUACCUAAAUCUCGUAAUCUUCUUCUACGCAUUUUUCCUACAAUACACAUAAAAUGAUUUAAAUUUUAGUAACAAAUUACGACAAUAAUAGUACAUGUAAAAUAGUUAAAUUAUAUAACAUCACCAAGAUUAAAAUUAUAAUAUUACAUAUAAUUAAAAAAAUUAUAAAAUCUUACUACAUCAUUAUUCGUAAAUAUCUUCAUCCACAUCAUGUCGAACCCAGAUUUUGUGUACUAGUACUAGGGAUAUUUUCAUCUAAGUUUUGUUCUGGAAAAGGUAAUGUUUCUGAUUUUUCGACGAUGUCAUCUCUACUUCCAUUACCCAUGUCAAACAAGUCUCUAGAGACAUUUCGGAGUACAACAUACCAACCCUCAUCAGUUGGAUCUUUCGAAUAAAAAACUUGUUUCACUUGAGAUGAAAAUACAUAUGGCUCACCCAUCAAUUGUUGUCUAGUGUGAAUCAAGCGAGAGAAAUUAACCAUUGUAAAACCAAAUUGAUCUUUUUUAAUUCCGCAAGCAGUAUUAACAUCAGCCCAAUCACACUGAAAUAAGACAACUUUCCAUCUGCCAUAAUAAUCCAACUCAAUAAUGUCGGUAAGAAGUCCGUAAUACUCCACAUUACCCUCAAUCGGAUUACUAUCCCUAGCACUAGCAUAACUUGUAAUUAAAGAAUUAACAACAAUUCCACAAUUUUGAGUUCUCCUCAUUCUCUCGCGAUAUUUUGUAUGAAAUCUGUAUCCAUUGAUGAGGAAGGCACUAUAUCUUUUUAUUACUCUGUUCGGACCUUGGGAAAGCCAUUUAACUUCGUCAUUAACGUCCUUCCCACUCCAAACCUAUUGAAUCGAAAGUAAAUUGAGUAAUUAUAAAUGUAUUAUGUAAAAACGUUCUUAUUUGAUUAACUAAAUUUCGCGAUUAUAUGUAACUUAUUAACUUCAGUUACAUACCGUUUGACUUAACCAUCCAUGAAAAGAUUUUGUGAAUAACUUAUUAAUCUCUCGAUGUUGUAAUCUUCAAGAACGUGCACGGGAUCUCAAAAUUUGUUUGUACUCACUAUGUUAAAAACAAGUUUAACUGGUUAGAAGAUAAACAAAUCAAAACGAUGAAUAUGUGAGGAAAUUUUAGAACUUACUUGCGUAAUGGUUCAAUUGAAUCGUGAUGAAAAAGUACAUAUCGGUAUGCUUGUAUCCACGAUAUAUCAUCUAAUUCUGCAGUUUCAACUUUGCCGAUUGGUUCUCCAUAACUUUGGAAUAAAUAAGUUUCGGCCAAGUUAUGAUCAUUGAUCCCAGCAUUUCUACUUGGUCUAUUCAAUCGUGUUUCAACAUCUUCUAAAUAUCUAAAACAAAAGGUCAUGCAUUCCUCUGCCAAGUAGCCUUCAGCAAUUGAUCCUUUUGGAUAACGCUUAUUGCGACAAUAAGACUUCAAUUUGCUUAGAAACCUAAACACGAUAUACAAUAUUUAUCAAAAACUGUAACUAAAUGAAAAGAGGUGAAUGAAUGAAUAAUUGACAAAUAAAUUAGCACCUUUCUAUAGGAUACAUCCAUCGAUAAAAAAUAGGUCCACCAAGUAUUGCUUCGUGAGGGAGAUGGAUUACCAAAUGCACCAUAAUAGUGAAGAAGGAAGGUGGAAAAAUCUUCUCCAAGUUGCAUAAAGUCAAAGCAGCUCGAUCAUGUACUUUCUCAAGUUCUUCAACAUCCAAAACUUUACCACAAAUAGUUUUCAUUAUAUUGGAUAGUUCAAUUAUAUAGGACGUCACAUUUUUUUACAUACAGCACCGUAAAGCAAAUGGGAGUAAAUCUUGCAUCAAGAUGUGGUAAUCAUGUGAUUUUAAUGAAUAUAAUCUUCGAACUUUAAGACUCACACAUCGAGAUAUAUUUGACGCAUACGCAUCUAGGACCUUUCUAUCCUUCAACACCAUGCAGAACACUUCUUUCUCUUUCUUUGACAUUGAAAAAAUAGAAUGUGGCAAUCGAUAUUUCCCAUUCGGAAGUACUUGAGGAUGAAGAUCACGCCGAAUUCUCAUGUCAACUAAAUCAAGUCGACUCUAAAGAUUGUCUUUUGAUUUUCCAUCGACAUUCAAAAUUGUCCCAAUUAUGUUCUCGCAGACAUUCUUCUCAAUAUGCAUGACAUCAAGAUUGUGGCGUAAAAUGUUGUGUUCCCAAUAAGGCAACUCAAAAAAAUACUCAUUUUUUUCCACAAGUCCGCCUCAUUAGGAUCAUCUUCUUCGUCAUAUUCAUCAUCAAAUUCAUCUCUCGAUCUUCUCUUUGUUUGCGUGUUAAGUGGUUGAUUCAUCUUCCCAUAACUAAAAUUGAUAUCUUUUAACAUAAACAAGAUUUCGGAUCCAACGGUUUACUCAGGAGCUCCUCUGUACUCUUUAGUACAGUCAAAUAGAGUUCUCUGAAAUCUAAAUUUAUUAUUUCCAUCUAACCACCGACGAUGGCCCAUGUAAGAGAACUUCUUCCCAUUAUACAACCACUUCGAACAAGUUUGUGUAGCACAACAAGGACAGGCAUAACGUCCUUUAGUACUCCAACCCGAUAAAUUAGCAUAAGCUGGGAAAUCAUUAAUUGUCCACAACAAAGCUACACGUAAAUUAAACUUCUCCUUUCUCAAUACAUCAUAUGUCUCAACACCCGACCAUAACUAUUUUAACUCUUCAAUAAGUGGCUGCAAAUAGAUGUCUAUAUCAUUUCCGGGACCUUUCUCUCGAGAGAUAAUCAUUGAUAAAAUAAAUGAUGAUUGCUUCAUGCAAAUCCAUGGAGGCAAAUUGUAAGGAACAAGCACUACAGGCCAAGUACUGUACGAAAUACUCAUGGUUUUAAAAGGAUUAAAGUUGUCAGCUGCUAGCCUAAGCCUCACAUUUCGAGGAUCGCUUGCAAAACUCAGAAAUUUACUGUCAAAUGAUUUCCAAGCUAAAGAAUCAGCAGGAUGCCUUAAUAAUCCAUCAUCGGUUCGUUGAUCAUUAUGCCACCUCAUAGAAUCGGCCGUCUUUGACGACAUGAAAAGCCUUUGAAGUCUUGGUAUUAGGGGAAAAUAUCGCAAAACCUUGACUAGCUUCUUUCUUAACUAUGCCCCACCUUCAUCCGCAUUCACAUUUUCUAUAUUCCCAUUCAUCCAACUAGACUUACCACAAACAUGACAAGACUGUUGGUUCUUCUGAUCACCCCAGUACAACAUGCAGUCAUUUGGACAACUAUGAAUUUUAUCGUACCGAAGGCCCAAAUCUUUUAUUAGUCUCUUCAUAUCUUGACAAGACUGGAGGAUUUUUGCAAACAGAAACAUCUCUCUCGGAAACUCUAGCAGCAUUGUAAAAAAGUUUCCGGUCCAUCCUUCCAAACAUUUUAAGUGAAAUAGAAGAAUGCAGAAGGACAAUUUUGAAUAUUUUGAUCCCUCGUAAAGUUCUUUGUUCAUUUCAUUAAGUAAAUUGUAGAACUUCGCCGCUUCUUCAUUUGGCUCCUCAUUAGGUGCACUUGUUCCCGUUUCGCAGAAAACAUUUCCACCAAUAUCACAAUCAUCGGAUGUAAUAAAGUCAGGUGGAAACGAUUGUUCGCCAUGAAUGUACAUAUUAAAUGCAUCCCGCAACAUACCUUCCAUGUCGUCUUGUCUAACAUACUAGUGGUAAUCAGUAUCAGGAUAAGUCAGAUUAAUCGUUGAAGAAGUUCCACUAGAUGUACACUCUCCAUGGAAAAUCUAUUUUUUAUACCCCGAAUAAAGCCAUCCACAAUUAGAUGUUCGUAGACAACUUCACGAAAAUGCCAAUUGAUGUUGCCACACUUCUUACACAGGUAAAGAAUCAUAUUCUCUUGGCUUGCAUUUUGAAAUGCAAAAUUUAGAAAAGUUUGUACUCCAUUUCAAUAGGCGUUGCUGACUCUUGACAAUUUCAUCCAACUCCUAUCCAUUUUGUAGUUCUUAAAGUCUAAACUUGACAAUAAAUUACACGAGUAAGUUGUUAAUUUAUAAGUAUAAUUAAAUUAUGUAAGUUAUGAUAUGAUAUCUACUUAUGUAUUAUGUAAGUUAUAUAAGUUAUGUAAGUUAUGUAAGUUAUGUAAGUUUCGUGAGUUGUGUAAGUUCAAGUAUAUAUUUUACGUACUAGUGAUUUAUUCAAGUAUAUAUAUUUUUAAAAUCUUAUAAAUUUUGCACAUUAAUAAUUUAUACAAUAUAAAUUCUUAUAUAUUUAAAUAAAUUAAUCCAAAUUAUAUUAAUUAAAUAAUAUUUAAAUAAAUUAAUCCAAAUUAUAUUAAUUAAAAUAACAUGUCUUUUCCUUUAAUAUAGACAUGUCUUUUGCUUUUAUUAAUCCAAAUUUAUGUUUUACAAGUCAUCUUUUCUUAAGUACAUGUUAAAGCAUAGUGUGGACAUCCGUAUUUAGCUUGAAAGUUAUGAUUUAUUUUGAAUAAAAAGUUUAACUUAAAUGAUAAAACGAACGAUAAUAUUUGUGAUAAAACGUAUGAGAAUAUUUAAUAUAUUAAAAAUCGUGAUAGAAAUAUAGAAAUAUUAAAUCACAAAUUACAAAAAUAGGGUAGAAAAAAUUCACGUGGCAAGCAUACAUGUAGAGAGGUAUAAUAUUAUUAAAAGGUUUCAAAUUGAGCAGAAAUGAUCCCUUUUACAGUAUUAAUGCAAGUAAGAGCAUACGCAUUGGAACCAAUAGCAAAGAUCCCCAAGCGAAGUGAGGCAAAUAAAGUGGAAGUUGGUUUACAUGUGCAAACAUGUGUGUGAUAUCUAGAAACAGUCAAUUUUAAUCUCAAUGCCGAGAAAGGUAUAUACCUAAUGGAAUACAUUGCAGAUUUCAAUAUUGGAGAGACAUCAAAUAAAGAUUUAGCCUAUACUAAACAUACAUACCUCUUACAAAUUGUAAAUUGGAUGGUAGCGUCGAUUCCAGCAAAUUAAAUUACACCUGCAAACAAUGAACAGCAAUGAAAUUAAAAAAUAAUCUAAGGAUAAAAAAGAAUUAAAUAAGUUAAAAACAUGAUCCAUUAAUGUAAUUUCUUCUUUCUUCCUCUCAUCAGGACAUCACUAGUACACAUUAUUAAUUAUAGUUCUAAAAUACUAAGUCCAUGCCAUAACAUGGGGGUGAUACCAAAAUGCAACUAAAACAAUUAUCGAGUCCAAUUAAAUUUAAUGCACUCAAGGUCAAAUUUAGAAUUGUUACCAGUGGUGAUACAUCGCUAAUAACAUUAAGAGCAAUGCAUAAACAAACAUCCACAACAGGUGCACAAUAAGCACUAAAGCAUUAAAGGUGAAAAAGUUGUAAAAAAAAAUAAAUUUUGAACGUAUUUGAUAAGAAAAAAAAGUUAAAGAAAAGAAAAUGAGAAAGAGAUGUCAACUAACUUAAAAUUAUGCAAAUUUUUAAAUAUUAUAUUUUUUAAUUUUUCAACUUUAUCAAAAAAAAAGAUAGAAAUAAAAAUUUAUAUUUUUUUAUUUAUUUUAUAUUUCUAUCCUUUUCAAUUAUUCAUUUUUCUGAUUUUUUUCCAAGUGAAAUUUACUACAUGUAUGCUUUGAUUUAGUACGAAUCAUAUUAAAAUAUAUAGAUAAAAUUUUAAAUAUAUAUUAUAACAUAUAGAAAUUAUUUGUACCAAUUAUAAAACACUACAUACCAAUUGAAAUCGGUUUGUCCAACACGACAACAACUACCAUUAAAUUAGAUUAACAUUGAAUCGCUCGUAAGCAUUAAAAAAACUGGAAAUAAGUAGUUAAAUCAAUUAAAAACCACCUAAAAGGGUUUUAUAUAAUGUUUUGGGUUAUUAUAUUAUUUUUUAUUUGUUUGGCCCAAUUUUAUGUUUAUUUGUAGCCCAAAUACACUGAUUUUUGCCAAAUACAACGAACUUUCUUGAGCUUCUGUCAACUCAAGCUGUUGAGCAAAGAUCUAACGACCCUGGCACAACAGGUGCACAAUAAGCACUAAAGCAUUAAACUCCUAUGGCACUAGGAGAACAUCAAGAUUAGGCAAGCACAAAAACAGCAAACAUCAUACUUAGAAAUAAAAACAGAAAGAUUAAAUUCCAAAGAAUUGCAGCAUAUUUUAACCUACUAACAAAUAUAAGUUGCCUUCCUUGCACACAAAUUUUCAUCAUACUUUUACAUCAUCCAAGACUUUGAAUAACUUAGAAGGUCAGAAUAAGUUCAUAUCACAGAUUAUACCAUCAGAAGGUAAAAACUGGAAAGUGUGAACUCAUUUAUAUCAGCAGCAAAUACUAAACUCAGCUGGUUACAAUUUGAGAUUAAGGCUUUUUGAACAUGCUUACCAUAAUUGCAAAUGAUACUGCUUCAAAAUCAAACAGAAAAUUGCAUAGAAAUUUUCAUGCUUUAUGCUAAUGCAAGCUUCAAAGACCAUAUAAGUAAAAAUAUAUCAAUAUAUCACAUAGAUUCAUUUCAGAAUAAAGUUGAUGGGAAUGUACAAGGCAGAAACCAAAUUGCCAAGAUUAGUAAAAAUCUUUAUUCAAUUUCUCUGUAUUCUACUAUGUCCAUCUCGAUACAACAACAAAUCAUAUAUAUAUUAAGUCAUUUAAGUAGCAAAACAAAAACGAGAACAUAUACGAAAGAUGAACAAAAAAGCAAGUCUUUAUGGUACACAAGAAGAAAUAAUCCAAAAAAGCGUACCCUUUAUCUUUCCCUUCUUCCCCUUCUUCCCCUUUCUCUUUUAUUCAGUAUCCGAAAGUAAAUAUGAUGAUGAAGUAGCAGGUGAAGCUGCUGCAGAAGAUUGUGAAUUCCUCCACCAGUAAUUUCUCUAACCCAGGUUUCAAUUCCCUGUUACUAAAAUCGAAAAGCAUCGAACCAAUAAAAUGAGAACCGAGAAGAAGAUGGGUGAAAUAGCUGAGUGAGGGUUUCGGCUUACCGAUUAGUUGCAGCAGAGGAGUGCGACAGUGACGCAACAGAUGGUCGAGUCGACGGCGAUGCAAUAGAUGGUCGGGUCCGGCGAUGGAGAGUUGGGUUGGGUUUGGAUUUGCUGAAAAUUUAGGGUUAGUGGAAAAAUUUUAGGGGAAAACACUUAAGCUUUUCGGGUAUGCUUUGGGGAUAAAAGGGUGGAAAAAAACGAUGUCGUUUAUGUGAAUUUAGGGGAAAACUAAUUUGGUGUUUUGGGGGAAAAGCAUAAGGCUGCCAGGCAUGAAAGAAAUGAAAUUUAACAAAUUAAAACGACGCCAUUUCGGCAAAAAAAUUUUGACCGUUUGCGGCGCUUUAGAAACGCGCCCGCUGCGCUUUAGAAACAUGCCGCUAAAAGCUAUCUAUUGCGGCGUUUCUAAAAAAGCGCCGCUAAUCUCCAACAAAAACGACGCCGUUUUCUUUAAGCACUAAUGUUCUUUAAGCGCUAAUUCCCUAUAUAUUCAACUAAAACGACGUUGUUUCCAUAAACUUUAAUUCUUUUUGCGGCGUUUUUUUAUAAAUGCCACUAAUCCCCUAUCCAACUAAAAUGACGCCGUUCUGUUAAACUAUAAACUUUUUCUUUAAACUAUACUGUUUUUUGCGGCGUUUUUUUGAAAAACGUCACUAAUCUCUUAAUUUUUAUAUUUUAUUUUUAUUUGUUAUAAUUUGGUAGCCAAAAUAAUUAACUUAUGAUAGUCAAUAUUUAAUAAUAUAUCUAUAUUGCAUGAUAACUUUGAAAUUUUAAGUUUAAAUUUCACUUAUAUAAAUUAAGUGUAGAGGAAUUAAUUUGAAUUGAAUUCUUCAUUCAAUUAAUUCUUUAGAUUAAUGAUUUUAAUUAUUAAUACUAAUGAUGAUAAAUGUUAAUAUGAUGAUAAUUAGUUAUAAUUUAAUCCUAAUAUUAUGAAUUAAAGUUUAAAAGAUUUAUCUCUUGCUGAUAUAUGGUACAUACUAAUCUUCUUCUUCUUUUUACAUUUUACGGAAGUAGAUAAUUUUUAGUUUUUAUCUUUUAAAUAUGCUUAAUAUUUAAUCCAUAUAUUUUAGUUUCUAAUAUAAUUUGGGUUCUAUAUGUUUAUAAUGUUAUUAAGUAGAUAUAGAUACCUAUCCAUAUCAAAUUUUGUUACUUUUUUUAUUUAUUUAUCAAUGUUUUUUUUUUUAAAUUCUAAUAAUUAUCAAAAUUUCAAAUGGUCUAGAUUAAAUAUUUUUAAUUAUAUAAAAGAAUUAAUUGAUUGUAUAAAAUUUCAUCAUUUAACAAAUUUCACGUAAACCUUAAAUCCUAAACCAUUUAAUAUAUAUAAAGUUUAUCUAUUAUCUCUGAAAUAAUCUAAACUAUAAUCAUAUAUAAUUUUAAUAUAUUAAGAUUAAUAUUAUCUCUUUUACAAUUAUAUAAGAAAUCGUUUAAUAUAUAAAUUAAAAAAUGAUAAUUAAUCAAAACCCUAAACCUCUAACCCCUGAUUGGUCUUUAAACCUUAAACCUAAACUCAAAACCCUAAAUCACAAUACAUAUACCUUAAACUCUAACCCUUAAACUAUAAACUCUUAACCCUUAACCAUUAACCCUUAACCCCUAAUCCUUAUCCCUUAACCCAUAAUUCUUAACUCCUAACCCCUAAAUUUUAAACUCCAUCUAUUAAACCCUAAAGUACCCUAAACUACAUAAUUCAUAACCCUUAAAAUAGUAACUCCUAAACCUUAAACACUAAACCAUAUACCCCAAAUCAUAAACACUAAACUAUAAUGAUAAUUAAUUCAAUAUUUUAAAAUUAAUAUUAUCUCUUUUAAAAUUAUAUAAGAAAAUAUUUAAUAUAUAAAUAAAAAAACAAUUAGUCAUAUACCAAUAAACUUUAAAUUAAUAGUAUUUUAAUAAAUAAUUUCCUAUGUUUUUACUUUUAAAAUUAUUCUACGUGUCAUUAUUUUUUUUAAGAAUUUAAAUAUUCAAUUAAAAAUAGAUUAUACUUUUAGCAGCGCUUCUUAAAAAAGGCGCUAAUGCUGACUUAUAGAGGCGUUUUUCAAAAAAACGCCGCAAAAGAUCGAUCUAUAGCGGCAUUUUGCAAGAAGGCGCCGCUAAAGCAACUAAAGCUAAAAAAACGACGCUGUUGUGUUUAGUUUUUUUGCGGCGUUUUUAAGAAGCGCCGCUAAAGCCACUAAACCUCAACAAAAAACGACGACGUUGUGUUCAUUGUUUUGCGGCGUUUUCUUUAAAGCACCGCUAACGGUCAACCUAUAGCGGCGUUUUUAGAAAAAAACGCCGCUAAUGCUCAUUUUUUAGUGGGUUUUUGUAGAAACGCCGCUAAAAACCUGUUUUGCUGUAGUGAAGGAUUAAGGAGGUUUUUGUUUAAAAUAGACAACCCCUUUACAUCCAAGAUAACCCUAAAAAAUCAAGCUUUUGUCCUUAAGUUGAUUUUAUCUACAAAAAUAGAAAAAUUAAAAAAAAACCUUAGAUCUCAAUUUUGAAAACAUCUGCCUUUUGAAGAAAAUCCUUUAAUCUAAGAUUGCUUUCAAACCGCUGUCAAUUAUUGAAAACAAAAAACAAACCUAAAAAUAAAAAAAGCUAAAUAAAAAAAACAAAUGAUUAACAGAAAGAGAUUCAGGUAAGUGGGGAUUAACAGAGAAAAGAAUCAAAGACUCAUAUUUUUUAGUUUUCAAGUUCUUAAACAGUUUAAGAAAAAAAAACUCAAAAACUCAAAUCAAACUUAAGUAUCAAAGAUCCAUACUGUUCAGUUUCCAAGAUGCUUGAAUCCUCCCCUAUGACAAUUGAUGCUUAUCUAGAGACGACUUCAAGCGUUUUGAGCUUUAUUUCCCCUCAACUCGAAAAAAAGAUGAAAAGUGAAAGUUUGGAAGAAAAUGGUGAAAGAAUAACAUCCCCUGGUUUUUGUUAAAUAUAAGCUUGUAAAUUUGUGAUUUUUUUUAUGGGUACACUGGGAAGAAAAAAAAUUUUAAGCUAUUCUUUGUAUUUGUUGAAUAGUCAUUCCAUAGGUUAAGUGCUGAAUGACCAUUCAGCGUUUUUAAGGAAUACUGUUGGAAUGAAGAUUAGUAUUUUGUAAACCAAACAAUAGAAUAGCUACCUUACUCGAAAUAGUCUCUGAAUAAAAUCACAAUUCCAUCCAAGCAAACAUAGUGUUAGUGUUUACUACUUAAUUCUCAGGGGAUUUACAGGUGAGUCUUCUAGUUUUUAGAUACAAAAUUGAUAUUCCAUACUUGGGGAGUAGUAGAGUGCGAUUCGCUUAUUGUAUUCUUUGUGUUUUUGUUUGCACAGUUUUUCACAGUGCCAAACCGUAAUGACCAAUUCCAUCAAGCACUUCCAUUAACUAUUGUAUUAUUCAGUAAGCAAUUAUACGUAGCAAUACCUUACAUAUAUUUGUUGAAAUAUAGAUUUUCAGGUCAACAAUUUCAUAACAAGGUUAACAAUGUUAUCUAAUUGGAUCAAUUUCUCGAUAUUCAUAAAAUACAAAGACGCUAAUUAUGAGUUGGGCGCUUUAACCAUUUAGCCAUAGAUGUUUAGCGGGGAUCCUCGUAUAUAGUGAAUAACCAAAUUCCAAUUAAAAUGAAAUCUUUAGGAUAAAUCAAUGCAAUUUAGGAGGAAUCAAUAAAAGGACAUCAAUUCAAAUCCUAGAUUUUCAAAUUGAGAGAGAUAAUAAAUUAAAGUAGAGAGAUUAAUUUUUCUUUGCUUUUAGCUUUAGUAUGGAAGAUUCAAAAUUAAAUAAUCAAAAGAAAUUUAAGUUUUGUAGACAAUUAUUAAAUAUGAGUUAUUGAGUUGAUUUCAUUAAGAACAAUAUGUAAACAUAAAAUAAAAUUUUAAAUUUUAAAAGGAGAUUAAUUUAAUUAAUUUUAAUAAUAUAGUAACAAAUCGAUUAAUAUUAUCAAGGGAUACAAAUUUUUCAACAAUUAAAUUUAAUUGAUUUUUAUGUUUUGAAAUUUAAAUUUCAAUAUUAAAAAAGAAGAAAUUUAGAAUUUUCGGCAAUGUGAUAAACAAGUACAAUUAGACACGUUUUCAAUACAUUUUUUAGUUUCUACUAUUUUUUCAGUUUAAUCCUUAAUCUUUUUACCCCAAUCAAUACCUUAAAAUAUGAUUUUUUUUUCUGUGACCAAAAUGAAAGCGACCUAAAAGUUGGGUGACCAAAAUAAAAUUGAGAACAUGAUAUAGCAUGUACAGUUAGCGCCAUUAGAGAUUUAACGGUUAGGUAACUAAAAUGAAAAUGCCUUAAAAGUUGAAUGACGAAAUUACAAAGAUUUCAUUUUCAAUAACCAAAAUAAAAACGCCUUAAAAAUUGAAUGACCAACUAAAUAGUUUACCCUAUAAUUUAAUGCAAAGUGAUUUCUAGUUUUAAGUGUACCUAAAUUUUAAUUAAAUCAUGUUUUGUGCUUAGUAAAUAUUUGAAGAUAAUAACUUGGAAUUCGAAUACCUAAAAUAUAAAACUCUUUAAACUAAAUAAAACCAAAUAAGGUAUCGUGUAUUAAGAAGCAUUAAUAUAAUGUUUUAACCGGCCUUGCAAUUGGAUGUAAUUUUUCAAAAUUUGAUUCUUCUACUUAACAAAAAUUAAAAAUUUAUUAGUAAACACAUAAUUUUUUUAUAUAUAAAUUAUUGAAUUGUUAUUAAAAAAAAUGUUGAAUUAUUGAUUUUUGUACAUUUGUUAUAUUGAGGCAAAGUGUGUUGCAAUGAGUUGAGUGGCACUCAACAAUAUCCGUUGCAAUCUACCACUCACAUGGGUAAGUUACUUUUCGUAUUUGAGUUGGCAAUUUAAUGAAGUAAAAUCUUUAAACAAGUUAUUUUGUUGAUAUUUUUAAGAUGCUAUAGUCCAUCUAUGGAAACCAAUCCGUGACAGUUAAAUAUUGGAUUGGAUUGGAUUGAAUUCGAGUGAAUCAAGACAACCCUUGUCUCAUGGAGAAUUGAUUGAGAUUGUGAUGUUGGUUUUGGAAGCUCAUAUAUUCAUCAGAUUAUGCUUUUAUUGAGUAUGUUGUAAUAGUUAUUUUCAAUGAGUUUAUUUGCAUUCAUUCAAUUAGUAUGUUAGCAAGUUGAGAUUGAUAUAUGUUGAGAGGCUUGUCUAGGUCAUGUAUGUGAAAAGAUUGAGAACACUAAAUUUGUUCAUUGAGGAAUUGUUUUGUGGGAGAGCGCAAAUUGAAUUGUAAACUUUUAGUGUUUAUUGCUUAAAUUAAAUUCUCAGUGUGAGCAUUUUAAGUUGAGAUCUCUAUACAUUAGGAGUAAUAGAGUGUGAUUCACUUGUAUUGUGGAAUAAGUAUAAUGGAAUAAUUCACUAAGUUAAACUCUACAGACGUAAGGACUGCAUAAAGAAACCUUGAUAUUCUUUGUGUUUUUGUUUGCAUAAUUUUUCGCAGUGUCAAGUCAUAAUAACUAAUUCCAUCAACUAUUGUGUUAUUAAAUAAACAAUUGUAGGUAACACAACACCUUACAUAUAUUUGUUGAAAUAUAGAUUUUCAGGUAAACAAUUUCAUAAUAAGGUUAAUAAUAGUAUCUAAUUAGAUCAAUUUCUGGAUCUUCAUAAAACAGAAAGACGGAUAAAUUAGAGUAGAGAGAUUUUUAUUUUUUUUUUAAAUUAUGAUCACACCUUUAUGAUAUUAAAUUAUAUAUAAUAUUGGUGAUUUCUUGAAUAUUAAGUAAUGGUGGUCUUCAUGUGUCCAUUUAGUGAUAGAGAGCUUAGUUUCCCUUCAUCUUGAUCUGGAAAAUAUAAAAUUGGAGAAAAUAUGGAACAAAUCUUCCUUUAAACUAAUAAGAAAAGGGUGAGAGAAUCUCGAUAACAAUAUGUAAUCAUCUAUUUCUCGUGCUUUAAUGAUACUUGAUCACAGUAACUACAUAGCUAGCUGUAUUUUAAAUGUUUUAUUAAGAUCUCAAAUCUUUGACUUUUCCUUUUCUUUUCUUUUGUUUUAUUAUUAUAAGAAUCGUGAUUGGCUUCUAAACUUUAAAUGUUCCAAUUAUAUUUUAACAUUAAAUAUCAGGCUAGAUCUAAGAUGUGAUUAAUUCAUACAUGAUUAAAAGAUGUACCAACCCAAAUCCAAGUUGGCAAGUCAGGUAAAGAUGACAGUUGAACCUAAUUAGAACGAUGCUCUAGUCUGAUAUUCAAUUGGACUUAAUGAUCUAAAAUUUGGGGUCAAUUUAAAUUUUGACUCAUAGUUUGAGGACAAAAUAGUUGAAUUAACCCUAUAAAUAAUUUCAAGCACUAAAAUAUAUGGCUUAAAUACUUGGUGCUUCCUUUAAAGCUAGGUUUCCACCAUUGUUGUAAGGCACACCAAGGAAGAAAGAGAGAAAAUAUGGCACCCAUUUCAUUACCCAACAAGCCCCAUGCAGUAUGCAUCCCCUACCCAGCACAAGGUCACGUAAAUCCGAUGCUCAAAGUGGCCAAACUCCUCCAUUUCAAAGGCUUCCACAUCACUUUUGUCAACACCGAGUACAACCACAAACGCUUGCUCAAAUCCAGGGGCCCCCACGCCCUCAAUGGCUUGCCUGACUUCCGGUUCGGGACAAUCCCCGACGGCCUUCCUCCGCCGGACAUCGACGCCACGCAAGACAUCCCCGCGCUUUGUGACUCCACUAGCAAGCAUUGUUUGGCUCCCUUUCGCCGACUCCUUGUUGAGCUAAAAGCUACUUCCGGUGUCCCGCCGGUCACUUGUAUCGUCGCCGAUGGGUGCAUGUCGUUCACUCUCGAGGCGGCUAAAGAGUUAGGGAUUCCCAGUGUGUUGUUUUGGACACCCAGUGCUAGUGGUUUCUUGGCUUAUUGCCAUUACCGACGGCUUAUUGAUGAGCGUUAUACACCAUUGAAAGGUACAAAACUGUCUGGUUUUUCUUUCAAACUCUUUUGGUUAAAUUUGACUUUUGUCCCUGCAUUAUGCUAUAAAUUUGAGAUUUAACCCUUAUAUUUUAAUUUCACAUAUUUAAUUCUCUUAUUUUAAUAUUGUUAUUAAUUAGUUCUUUAAUCUUGUUAUUAGUUAGCCCAUAUUGGUAAUACAAUUAAAUAUUUACUAGAUUAAAAAAUAUUGUUUCUUUUAUUUUAAAAUUAUAUUUAGAAAUAAGGUUUAUAGAUUAAAUUUAUUUUUUAAAAUAAAAGAAACAAUAAUUUAACAAUGGUUAUUUGAAUUAUUAUAAAAGAUGAAAAUUAUUAAAGUAGGUUCUAAUUUUAUCAAAAAAAAUCUAAUAUAAUUGUGCAUAUUAAAUUUAAAUUAAUUUUUAAAUUUAAUAAUAAUGUGAUUGAUGCAAUAAUAAUUAAAAACAUGAUAAGUAGUUCAAUAUUAGUUUAAAAUAUAAAAUAUGUAAUUAAAUUUGAAAAAUAAAUAAGAUGGGAAAACAAGAAGGGGCUAAUGUUGAAUAUGCCCAUCCUUUUGUUGAGUGACUUUGGCCGUUUGUCUGCAACCACCACAAACCCCCAAAAAAUAAUUUUUUAAUUAGAUAAAGAGUGUCCGCCACUAACACUCCAAAAAAAAAAAUACAUGAGUACUAGUCAUCUAAUAUCCAAAAUCCUAAAAAUUAGUGGUGCCAGCCAUUUAGAAAAAAUACUGGUGCCAGCUAUCUAAUUUUUAUAACCCAAUUUUAUUAUUCGUUUCAGGUUAUUUGGGUGAAUAUUCUUAAAUUAAGGUUAUUUUUAUAAAUAUUAUUUUUUUAGGUCAGAUGGUAAAAUAACCUCACUUUUAACAAUUAAAAUUGUAGAAAGUAAAACUUUUCUAAAAAUGCAUCCUUAAGCAUUCAUCUUUAAAAGUAAAUCUCGAAUAUUAGCAUGGUAAAAGGACUGAAAUCCUAAUUUGACCCCUAACAAUUUUUUCCUCAUUGGGCAGAUGAAUCCUAUAUGACAAACGGGUAUUUGGAUACAGUCAUCGACUGGAUUCCGGGCAUGAAAAACAUCCGCAUAAGAGACCUUCCAAGCUUUGUUCGAACAACCAAUCCAGACGAUAUAAUGUUGAAUUUCCUUGCGACGGAGGGCGACAGAGCUUCCAAAGCUUCCGCCAUAAUCGUAAACACCUUCGAUGAAUUGGAACAUGAUGUCGUCAAAGCUCUCUCCUCCAUCUUCCCCAAAUUUUACACCAUUGGACCCCUUCACUUGCUCCUCAACCAUAUCCCACCGUCGUCGCCUUUAAGCUCCAUGGGGUCCAACCUGUGGAAAGAAG
RNAcentral lists this long non-coding RNA (106412 nucleotides) under Gossypium barbadense (sea-island cotton). RNAcentral describes it as "long non-coding RNA (GBAR_LNC012252)". Lineage: Eukaryota; Viridiplantae; Streptophyta; Magnoliopsida; Malvales; Malvaceae. The record is from RNAcentral.